GCAUGUCAACUUUUAACUGGAUUGUACUCGCCCAUGAAGUGAAAUAAAUAAGCCCUACUGAAAUUUUCUCAAGAAGCAGACUCAUGGUUGUAUAGAACUGAUUAGAACUAAGAAUCUUUCCUAGCACACUUGCACAGGACAUUAAAAAAAUGGAAGAGGAUGAUGCUGAGUAACAAAGAUAGAUAUUUUUAUUACAGAGAAACCAGAACACUACAACAUUGGUCAACUCUAGUUCUCAGCAACAUCACUAAAGGAACAGGAUGCUGAGUGGAACCUUUAUUACAGAGAAACCAGAACACUACAACAUUAGCUACUCUACUACUUAUUUCCCAAGUAGGGCCUCUCCCUCCAGCUUGCAAAACAGCCGCAUCAUGUCUUCAAAUGCAUGAAUUCCAAAACCCCCAACCAGAGUGACAAUGUUAACUAAAUUCUUAGUAUUGGACUACUUAAACUUUGAUCUCUACUGACCAUCUGUACAUCUCUUCGUCUGGAACUGGGAUGGUAAUGGUCAUUAAUCCAGUUGCAGAGUCAUAUUCGAAGUCAGUCUCAGCAUUGUCGACAGUGCACUUCAGUGGACGCUGGGAAAGGUACGCUCCAAAUCUUCCACAUCCUCUGGUUUUGAGACCAAUUGUCGCAGUUGGAGAUCCAUUCUCGCAGAGAGAAGUGGUAUCUUCCCCAUUGGAAAGCUCUGGUUUCUUGUCAGAAGCCAAAUGGAUUUCAACCUGCUCCACAGCAGCACUGACAUUGAACAUGUCAAGUAGGCCUAUUGGAGCAAAUGAGAUGUUGGAUGUGAUCUCCUGCAACAGACAAAACCAUAUCAUUUAGUAAACCCUUAGCAACAAUCGGAAUUUCAGCAUCUAAUAGCGACUAUAGAUGACCAACCUUGAGAGGACAGAAAUGGAAAAGCUCAUACUCCAGAACAUUAAGACUCACAGGGACCGAACCACCUUUUGGCAACCGAAUUACCUCACCUGACAGUCAAUAAUGGUUCAUAAUGUUAGAAAGCUGAAUACAAUUUAUAAUAAAGGUAGGUAGAUUUGUUCUUAUGAGUUUUGCAAUUAUAUCAUUUUGUUCCUAUUGACAGUCAAUAACGGUUCAUAAUGAUAGAAAGCUGAAGACCAGGUAGUGGAGAAAAUGUUACAAUUUAUAAUAAAGGUUGGCAGAUUUGUUCCCAUGAGUUUUGCUAUUACAUCAUAUUGACAAGCUACUAGAGAAUUGCUUCCUGACUGUUGGUACCUGAUUUAUGAGCAUAAACUACUGUUUCUCCAUUCCAAUCAGCACCAGCAACUUGAGCAAUGACAUCAACAUCGGUGGCACGGACAGAAGCAGUGAGGGUACUAGGAGACUCAUCAUGAAUGCGAGUCUUCUUUAUAAUCUUGCACCAACCUGCACCUUGACAGUUAAACACACCAACCACACCAGAGCAUUUGUUGACAUUCCAAAUUUUGAGCAAGCUGCAAAGAAAAUUAUUUACACAAGCUUUACUUAUAGAGAUCUAAAUUUUAAAAACCAUAUAACUUGGAAAGCAUAUAGAGGGAACAGAACAAACCUGGUCCCAUCUCUUGCUGGAUCAGCAAAGAGACAAUCACGGGUCGGCCUGCCAGGUAAUUGGGCACGGAGGACAGAUCCAUCAGGGAGGACCAGCUUCCUCAAAAGAUCAAAGUUGUGGUUGCCUGGCUUAUCACUGUUAAGAGAAAUACCCAAAAUUAUGCAUCAGAACUCAUACUUCCAUGAAGUGCCUAUAGAAUAAAUUUGUUUGGUGCAUAGCAUUACCUGACAUAGAUUGCACAUCCACCAACAGCACGAGCUGCACCGUGAUACUCUGCAGCUGAAUGUAAACUCUGCAAAAGAAAAGAUUCUUUCAUCAAUAAAACAUGUUAUGCCAAAUGAUAAUAGCAACAAGUUUAUCUGCCCUUCUUCCAAAUAAAUGACAUUGAGUCUCAACAUCACAGAACAUUGCAAAUAACCAAAUAAAUUGCAAUUGUAAAUCUUGAACAAACAUGAAUAUUGAUGUUUCAAGCCUCCACCAACUAACGUAGACUAGUGUGCAAUAGUAAACUACUUUCUACAAUUACAACAUGAAUGUAAAUUUAAUAAGCAUGUACUUCAAGGAAAUGGCUGCUUACUAGCCUUCCAGACAUCAACAUCCAGAAAAAUCAGACAGUGCCAAAGCAUAUUGAGAUAACAAAAUGAGACAUAAAAUACCUCAUUAUUUACUUACAUGAAACAUAUCCCAAUCAGGUUGCAUGAAUUCUCCAAGGAAAAGGGUGUUAUAAGCAACAGAAGAUAUAUGAAUUGUGUGAGAAGCAGGAUCCCGGGGGUAGAAGUCAUCAGAAGCUCUCACCACAGCAGUCUGCUUGGAACUGUAGAGCCCAUCAGUGUUAUGACACAUGCAAGAGAUACAUCCAUUGUCAGGAAAGUUUCGAGCAACCGAAGCCUCAAGUGCCUGGUGGUAGCUGCGGGUCAACGAAACUCUACCACCAUGACCAGACCCAAGAGUCUCAAUGAUGUUUUGAACAUCAACCUUAACUCCAUCCACACCACAAGAAGCCAAGUAGGCAUGCAGCUCAUUGUAGAAAUUGAAAACUUUCUUGGGAUGUACCAGACCAAGGCCGUGAACAGAUAAGCUGUCCAUAACUAUGUCUGGUUGGUUUCCCGUUACACCAGGGGACGACACUGGGUAUGCCAAAGCAGUGUCAUAGUGUUCCAUGCCAGUAGCAGCUGGUUUCACUCCACCCCAGUAACCAGCUAGAGCAUGCCAUACAUACACAAAUCUGCGCAGCAAGUCACAAAUUCAGAUAAUGAGUAACAAUACUUCCUACAUAAAUCUUUUUUUUUUUUCAAAUAAUAAAAUCUUACAAUGGACGAACAUCAGCAAAUGUCAAGCAGAAUACAUAAUCUAGCAUCCCACAAUAUUCAAUUUUUUUCCUUGUUUGCUACUGAUAGUGAGAUUUUAUUCAAACUAAACCCAUCAAUUUAUUAACUAGAAGAAAAGGCCCUUUGUCCCCAUUCAACAUUUAUUCUGAUCAUAAACUCUUCGACAUCACACAUAUCUGUAAUUAAUUUCACAAUAAGUACCCAUUUUCAUGUUAUAAUUCUGAAUAUCAUAAUAAAUAUUUCUCCAGGGGAUCUCUACUCUGACCUACCAUUUUUAAGGAUACGAAAUCAUGGAUUUUUAAAUCCCAGCAAUAUCUUGCUAUGUGUCUGAAGUAGAUAAACAAAUUCUAUGUAAAACCAUUAUAAAAGAACAGCAGGGAGUUCCGUGCAACUUACUUCACAUUUUGAUGUUGCUUGGCUUCAUCCACAACGUGUUUCAGACCGGAGACUUGCUCACUGUGGUGGCCAUUCUUUUGGAAUUUUUCAUUCUCUUUUAUUCCAGUCAGCCUACUUGCAAACCUGCAAUUAGCGUACUCGCAUUAACUAACACAACUACUUUAAGUCGAUAGACCCAACAGCAAUGUCCGGAGAAAAAAUGCAUGAUUGCGUGACGACAAAGGAAGAUCCUUCUAAUUUAUCCAUUCCAAUCAUGUACAUGGAAAGAGAACAUUAUCAAAACUGAUAAAAGAGUAAUCAUUUAAAAUUAAGAAAGAAGACAGAAGCAUUACUGUGCUCCUUCUUGUACAACAGCAUCAGUAUCCUUGUCUUUAUUUUCAAUCUGUUGCCAGCCAUCAUCAACAAUAAGGAAUCGCGGAGGCGUCCCACCGUUGGAUAAGCUGCAAUGAUUCCACAACACAACAUAGUAAUUAAAUAAAGCUGCUUACAAAUUCAAGUUAGAGUAAAUAGCAAGUUAAAUAUGAUAUCGUUUCUUAUUACCUUUUAAGGCCUUGCUCCACACCCUCGGCUGUGACAUCAGUGUAAAAGGCAUCCCAUGUACACCAGCCAAACCAGUCAAGAAAAGAAGGCAACUGCAUGCAACCAAGAGAACAGAUAUUAGAUUCAUUCAAGAAACGGUUGUGAUGCGCCAUUCAAAUUGUAGAACACCAAUUACAGAAGAAGACAAAAAGUGUUGUGGUCUUACCUUUUUCUUCUCACGGUGAACAAAAGUUUUCAUGUGUUUUUCCACAGCCCUGUUUAAUGAAAUUGAAAACAGAGUCAUUUACCAAAAUAAAUGCAAAGCCAUCAUCCUAAUCAAAACCAAACUAUUUACCUUUUCUAGCAAUAACAUAAUCAUAUUAGCAAAACAAAAUUACAGAUUUAAUUGCAGAUCUACAAUGAUGACGAUAAAUUAUUAGAAUGAAAAUUCAGGACUUACUUUACAGCCUGUGUGAUAACCUCAAAUGGAUUGGUUCCAGCAUGGAUGUAAACAAGGCACUGGCCCUGAUUGGUCUGAACAGCAGAAUCUCCUGCAAAACCAAUCACACACCACAAGAAACACGUUGUUUUCGGUUCCUUCGAACUCGAAUUUUGUAUUUUUUUUCUUUUCCCAAAUCCUUUAAACUCCAAUUAUUUGAUUCAUUUGAAUGAUAUUCAUUGUGGGUGGUUUCUCCAGCCUGACUGUAUUCGCAUUAAUGACAGCUCCACCCCACAUUUUCAGAUUGUUCAUCUCCUUCAUUAUUGGCUGGCGGGAUGGGACUGAUUAACAGGAAGACAUGGCCUUAUAUAAUGGAAUGACAGGCAGGGAAGGUGUAAAUAGCCUACACCAGAUACUUGUUUUAUUGCCAUAACCUACUCACCACUCUCGAGGCAAACCUCGACUUCAUUCCUCUCGUUGCCUUGCAGAACAGAACGGAAAAGGCCUUCAAGCAGAGGCAGGAAGACGGUGUAGAUGGUAGAGGAAGAAGAAUCAUCUUCAUCACCUCCUUCGCCAUCACCUUUGCUUUCAACAAGCAUGAAUUGGGUCUCCAAUGGAACAUCUUUCCCACAUGUCCCCAUCCUCUGAGUCAUCCACCAUAACUUGAACCGGAAACAGCACAUGAAACGGAGACCCCUAUGCAUCAUAAUAACGACAGUAAUUACUACCAUAUUUGAAAAAUUGAAAUUCAAAGCAUAGCAAUCAUUGCACCAUUACUCAAUCACCAUCUACGGCUAAAGCUAAAAGAUGUAAACUUUGACAUAUUGAUUUUGACAACCAAAAACACAAGAGAUACUGAAACUGCUUACUCUAAAACACCAAUGGGGAAGGUGUGAAGGCUUUGGCUUUGAGCGGCAGUGGCACCAAUGAAAGCACCAGCAACGAGCCCAACACCAGUCCCUGGUGUAAGCACGAUGUUGUCUGGAACUCCAGUCAAAAUGGUCUUUCCCUGAACCACCAAGUUCCCAUCGUUGAUUGAAAUCUGUGGGAUGACCGUCAUGGUUGAUGACUGCGAAACUACUGUCUCACAACAUAAAACACAAAUUCAUCAAAAUUCACCUUGGAUCAGAUAGAGAAUUCUGGAGCAUGUUUACAAUUAUCAACUACAUCAAUUUCAUAUUUAUCCAUGGGUUUUAUAAAUAAAUAAAUAAAAAGCCAUAAUUUUUGGCAGGAAAAAUAUACCAUCAAUGGAAAAAUUUAAGAACCCAGGUGAAAUGCAUGUUGGCGCACAGGGUUUAUUUGGUAAUUUCGAAAAAUUGAGGCUGCUUGAGGAAAACUGCUACAGAAAGAAAACAAAAACCCAAAAGGCAAAAAGGGAAAUAACUUGAGGGUUUUGAAUCAGCAUCAAGUUUGGUCCACAAGGUGUGGGCCUGUGUCCUUUCCCAGCCUCUAACUUUCGCUGAAAGCUUGAAACUUUUUGGUCUGAAAACCCCCAAAAAUUCAGAACAAUCAUAUGAAACUGACUAACAGAAUAAAACAGGAGCGUCAGGAUUUUAAUCAAAGUUCAAGUAUGAAAUUCACAGAGCCUAAGCUCAAUUCACGGCUAAUUUAUCAUUAGAAGCCAUUCAAGGCAGCUGGAGCUUCAUGAAGAAGUAAACAAAGAGCUAAAAAACAGCUCACACCACCGACUUCACAAUCAAAGCUCAAACAAUUCCAGAAAACCCCAAGCACUCACCGGAAAAGGUAAAAAAGUCUCUGGCUGCCCAAGGAAUUCAAGCACAGAGCUUUGUUAAGCCUCUAGAAAUGGACAGAGAGAUGAAAUGAAAGUGAGGGUUUGGAAAACCAAAACCCAGAGAGAAGAACAAGUGCACCGAGCAAAGGAAUGCUCUUGAAUGCAAUGCUCUCACUGAUCGUUUGUGUUUGCUGCUUUUACACACAGAACGUGAGUUUCCAAAGAAGAGGAUGGUGGGUUUAUAUAUGACUUGGGCUGCGUUAAAUUUCGAGCAAGUUCUUUCCUCGAUGCUUCCAGAUGCUGCCACGUGGGAUACUAUCAUUGGAUUUUUUUUUGGGAAAUUCACUAUUAUACCCAAUAUGGGGGCCCAAAUUAUAAAAAUACCCUAUAUGAAAUAGACUUUAGAAACACACCCAAAGCCCAUUUACAACAUAACAAAAAAGCUUUUAACUUCUUAUAAAUUACAAAACUACCAUCAAUUUCUUAAAACAAGCCCAACCCCAAAAUCUCAUAAAAAUACCCAAAACACUCAAUAGGGCAUCAAAGUAAUUUAAUAAUCAAUAUUAAAUUCAAUAAGGCCAGCUAUCAUCUUUUGGGUUUUUUUUGGGUUUGUUUAUAGAAAUUCAAUUGUGUAGGGUUUAUUUAUAAUAUUAGUGCUAGAAAUGGGUAUAUCACUAAAUAUCUCUUUUUUUUUUUGGUGCACUAGUUAUGAUCUUUUUUUGGUCAAUCACUAGUUACGUUCUCAUCUUAUGAAUUUGGAUUGUGAUUUCCAAUUAGUUUAUUUGAAGAAAGACGUCAUCUCUAUAAAUGUGUACCACAAAUUCAGGUUUUGGACAACAUAAAAAUUGUUAUAUUGCUAGACAGUUUGCUAAGAAACAUUUCUUUAUAUUCGUUUUUUCGAGCGAGGGAUGGGUGACUCGAACUUUGUAUUACUAAAAACUAUGUUUUAAUUGUCAAGAAUUGAUAAUUUGGUAUUCUGAAAUGAUACAAAAUACAGAGCAAAUUGCAAGUUCGAGUGUUUUAGAUUUAAUUUAAAAUAUUUAACCUUUUUUUUUAUACGUGAUUAUACAUUUGAGCAAUUGAUUGAUCGACAACGGAACAAUAUAAUACGUGUCGAUGAUAUUUUUUUUUUAAAUAGUAUAGAUAUUUUUGUGUUAUGGGAAAGUCCCAGUUGAGAAAAAGUAUUUUAAUAUCAUGCUUUCUUUAACAAAGCCAAACAUGGCUCCUGACUCACUCAUCAUUGCCCGGCCAUAGUGCAUUUUUUAUCUGCACCAGAUGUUACAAAAUGGAGAAAUGCUAAUGUGAAAUGGAAGAGUAAUAUUUUGCUAUAUUCGGUUAAUUACGACAUAUCACGUGUGAUAAUCUGUAAUUAAUUAAAGAUAGCAAAAUUUUACUAUCUUUAUUUCAUACCUUUUAUAUGUUCAAAAUGGGUUGUGAUUUUUGUUUUUAUGUUCCGUAAUCUGAAUGAUUUGAUGCCAUUUAUAAUGGUGCCAACUUUUUGGCCAUUAUGAUUUAGCAAAAGUUAGGGCAAGGCCACCUUAUUUUCUAGAUAUAAUAUGGACAUAAACCCAUAUUUUCUAGAAACACAUAAUACAAUAUGGUGUUUCUUUCAAUCAACUUCAUGAGUUCCGAUCUAUUGGACUACAGGAGUCUAAAAAAUUGUGAUCACCCAUCGUUAGAUAUUAAUCCAAUGGUUCAAAAAAGUUUCUUAAAAGGAGUAUAAUAGUAAGUGAACCGUUAAAUUUACAUCCAAUAAUGAGUGACUACAAAUCUAUUAGAUCCUUGUAGUCCAAGAGAUCAAAACUAUCAACUUCAUUAUUGGACUAAUUUGAAAGUUAUUUCCAACUUAAUUACCGGCUUUAGAAUUUGUGGUCACAUUUGUCUUCUCUUUUCACCACCCAACUGCAACCGCAAGUGUACAAAAAUUCACGUUGUCAAUCUUUUGUCUGAAAAUAUCAAAGAGUGCUUUUGGCGUUAACUGUUGGCAUUUUGAGAAGGCAAAAGUCACGAGACAAAAUUAAUGUCAUAUGAUAUGUUUCAUGAGUCAUCACCCACCUUUGUCCAGCCUUUUGGAUUGGACCCAAACAAUGAUGCAUAAACUUUUCUCGUAACGUGUGUGAAGUAUAAUUUCUUUUUUUUAUAGAUUUCUAUUUGUACUCAAAAGUUUAUAGACAAUUGUGUGUUACGAUUUUAUCCUGAAAGCAAAAUCACUUUCCUAAAAAGCAAACAGCGAUAGAACUAGCUCUCGUUUCUUAUGGGGACGAUAAUACAAAUUUAUUACUUUUGGGGGGCCGGGGGGUGAGAACAUUACUAGAGCAUUUGUCUUUAAAUUAGUGGUCUUAAAUUUGAAUUUGAAUGACAUUUCUCGUUCUCUUUGACUAUGAAAAAAUUACUAGAAUUUAAUACAGCCACUUCAUACUAGGUUGAAGUGUGGCUCCGCCCGUGUCAUCAAAUUAAUUACUAGUCUAUAACUACUAUUUAGGUAAUUCUAUUUUCACCCCUUUUACACUAGACCCUAAAAAGAUUCUUUGAACAUGUUCUCAUUAUAUAACCUCACAUGUUAGGAGGGGAAAAGGAGAUAUGCAAUGUAAUAACCUCACAUGAUAGAAUAUUUUCUGCAUCCCUUAAAAAGAAAACAAAGAAAUUCUUUUUUUAUCAGAACCAGCCAUUUGGCUCAUUCGUUCUCAUCUAAUAUGUUCCUUUUUCCAUAAUUUUGUUAGUCAAUCCAUUGUGUUUGUAUAUAUAUAGUUAAGUAAUGAAUAAGGAAGUCACUAUGAUCUUCAAACGAAGGACUACAAAUAUGAUAAGAUUCUCAUUAUUAAUACAAAAGAAUAUGUGCUUGCUUAUUGUGCUGCUUAGAUUCCCAAUCCACUCACAAAUCUGGCAUGAAUUAAUAAAAAGCCAAUUCAAAAUUGUUGCCAAAACGACAUCCACUUAAUUAAGUAUAUUGGGAGGUAAUUCUAGUCCUUUGUGUGCACGUUGAGCUCAAUACGUGGAUUAUUGGUGGAACUAGCAAUAAGGCGACUAUGGGCUCUAGUUUACGUAGCUUUUUAAUAUGUUUCACUCCAUAAAAACUUAGUAGUCCAUCCAAAUGUAGCCUAGUAACCCAUCAUUAUCCAUUCAUCUUUGUAAGUCUAUUAUAACCAUCUUAUAUUUAAUUUGUUUGUUUAAUUAAGAAACAUAAUCCCUUAAUAAACACUCAUAACUUUAACUACGAAUUUUUACUAUUUUCUCCCAAUGUUUCCUCUUGUCGUCAAUAUUCAUGUUAACGGUCAUCAAAUCACUCUUUACAAUUAACUAGAGCGAUUAAUAUAAUUUAAUGUAUACUUUUAUUUCUAAAAACACUAUAGAAACUGUAAGUGAAAAAAAAAACUUUAGAUUUUGUUAAUUUGGUAUCCCUCAUGUUGUUCUGGCAACCCUGCUUGAGGUCAAGGUUAGGACUUAUCCUAGAUCGUGUGGUUAAGCUGCUCUUUGGAGAUGACCUGCACACUUCAAGCGAUUAUCAGAACAUGAGUAAACUGGAUGGAUUCCAAUUAAACCUCUUCCGAUGGCUAAGUUAGAAGUGGUCUUUAAAGUGGAGAGAAGGAUGAAGAGUUUUUAGAUGAGAAUAUUUAUUACAUUCAUCCGAAUACAGGUGAAGAGUAUUUAUAAGAGGAAGAAUGAGAGAUUGUCUCUCCUUCAGUCUUCCUAUCUUUCUCUUUUCCCAAUGGAGGGAUUGAAACGCAUUAAAUGGUCCCUGUUUAUCACCAUGCUGGUUAUCAGGGAUCAAGUGACAAGGCAACACGUGGCUUUGUAUGUAAAGCACAUUAACUGAUUCCUUUCCAUCACCAGACUGUUUAUCAGGGAUCAAGUGGUAAGGCGACACCUGGCUUUGGAUGUGAAGCACAUUAAAUGAUCCCUCUCCAUCACCAGAUCGGCAUUAGGCGCAUGGAGUAAUUUACUCAACAGGGGUCUGGUCGUGUCAUAAUAUUAAUGACUGUCUCUAGUCACAUGGUAUCUCAGUAAUCAGGUCGAUGUUUGAGUUCACAUGGUAUCUCCCAUCAGUCUCGGCUAGGAGGCCCUUUCUCGACACCCAAUGGGUCAAUUUGGUCGGGUCGGUACGAGGGUGACCUGAUUGCUUGUAGCCACGUGGUGCUCUCUGAUAGGCUCGACUUAUAAUGAUGAUAUGAAUCAUCAACAAAUUUUAAGUUAACAAAUUUAGUUAGUCCAUAGGUUGAAUAAUUCUUAAUUUCACCAUCGAUAUGGAUAAUUAUGAAGUUAAAAUUUCCACCCAAAAUCAAUAGUUUUUUUAAAGAUUUAUUAACUUUAUAAAAUGGGACAUUUCUUUACAUUAAAUCUAAACUUCAAAAUACAUUCAGACCAAAAAAACAAAACUCAAAAUAUAUUAAUACAAAAUAUGAUUUCUGUGUCAGCAUCUAUAUAUCCACUUGCCCACCCAACACGCAGGACACCAGAAGACUGUAUGCCUAAUAAGCUUACACUGGGCAGUUUCGACAAAAAAGGAAGCUACCGCACUCAGCAGCAGGCAGACUGGACCCAAACCCGAAUGUUUGUCCGAAUCAUCCAUGUGUGGGGCCCAAACCACGUUGGAACUGACGGAGUAUGUGAUCCAGUCCACCCACCAAGAUCAAUGUAAAGCCGACUUCUUGUCAUUUUGACAUAAAAUUUCUGCUUUCCACUUUACGUAGAAAAGUUGGACCAAAGAAAUAAAUUUAAAAAAAAAAAAAGCUUAGAUAGAAAAAUAGAUCAAAGCUUGAACCCUAAUUAGGAAGAGAAAUUCUCAUGUAACGUAAUACGUAUGAUAAUUUUUUCACGUAUCAUUGUAUUAUUGAUCGAGGAUAACAAAUAGUGUUAUUUCCGUUACAUGCAAGUUCUUUUGUUAAUUAGAGGAAGAGUGUCAAAUCUAAAUGUGUUUGUCUGUACAAUAAUUAUGCAUUAAAGUUUAAACAACAAUGACGGCCGCACAGUCGGUGAUUGGCGCUUGAUACAAUGAUUUGGGGGAAAUCUCCAAUUCAAUAUCUUUUCUGGCUCAAUGACGAACGUGAAUGAAUCCACAAGUCACUUGCAUUUAAAUUAAAUUAAUUUUCCUUUUUGGAAAUUAGGGUUUUUUUUAUAUAUAUAUAUAUAUAAUAUUAUUAUUGCUUUGUCUUUGUUGAUAAUUGUUGCUGCGAAAAAGACUGGUCCAACAGUAGGGGCUGGGUGGGCGGUUUUGGUACUGGCAAAGAUAGGUUGAAUGGCAUUUUGGAUGGUAGCUUAGCUACUAGCUCAUCUUCAUUUUGACUGCUUUUACAACUUUGGAUUUCAGCAAACCAAUAAUUUGACUGUUUUUGCCUCUAGUCCAGAAUAUUACUUGGACUAGUUGAUUGAUUGUGGCUAUACAUCGAAUCAAUAAUUCAACAUGUUUUUUAUUUUUACAUGUAUACGUGUACGCUAACAAAUUGGAAUCUGGAAGUGCAAUCCAAAAAUAUUCACGCUUAUCAACUAGUGUUUAGUCUAAUAUUUUAUUUUCGGUGUAAGAGUACAAUAUAAAUUCGAAUACCAUAGAGUAAGAAUAAAUUUAGUUUCUUUCUCCGUGGGAAGAUAGACUUCAUUAUUAAUAAGUUACAUCCUCUCAUGCCAACCGAAUCUUGCAGGAUUUUAACUUGGAGAUAGAGGUCUCAAAUUCGAAUCUUUUUCUUUUUAUUAGUCAUUUUUUACCUCUUGUACUUUGAAACAAAUAUAUUGUACAAUAUAUAUAUUUUUCGUUUUGUUAGAGAGAUUUCAAGUAGAAUCGAUUAGGCGUAUAAAAUAAUUUCGAAAGAAAAACCUUGAAAACGAAAGAACUUGUCAUCCGGGUCUGGCUGGUUAGUCAACAUCAUCCUGAUCGGCAUUCGAUAUAACGAUCAUAUGGGAUCAUGACACGUGUUCUCUGUUGUUGUUGCAGUGGGGCUGCGUAUGAUCUUCAUGUUUUUGGACUGGACACGUAGGCUGUUGUCCUCUAGCACGUGCGUGGUCCAUCGCAUGCGUGCAGGACGGUGCUUCGUUUUGUUUCGUUAUGGUCAAAGCCUUAGCCAUCACAAGCUAGAACUAAAGCUUACACAUGUUGAAAUUGGAACCACAAUAUGAAAGUGAACUUUCAUGAAAGCUCUGCCUUAAGAAAAUGUGAGUGAAAACAAAAAUUGAAAGUCGAAAGCGAAAUGGUAAUCGAACGAGCUCUUAAUUUCUUUUCAAACAAAAAAAUCAUACACUAAUUUUUUUCUCUACAUCUAUGGAUGCUCAAGUUUGUUUCAUUUAUCUAUUAAUUAUAUCUCUUUCAAUUUCAUGCUUUCUCUAUCAGAAUUUUGUCUUGUGUUGCAGAUGGCACCCUUGGAAUUUUCAGAUGGAUUGAUCAAGAGGCACAUGCAAGAUAGGCAAUCACAUAUAGUCACAAUCAAACCAUUUAUACCAACUUUUCUAAUGGGAUUUUUAUGAGGAGGACCAAUUAUACCAACUUUUCUAUUGGGAUUUUUAUGAGGAGGACCUCUUAACCGCUUGCUUACAUUGCCACAGGUGCUCUCAUGAAUCACACAUAUGUACAAUAAAAUUAUCUGUUUGGGUCUGUUUAUAUGAACAAUAAUGUAUCUAUAUGUGGAAUUAGACAAUGAGACAACGGGCAUGAUCUUGUCUGGCUUAAAUUAAGAACUUGAUGCGAUCACUUGCGUUGCGUGAAAGCCUUAAUUAGCACAAGAAAAUCCAAGGAAAUUGAUAGCAAUCUCUGUGUGAAUAAAUGUCACAUAAUUAUUUGGAAAAAAAAAAAGUCACAUAAUUAUUAGUAUUUGAGAAUAUAAAAAUCUCUCAUCAUAAAUUUAAAACUAGCCAUGUCUCUCUCUCUCAAGGCGAAGGCCUAAGUCUUGGAUUAAUUAAAUAUUAUUAAUCAAGCCAACCAUAUAUAGCCUUUAUUAUCAAGCCCAUCAGCCCACCAAUCUUAUUUAAUUAGUGUAAAAGUAUCAUGCUUAUGAAACAUGUAAAACCAUUUGUUUCCUCCGAUGUAGGACAAUUUGCUUUCAAACUUCCAACACCACCUGCAACUCACCCAUAGAUGCAAACAAUGUUCGCAUUUUUUAAUUUUUAAUUUUUCAAUUUUUUGGUUUUUGAAUUUGCACAGAGAGAGAGAUGUUGGAAAAAAAUUCAAAGUAUAAAGCGACUGAUCGUUUUUGAAAAACGACUAGUCAUUUUGGUCAGAAACUUCAGUUUUUGUCUUUGUAUAAAACAACCAGUCGCCCGAAGGAAAAAUGACCGGUCGUUUGAACACAGAGUGUGAGAUUCUGAAGCACCUCUUCAGUCAUUUGGUGUGCCUCUUAAUGCCUAAAUGUUUGAAUCACGUAUAUGAACGUUAGAAACACUUCAUAUACAUAAUUUAAAAAUAAAGACACAUUCUUUCAUGAAGAGAAGUGUCCUUAUUGAAGUGGUACCUCUUGAUUAAGAGGUACAAUUCAAAAGUUGUAUAGUUUCUGAAUUAGGAGUUAAACCAAUUUAGAAUGGACACCAAUUUCUGUAUAAAUAGAGAUGAUUAUACAUCAAUAAAGAAUAAGAAAAUAAUCCAAGAAAGAUCCAACUGAUAUCUAAGUUUAAUACCAACUCUUCUCCAUCUAGUUUAACAAAGUAAAACCUCCAGAGGUUAUUUUCUGCAGAUUUAGCCUCUAGGAAUCAUAAGUAUCCUUGUUACAAUACUAAAGUGUGUUUGGGGUUGCCUUUGUUGUGCAAGACAUUGACAACAUAUAGUUUAGGCUAGGCUUUAUUGUAUCCACAUGGCUUAUUUGCUUAACCUCUUUGCACACAAGUUGUGAGGGCAAAUAAAGUCUGAAAGAUAGUGUAUUCAUACACAACACACCUUGAAGCAUCUUUCAUCCUCUCAUUACCAUUCAUUCUUAAACACUUCUUCUGUAAGCCAUUCCCACAAGAUUUGUAAACAAAAAUAUCCAACAAAAGAGAGAGAGAGAGAGAGAGAGUUAGAUCUAGCCGGCCGAUGGUCGGAACGAGGUCUGGAGGAUGGAAAGAGAGUGAUCACCGAGCUGGGGUUCUGGAUUCAUUGCAGGUUGAGAGAAAAUCGCAGGGGGGCAAUUGGGGAUGAUUUUUUCUUCUCUUUUUCUGCAAUUUUUUUUAAAAAAUAUUUUUUAAUCAAUUUAAAUUUAACAAAAUGUGAAAUAUGUGGGACCUACAGUGCCACAUAAGCAACUAACGGAGAGAUUUGACAGAACUCUAAUUGCGGAACUACAUUAUAAUAAAUUUAAAAUACCAGGGUAUCUAAUGGUAAAAAUGAAAAAGGUAGAGACUAAUAUGUCUUAAGGAUAUUAACUACAUGGUACCAAAGUGUAAUUAACCUUUUUAUUUAUAGUAUGACGAGGUCGAGCGGGGUUGGGCAUCGAGCUCAAAUAGGCAUGCACCAGGUAUCACAACUCUCCUAAUGAGAGACGCAAUAUAGCGUCACUACUGUCAUCGCCGCCGAUACAAAAACAACCCCAGUCACCUGGAACACUGCAAAAAUAAUAAAACAAAACAAACAGACAAACAGACCUAGAUUCAAACAGAUCUAGACUAUUUGGGGAGGGGAAGGGGAGGAGAAGAGGGGAUAAGAGGAAGGGAAAAUAUGGGAGAAACAUUGAAAUGUAGGUAAUGAUGUUGCAGAAACAUUGAAUUACAAUCUUUUUUUUAAUACAAGCGAUAAGGGCACACACACUACUAAGGUGUCAUGGGGGUUCAAACCUGAGACCAAGUCAAGACCCUUUUUUACUAGGUUAGAUCCCGUUGGCCAUUUAAUUAAAACUCAAAUAAGUAUAUAUAUAUAUACAUAUAUAUAUUUUUUUGUGCAAGUGAUUAGUUAGGGGUUUACACAAACAUUCAUGUGUUUCCUAUACUAAAAUCAAUAACCAAAUUAAAGCACUGAAGCAAGUACAUAAUGAAGUUGCAUAAACACUUCAGUAAAAACUUGAACAGUUGUAGAACACUUUCGUAUUCAAGUUGCCUAUGCUAAAAUCAAUAACCAAAUUAUAAAUACUUUUUUUUUUUUUUUCUCAUAUACACUGACACUAAAAUUUCUUUGGGCUAUACAAUAAUAUGAAAUUUCUUUGGGCUUUGAGCUCUAAAACAUUCCAAAGAAAUUUCUUUUGUGGACUAGGGUGGGUACAGGCCCAGCCAAAAGAAGAUUUGUAGAUUAAAAUUAAUAUGACAAUGAACGAAAAUAAUUUAAAUUACAAUUGUAAUUCUAAGUAGGGAUUUUUGUAAAAAUGUCACCUGAAUUUGUACCGCAGUUUUAAUUUGUUACCUUAAAAAAGAAAAAAAAAGAAAUGUCACCUUAAUUUUUCAAAAUCCAUGAUUUGUCAUCUGACUUUAACACCAUCCAUUUUCAAGGGUAUUUUAGUCUUUUCAUUUUUAAAGGUAUUUUAAAAAUAGAAAAAUCAUUAUAAAAAAAAUGUAUUAAAAAAAUCUCACAUCCCCCUAUCCCAUGUGCGCCACCAACAGCUCCAACCAAUCCUGCCCACCUCCUCCAUUCCCGCUUUCCUCUUUCCCGUCCUCAUUCUCUCUCUACCAUGGAAGAGCUACCCUCCACACACAAAUUCCCUAAGUCCACCCAAACCGAGAGAGAGAGAGAGAGAGAGAGAGAGAGAGAGAGAGAGAGAGAGAGAGAGAGAGAGAGAGAGAGGUUUUGGGUGGGGGAGAAAGGGGGAAAGAGGUCUAUUUUUUAUCUGUUUGUUUUCCUUGAAAAUUGAAAGACUAAAAUACCCUUAAAAAUGGAUGAAAAAUUGGAUGAUGUUAAAGUAAGAUGACAAAUCAUGGAUUUUAAAAAGUUAAGGUGGUAUUUCUCUUAAAUUUUUCUUUGAGGUGACAAAUUAAAACUGAAGUAUAAGUUCAAAUGACAUUUUACAAAAAUCCCUUCUAAGCAAAUGGUCUCCGAGUUCUUAAUCUAUCUUUCCUAGCAAUUAAAUGCGAUACAUUCUAACCACUUAACCAUGCUUAUCUUGAUCAAUAUCUUAAUAGUAAAGACAAUGUUCAAUUAUCUGCUUAACAAAAAUGUGGAAGACCUUCAUCCUCUUGCUGCUAUGUUGUGGGGAUGCCAAGACUAUAUAAACAAAAACUGAAUUUGUUCUAUUCAUCAUGUAUAUCAUGAGUGCAACAUGGUAGCGGAUAAAUUAGCUGAAUUGGGUUCAUGUUUUGAGUUGAGUCUGUCAACCUUCAAUGACCCUCCUAACAGGAUUAGGUCUUUUCUUAGUGAAGAUUUACUUGGAGUUUGUAGGCCUCGAGCCAUUAUUUAAUUUCUUUGUUGAGCGUUAGCCCCGUUUCUUCACCAAAAAAAGAUAAUGUUCAAUUGUAAACGGAAUUUCACAUUCAAUAUACUUUUGUAAAAUUGAUAUAAGUAUUAAAAUUAAUUCAAUACUUACUCAUGAUAUAACGGGCAAUGAACACAAAUAACUGUAGACAUAUUUUAUAAGAAUAAGUAUAGCAUUGAUAGAAAUCGUUUGUCACAAUAGAUAAAGAACAUAAAAAUCUUAAAACAAUUCAUUAAUAUUAUUAAAUCGUCAGAAUAAUAAAAUAUAAUUAAUUUAGAAACCGCAAAAUUAGUAUAAACCAUAAAUAUGAAAUGAAGUUUAUUUAUUUAAUCACCCCUAAUUUCCAACUUGUAUACGCUUUUGUGUAGUCCUUCAUUUUUAUACAAUGGUUGAGAUUUGAUUUUCUAUAUACUAACCACAAUCUCAAUCCUAUUGCAAUAUCAUUAAUCAGUCUGAGGUUCUUCUAACCAUGAGCAAACUACUUGUAUGCUUUUUGAUAUUUUGCAAUGUAGCUCUGUCAAAUAGUAUUUGGUAUGGCCAAACAACUUUUAAUGUGCUUCAAUUUGAUGCUGUUGGAGACGGCCAAACUGAUGAUUCUGAAGUAAGUUUCUCAAUUUUUAGAGUGUGUAUUUUCGUUUCUUUUGUUAUCAAUGACGAAGAAUGAUUCGAACUUGAGAAUUCUUCUGAUAUUGAAAAGAGAAAUAUCACUAAAUUAAUACUUAGUUGAUGUUUGCGAUACGUGUUCGCAAAGGCUUUCUUGAAAGCAUGGGAAGCUUUAUGUGGAGCAACUGAAGCUAAUGAUACAGGGACACCAACGCUUGUAGUACCAGCAGGGAAAACAUUCCUUUUGCAACCUAUAAAAUUCUCGGGUCCUUGCAAAUCCAACUCUGUCCAUGUUCAGGUAAGAAAGUAAGCAAGCACACACCAAUUUUAUAAUAAAUGGAGGACUUCAAAAUUUAACAAUUAAUUUAACCAAAAGUUGGAAUCAAUGAAUUUUCCCGUGCCUAAUCAUGUUUUAGGCUGACAUAAUUGAGGUGGGUGGAUGACAGAUUUUGGGGAAAAUUGUGGCACCCAACACUCUACUUGCAUGGAAAGAGUGUAAAGAAUUCUGGAUAUCUUUUUCGGAGGUCACCAAUCUCACCAUUAAUGGAACUGGAGAAAUUGAUGGCAAUGGUAAACCUUGGUGGAGCAAAGCUAGGCAACUUCACCAUGUUGUAAACAAUGUAAAUUUGUGAACACAAACAUUCUAUUUUCUUUGUUUGUUCUACAUUUUCUUGGUGAAUUAAUUUGAGUUGGUGAAGUCUAACAUGAGAGAAUUUUCGCUCACUUCUAGGGGUACAAGGUGAAAUGCUACCAACGUCCCAAGGUGAGCUCUACGUAGUUUUGCAUGCAUGAACAUUUUCGCACGUAUUUUUUAGGGAAUGUUUCCUUGUCAGAUUAUGAAUCUAAAUCAUUAAUAUAGUUGAUCCUUACCUAAACGUGUGAUUCGGAUUCACAGUUUGACAACAUAUGCAUAUAAGUAUGCCAAAAUCUGUUUCAACUUUUAUCUAAUGACAGAAAACUUAAUACCAAUUCGUGUGCAUGUCUCUAUAAACUUUCUUUGCCAAAAUAAUAUUGGUAACAAAUCAUCAGAAUGUGGAAAAUUGUUGCAGGCUAUACACUUCUACAAAUGUGAUUAUCUUCAAUUAAGGGGACUCAAACAUCUUGACAGUCCAAAAGCACAUAUUACUAUAAACAAUUGCAACAAUGUUAGUGUCUCCAACCUUCAUAUUAUUGCACCUGAAGAUAGCCCCAACACAGAUGGAAUUGACAUCUCCAUGUCAACCUUUGUCAAUAUCCGUAACUCCACAAUUGGAACUGGUAAUGUCAAUGCAUCAAAUCUUACAUCUCUUUCACUCAUUAGCAAUAUUAUUAUCGUCAACUAAUUAUUAUGUAAUUGCAUAAUGGUAAAAUAAUAAUUGUUAUUAUUAUUUGUUGGAUUUGUUUUACAUUUAGGUGAUGAUUGUAUUGCUCUUAAUAAUGGCUCAUCACAUAUCAAUAUCACCAGCAUUGUCUGCGGACCAGGUCAUGGAAUUAGGUCAGUACAUAUUUUGAUUGCUAUAUAUUUUUACAAAUAAUGCAUUCUAAAUGCAAGGGGUUUGUAGCUCAAGUAGUUAAGAGCAUUUACCUUUGCAUCCGAAGUUUUAGGUUCGGUUCCGUCUCCCUCAAUUUCGCUUGUAUAUCAACCACAAACAAAUAAAUGCAUGCUAAAUUUCUAACUCCUCCAUAUAUAGUGUGGGAAGCUUAGGUGAAGAUGGAGCUUAUGAGACGGCAGAAGAGGUUCAUGUGCGAAACUGUACUUUCAAUGGUACAAAGAACGGAGCUAGAAUUAAGACAUGGCAGGUAAUGAACAUUAAACCCAAUACAGUUCAAGAGCCCUGAUCCUUUUUUUUUCCUGAUGUUGUGCUUAUGUCCAAAGCAACGUCGAUUCAUGAUUUUGUUUAAAUAUGAACCCUAAAUCAUUCUAAAUCCUGAAGCGCCAUCGUAUUGAAGUUGAACACAAGCACAAUAUGUCUUGAACUAGUCCAUUUCCCAUAUAACAAAAACAAUCUUGUUUUUUUUUUUUUUUUUUCAGGGCGGUUCUGGAUAUGUCAAAGGGAUAUCAUUUGAGAAUAUCACACUAAUAGGAGCUAAAAACCCUAUUAUCAUCGACCAAUAUUACUGUGAUAAAAAUGGACACAAUUGCAAACCUUCAGUGAGUUUUCUCCAUUAUUUUUUAUUGUAAAGGUCUUCAGAAUGAACACUUAAUUAAUCCAGAUUUAGUUAACUUAAUUCUAAUGCCAAUGGAGUCUAGUCCAGUGAAAAAUGGCCUUGACUUGCAUAUUAGAGGUCUCAGGUUCAAAUCCCCAGUACAUCAUAGUUGUGUGUGUGCGAGUAGUUUAGACUAUCGCUUGUACUAAAAAAAUUCUAAUGAAAAACAUGGGUUGUGAUUUCAAUUUUUUUUUGGAAAAUUGACAGGCUUCGGCAGUAAAUGUAAGUAAUGUGAUUUACAGAGGGUUUCAAGGAACUUAUGCAAAUGAGGAGGAAGCGAUUAUAUUUGAUUGCUCCAACACUCCAGGUUGUCAAAACGUAACCAUGAACCAAAUCAACAUCACCUCCACACUUGAUCCUGGAAAGAACAUUUCUGCCGCUUGCAAGAAUGUAAAUGGAACUUUUGACCCUGCUGUCCCUUGCUCACUAUGGGCCUAUCUGCACCCUUGAUUUUGAUUUGUUUAAUUUUAAAUAAAUUUUGAAGAAAUACUAAACAAGUGUUUUUUUUUCCCUUCAAGGGUUAGCUUUAGAAUAAUUUUCAAAUGAUGUUGGGUGUGGUAAGUAAAUGUAGGUCGGGAUAAAAAAGCAACAAAUUUGGUGAGUUUUCAAAUAUAGUUUAUGGGUGUUGUGAGUAAUUGCAUAUUCUGAUUACAUUUUUUGGGUGCUUGAAGACUUUUUAUCUUUGUGGAGUCCAAAUAGUUUCUUUACCAUUGUGGGCUGAUAUUUUCCUCUGUACGUGAUUGAGUUUGCACUCUUGAUGAGUUGAUUCUCAUCUCUUUUACACAUGAAGGGUGAGGUAUGUUAAGAGAGUAAGAGCUAAGGAACAAAGAGUGAGUCUGUUAAAGGCAUCUGAAAACCAUUGCAAUUUCUCAACUGGGAAGGUUAGACCAAUUUUUUUUUUCUUCUCCUUUUUAUUAUAAAUGAUUUGUUUUUUAAUACAAGUAAAAUUGAGAAAGCGGGGAAUCGAACUUAUGACAUUGAGAAAGCGGGGAAUCAAACUUAUGACAUCGGGUGAAGGGGAUAUCUCUUAUAUAUGAGUUGAUUAUGUUGUUCAAAUGAAUAGAUAGGCCAUCAAAGUAGCUGAGAGACAAGGAUGAGACUGAAUUGCAACUCCAUUUAUUACUCACCUUAUCAACCAAAUAUAUGGCCAUGCAUUCAUUUACAGCUUAGGAUGCACAAAGAAGUGAGAGUAGUAGCAGCGGCAUGUACUAAUAUUUCCAUUGAGUAUUAUAAAUCCCCAGCUAACUGUAUAUAUGUGUCAAUUCAAAUCCACAUGAAACUCAUUAAUUUAUACCAACAAUGACUUUGCUGAAAAUAUAUGCCAAUUUUUAACAUAUUUACAAUCAUAAUGAACUUCUUUCCAACCCACUCUUCCCCAUCCAAACCCAUACAACAAACCAGUUACAUACAUCCCAAUUCAUCAAGACAUGAACACUUUUGGCCCAUAUCCUAUAGACCCACAAAAGGGUGUAAAAAAGAUGAAACAGAGGAACAACACAGAACAAAGAAUUACAAAAAACACAACAAAAAAUGAAAGAUUCUUUCCUUAAUUUGCAUCUUCCCACAAGUACUUUUAAGUUAAUCUUCCAAGUCAUCUAAUCACUUUUUUCUCAUCAAAUGAUCCAUCCUUGAUCAAGUUCAAACUUAGACUAUUGAACCGCUCUCGUGAGUACUGCCUUGAAGCCUUCCUCCAAUCUGUGCCGGCCUUCAUCAUAGCAGCAAACUCCUCGUAACUUAUUCGUCCAUCCUGCAAUCAUGGAUGGGCAUUGAGUGUCAACUCUAAGCAAGCAUAAAAAAUAAAAAAAUUUUGCACAGAUCAUGGAGAGUGGCAUGAUUUUAGAGUAUCAUGCAUGGCAAGAAAAAUUCCUGUUUUUGGCUCAGACUAACAACAUGAAGAUACAAUUUGAAAAGGAAAAUGAUAUGAAUCAUAUAUAGUUUUAAUUAACAUGAGAUUUUACCAACCUUGUCUGUAUCCACGUCAUGAAUAAUGGCAUUAAUAACAUCUUCAAAGUUGUCGUCAACUUCAGUAGCCAAGGCUUCUCGCAGCUCCUCAAUCUCAAUAUACUCACUUUUGUUUCGAUCAAAGAAUUGAAAUGCUUUGCGAAGGUGCACCUCAUCAUUGCCCAUCUUUCUUAGGUGAACAGAAAUGGCUACAAAUUCUCCAUAGUCCAGACAUCCAUCAUUAUCAACAUCACCCUGUUAAAGAAAAAGCACAACCUCUGAUUACUAAGUGUAAUACACAGAAUUUUAUAAUUAUGUAAUUCAGAAAAUAAUCCAAGCAUUCUUCUGACUUGAAUGUACAUAGAGAUGAUACGUUCUGUCAUGUCAAAACAAUCACUUUUAUUCCCCCUUGACCUAAAGUUCAUAACUGAUUAAAGGUCACUUCUGCAGAUUCCUUUUUGCUUAGAUAUAUCAAACAUGUAGGUCGACACUGAAGACCAGCCUAAGAGGAAUUUGGCCACUUAAAAGUAGAGUUUUGAUUUAACUUCUUUUUGUUUCCAUUAAAUAAAAUUGGGGGCUAGGCAUUAGGGGGUUAGAGGACUUGGAAGAAGUUAUUCAUCCAAUGUGAUUUCCUUCUAAAUGUUAGAAGUAUGAACAAAAUAGUUCAUAGCAAGCAUGCUUGGAGAUAAAUUAUGCUAGCAUUAUGCCAUUUUGUCAACACCCCACCCCCGUUAAUUUAAAAAAAUAAAAAUAAAAAUUAUGGCUUUUUGCUGUCCCCUUGCUUUUUUCUGGCCCCUGGACAUUUACAGUUGUAACUGUAAUUGUAUCACAGUUACACCCUCAAGGUUGCAUUUUUACUUCUCGAUCAUCGCUUAAGACUUGGGAGUUCAAUUCUUAAUUUUUAGGCGCAGCCCAAAUCCAGGAACUAAACCUUAGACCUUAAGCUCUAAAAUUGGCCUAAAGUAAUCUAUAUCUCAAAUUCUAAGCUCUAAGCCUCCCUAAACUGUAUAAACCAUACACUUAUUCAGGAUAGUACUUACAGCUUCCAUCAUAAUUUGAAGAUCUCCAUCAGGAAUCUGGUGGCCAAGUUUAUGCAACCCAACUCUCAGCUCAUCAAUGUUAAUCUUGCCCUUGUUGGUAGUAUCCAUGAGCUUAAAUCCCUCCUGUAUGCCAGCAACUUCCUCCAUUGACAAAUGCUCAGCUAUAACCUGUUAAUUUAAAAUUCCAAAAGACGUGGAAAAUAAAAACAUUAGUAACAGAGGACUCAUUCAUAUCACAGUAGAACAUCCAAAGAAGAUGAACAGGGUUUGACAUAUUAUCAAACAGAAAUAUUUGAGGCAAUACCUUCAGUGCUCUCUUCUUGAGCUUGUUCAUUACAGUGAAUUGCUUGAGCCUCGCCCGCACAGUUUCACCUAAAGAAACAUUUGGAGCUUUCUUUGCAUUUAGUAACCAAGGAUGAUCUGCAAGAACAAGAUGUAUGUUUAUUAUAUUAUGAUUCAGAAGUUUUUAAACUCAUAAGCAAAUCCUUCUAGCAACAAAAGUUUCAUUUAUACUAAACAAUAAUGAUUGUCAUUCACAGAACGGAACAUUACCUAGAACUUCCUGGGCUGUAAGCCUCCGCUUUGGGUCAGGAUUAAGCAUCUUCUUCACAAGGUCUUUUGCAUUAUCAGAAACCUUAGGCCAGGGGUCUCUCUUAAAAUCUACAACAGACCGUAUAAUUGCUUGUGCAACUCCCUGUUCAGUUUCUGCACAGCAAGAUAAUAGAUUUGAAGUCAGAAAUUAUCAGAGAUUAUAACGCUAGGAAAGCCAGCAAGCAAAUUAGAAUUCAUAGGAGCAAAGAGAAAUUAGAAAAGUGGAAACUUCAUUCCAUGGUCUUUAUUCUACUUGAAUGCACAUAGAAAUGCAUUUGCCAUAACUAUAAUUUGGUGACUGCCACUUAUGCUAGUAAGUAAAUUCCUAACCUACAGCACAUAAGCUUGUAUUUUGAUAACAGCAAUUCCAAAUUCUGAUUCUAUUCGUUAUCAGUUGAUGAAAAUUAACGUAUUUGGAUAAUAUAUUGGCAAACCAUGGUCCAUGCGUCAACAGGGUAAGCGCACAGAUAGAGUAUACGUGGUGAAUGUGAAGUUUAAUAUAGUGUUCCCCUCUUAAUGUUUUCAGUGAGAAUAUAGGCAGAUGCAGCUUGCAUGGCUAUCUAGAGUGAGUGGGAGUGUUAAGUUGCAAAUACCACUGAAAAUUAUACGUACUUACUUUUUCUGAACAUACUUAAGUCCAAGAAAGUAUUCAUAAAUGUAUACAUGUCCAACAUGCAAGUAUGCAUGUAUGACCAUUGUGUAUAUGUAGACACUUUGGCAUGACCAUGUAAGGUACUUAACAUGCAUAAAGGUAAUCACUGUCCAUCAGGAGUUGUAACUCCACUAAGGAAAAAAUAUUAAACCCACACGUGCGCACACACACACACACGCACAAACCUGCCCAAAAAGGUGGAACUCCACAUAGUAAGAUGUAAAGUAUAACUCCAGCGCUCCACACAUCUACUUCAGGACCAUAAUCGCGCCUUAGCACCUCAGGGGCCAUGUAAUAUGGACUUCCAACAAUUUCAUUAAAUUUUUCACCUGGUAAUGUACAUGAAAAGAUAACACAUCGGUUAAACUAAACAAAACAAGAAAACCAAAUGUGAUAGUCUCGAGAAGACUUUACCUGGUUUAAAGAACACUGACAACCCAAAGUCGAUUGCCUUUAAAGCAGCUGUUUCCUUCUUGUUUGCAAACAAAAAGUUCUCGGGUUUGAGAUCCCGAUGCAUCACACCAUGCUUGUGGCACAUCUGCAACAGAAUUAAACACAUUAACUCAUGCCAACGCAUGUAAAACUAUUAAAAGGUGGAUUCCUCAAAGAAUAAAUCUUGUGAAGGAGAAUCUGUUCUAUAGAUAACAAGGAAAAAGAAUCAAUUCACCUAAUUCCAGCAAUUACAAUCUGACCAUCGAAAGCUAGAUUAACUGAUGUACAAAGAAUAUACUCAUCAAAGAAUUAAACAACCCAACUUACCCGAAAGAAUUUUAUCAGCUACUUCUUUCUAAGUACUACAGGGUAAUCAACUGACUAUUUUCUAUCUAUUCAACAAAGAUCUAAAUUUACAAGAAGCAGAAUUAGUUCUAAAUUUAACCAUAGUCUAGCACUUCCAAAACCAAAUAGUUCUUUUAAAUAAAAUCAAUCCCCCACUGCAUAAAUUCAACAACAAAAACUCAAAAGAAGAUCCAAUCACCAAUCGAACAGCAUCACUCAAAACCACCCAAAUUCUCACCUGAACAACUUCCACAAUAGUCUUCGUGACGGCGGCAGCCGCGCGCUCUGUGUAGUGGCCUCUGGAAACGAUUCGAUCGAACAACUCACCACCCUCACAGAGCUCCAUGACAAGAUGGACAGCAUGGUCAUCCUCAUAUGUGUCUUUCAAGCUCACUAUGUUGGGGUGCUUAGGCAAAUGCUUCAUGAUCUCAACUUCUCUCCUUACAUCCUCGAUAUCCACAGCUGUCCUCAGCUUAUUCUUCGAAAUCGAUUUACAAGCAAAUUUAUCGUUGGUUGCCUUAUCGAUGCAAAGAUAUGUAAUUCCAAACUCUCCUCGGCCGAGCUCGCGACCCAGUUCGUAUCUUUGCUCGAUUUCAACGCCAGUUGGGUCUUUCAGCACAGAGAGCUUGAUGCCUCCAUUGCCCUGGUUGCCGGGGUAGUCUAUUGCAAAUGGGUUCUUCCUGUUCUUCUUGUCUUUCAACGGUGAACCCGUUUGAGGGGUCACACAACAAUUACCCAUCUAUAAUAAUAAUAAAACGCUUUGUGUGCCAAAAUGGUUUCCGAAUUUGAACACAGUUCCGGAACGAAUCGAAAUCUGAGCUCUUUGGAUAAAAAUAGUAUAUGGUUUUUUGUGUUUGAGAUCCAAAUUGCUCUGCAGCCCAAUUGUAAUGAGAAUUUUCAGAUAAAGGAUCGGAAUUUGUAGGAAGUAUUUUUGGGAUGAAAUGGAAGAUGACCAGAAUUUGAUAUGAGGGAGGUGAUUUAAGGAAAUGAAGAGAGAGGGUUUUGGGUUUGGAAUUGGAGAAGAGGCUGAGAAGGAGAAUUUAGCGUGUGAAAACCACCAUUUGAUGAAAGAGAGAGAGAAAGACAGAGAAAGGGUCCAGCCUCUUUCGCAGAGACUUCCGCAGAGACUUCCCUCCUACCCGCUCUUUCUCUCUCUAGACUACCUCUACCUCUCUUCAGACGCAGUUGGAUAGACAGAUGGAAAUUUAGAGAGAGAGUCCAGAUUCCAGAAGGGGAGAGCUUUGUUGUUUCCUAAAAUAUUCAAAACAAAAUUUAAUUAUCUCUAUUUUUUAAGGUGCAUAAACUAUGCCCUCAAUCUAGGUUCAAAAUUACAAAUUACAUCUAAUUUUGUUGUUUACCAUGUCUUUUCUCUUGGUAUUGACAAUAGUACCCCCGUUGCCAUCUCUUAUAUUUUGAUAUAAUUUGUUGUAUAUAAAGAAAAAGAAAAAGAAAAACAAACUAUUUAUUGAUGAAGAAUAAUAACAUCAUUUUCAGGUAGGAUCAAUAUACAUGAAUUCCAAAUGAGGUUUUGUUUGUUCUAAAAAAAGUACAUCAAAAUUAGAGUUCGACAUUUCAAAUCGUAAACGGGUCGACUUAUUAAAUUAAACUGAAUGGUUCGGUUUGGAGCUAUUUUUUUUUUAUUUAUCUAUAAUUUGUAGUGAUAAAUGAAAUUGAGCCGGCUAGCUCAAUCAUGUUCUCAUCUUUUUCUUUCUCACGUGGUGAGACCCUCGGAUCUUCUUCUCUUCUCUUUGUCUCUCUCUCUCUCCGCCUCUUUCAUCUCCUUCGUCAGCUUGAUCCAACUUCAUUAAUUUUUUCAUCUUGCCUUAAUUUUCUCCAAUUAAUCUUAAAUCCUCUUGUAUAGAAGGUUUUUCCCUCUAUGAUAGUAUUCCAAUUUCUUACAUUAACAUUACGUUAUCAAAAUUUAUACAAUGAAUUAACUACUUCAAGAGAUAGGUUAACCUAGUCGAUAUGAGAAAUUAGAUCUCUAGCUAAUGGUUAUUUGCGUUCAUCAUGCGUUGAUUAUCUUCAUCAGUUGAAUCAUCUCCGUCAUACCUCCUUGGUCUUCUUCAUGAUCAGCUUAAUCCAACUCCAUCACUUUUCCAUUAUCUCUUGUUCUUCUUUAAUUUUUCUUUUGUUUUACUUCUUAGGGAUAUCUUGCCCACUAUGAAAGUGGCUCAAUAGUAUUCCAAUAUUCAUGCAUUAACAUAAAUAUAUAUCUCUAAUAAAUGUAGUCCUAAUAUCCAAGACAUUUUAAGUACCAUCAAUUACAUUCUCAUUACUAAUUUGAAGUCACCUUUGUGUAUAUGUCCGGAGAGAAUUCUCAAAUAAACUCAUUGGUUUUUUAUUUUUAUAAUAUGUGUUAUUCUAAACUAAUAUACGAGAAAUAAAAUCGAACUCGGAUGCAAAGAGACUAACACACACUGAUUAACUGACUUAAUCCACAUAUUAUAUGCAAAUAAACUCAUUGAUUCGAAUACUGUAAAACAUGUUCUUUAUAUCAUAAAUACACGGAAGGUACGUACAAAUAUCAUUAGAUUAAGAAAUCUGAGCAAGGUACUACGAACAAUGGGUAAUUAGAAAAAUACAAUUGUAGCCCCUACAAUGGAUAAUCUCUCUCUCUCUCUCUCUCUCUCUCUCUCUCUCUCUCUCUAUAUAUAUAUAUAUAUAUAUAUAUAUAUAUAACACCAUUAUCACCAUUGGCAUACACAGAUCUUAGUUGACUCGAUCACCAUCUUUGAUUCAUAUAAAUAAAUAUAUGAAAUGUAGUUCCUGCAUUGAUCCCAAUUAUAUUAUGUUUACCUCAAAAUAGAGGUUUUCGGUGGGCCUAACUUUAAAGAAAAAAAAAUUCAUGGAUCAAAUUUUAAGUUUUAAAUUUUUGAAAAAUUUAAAAUUUACUUAGUUAUAAUAAAUAAAAAAUAUAAUUGAGAGGUGCUUUGAAAAUUAUAAGUAAAAAUUUAAAAUUUACUUAGUUAUAAUAAAGAAAAAAUAUAAUUGAGAGGUGCUUUGAAAAUUAUAAGUAAAAAUUUAAAAUUUACUUAGUUAUAAUAAAUAAAAAAUAUAAUUGAGAGGUGCUUUGAAAAUUAUGAGUAUUUAAUUAACAUAAUAUGCAUACAAGUUUGACUAUAUAAAAAAUAAAAAUAAGUGCUAGUCUAGUAAAUAAGAAGAGAAGUUAGGGCAAUAUUGUGAUAACGUAAAGGGACAAAAGGCUUGGUCAUUUUCUGGCCGACACGCUUGCAUUCAGUUGACAAAAGUGACCUACUCUCUAUCCUUCUCGUUUUACACACAACUUCUUGCUCUACAUAAAAUUAGAUAUAAAAGACAAAUCUAAUGGAUUAUGCGCACGUGGCUCUAUUUAACUGGCUGGCCUUGUUCAUCGUAGACCUUCUAGAAGCCAACCGAAAACUUUGGUGGGGGCGUGAGAGAGCGACUAAAAUAUACAAGGGGUUGCCUUCCCAAUUUAAUUCAGUAUAUUCCACUGACUAUACAAAUUAUCUCGGAAGGGUAAUUUUGUCCGACCAGGAGAUUUUUAUAGCCUUUAUUGACCGCCAAGGCCCGCCAACCAUUAACUGCCAAAUGAUUAGUAUUUGUCAUAAGGGUUUUUUUUUGAGAAGUGGGCAUUUGAACCCGUGAACCGAGUCGGAAAAAACGAAAAAAAAUUCGUGUUGACAAAAAAAAUGUCAAUCUAGACUGAAAAAUUGAAUUAGACUGGUUUGGAUCGAUUUUUACCCCCGAUUCUUAUCUUGAAAAAAUUAAUCUAAACCAAACUCGACCGGUUAUAUUAAUUUUACUUAUUCAAUUUUACAUAAAAUUAUUAGUAAGCUUAAUUAAUAUUCAACUAACAUUAUUAAUUCCAAGUAAUAUUUAGAUAUUUUAGCACAAUUAAUACUCAGAUGUUUAGUUCUAAUUUAUACCAAACUAAAUAACUAAUUUAGUCCAAUUUAUUUUUCUUUUCGAUGAACCAUACUCGUUCUUGUUAUGCUUCUGCCUUUAUCUCUUUUCCACCUUUUUUUUUUUUUUCAUUUCUCGUCCUCUCUUCUAACUCUUUCUUAAUUUAUACUCAAUUAAUACUCUUUCUUAUAUAUAUAUAUUAUACUUCCUAUUUCUCCAUUCUCCACAUAUUUAUAUUUUUAUCUUUCCAAUUUGAAAUUCGGGCUGAAUUGAACUGGAACCGUAUUGGUCCAUUUUGGUUUGGUUCUGCUAUACACUUUCUAUAAAAACCGAAUCGAACUAGAACAUAUGAAAAUUCUGAUUUCGUUUUUAAUUCAAGAGGAAAACCAAACCAAAUCGGACCAUACCUACUCCUAGCGUUUAUUACAAUUAUAGUUUCAAUCCUUUUUUUAACUACACAAAUCCUCUUCCACCUUUCACUCCUCCAUCCUUUUGUUGUUUCUCUUUGAAUUCAUUCAAUUUGGAAGAUAAUUGGAGCCCUUUGGGCUGUAUAUGGGUGAGUGGAGAGGUAAUUGGCACUGCAACAAGAGUUUUUUAUUUUAUUUUUUAUUUUUUAUAAAUAUAAAUAAUAAUUUAAACUAUAAGAAAAGAGAAAUUUUCACACACACUAUUAAAAUAUUAUAAAAUUUUGAAUAUAAGACUACGAAUCUGCAAACUAAUGCUCAUUUCUAUUUGGCAAGACCCUAUUGGUUUUUUAGGUCGUCCAUGCCAACAAAAAUGUCCGAAUAAAUAAAAAGCUUGCAUCUGUCUCCAAGCAGGCACAGGGGGCCCAGCCGUCCAGGGAUGGGGCAAAAAGGACAGUUUCGUCAUUUAACGAAAGAAAGAUAUAAUGGCAUCAAAAGCGUCGCCCUCCGAUUUUGGCAUAUGGGUGACCAGUCAAGGAUGACGAUUUUGACUCGUGGAUACAACAUGUCGAAUUUUGGAGUUGCCAAGUAGACACAACUUGUAGCCUUUGAGUGGAUUUUUUUAAAAAAAAAAAUCUUCGUGCUCCUUUAUUUUUGUGACUCUUAUUAUGUGACGUCAAGGCACAGAAUUUUAUCCUGAUUUUGGUUGUCAGACCAUGAAUUUUUUUAAAAAAAUAAAAAAAAUAAAAAAAACUGACAGCAAUUGGUUGAUGCUUAAAAUUGGACUCAGCAGCUCUGAGCCAGCUGGAAUACCUGAGGAAAGUGAACGCCACAGAAAUCUUACAAGACAAUGAAGACAAAAUCGUAAAUAAAUUCAAUUAGAAUUGGCAUUUAAUAGAGUGUUUUGUGAAUCGAGAUCAUUAUGUUAGGUUUAUUAUGAUGUCGUAUUUUAGUGCGAUGAUAAUGAGUGUAAUUCCAUCACUCGGUUUAUUACGAUAACAAGUGAAAUUGUUAAAAAGUUAGAUGAAUUCAAGUUACACUUACAAUUAAUGAUCUAAUUAAUAGAAGUUCGUUUGAACAAAGUAUAACUUGAGUUCAUCUAACUUGUGAAUAGUACUUUGUUUGGCUUUGCCGCAUGAUGAGUAAGCAACAUAAUUAGGCUUAAUUACUAAUUUGGACUCAUUAGAAAGCUCAGAUAACCUCAUAUGUUUUGCUAGUAGUCAUUUUUUAUUUAAUGAAAAUAGAUAUCAUUAACUCAUGAGAGAUUACCAUGCUAAAAAAGAACAUCAUGAGGCUCCUCAAAACAAGCACAAGCUUUCUCAAUAUGCAAGCCAAAAUCUAACUAGAUGAUGAGUCGGACCAUUAGUACUAUGACGAACAUGAACAAAGAUAUUGCAGUGACAACUCAUAAAAACUCUUUUGUAUCCUUGAUAAUGGGUGGUGCUAUGCACAGGCAGGCUGGGUGUCUACCCAGCUCAAAUUAUUAUAAUUUUGUUAAAAUUACCUACAUGCGUUAUAAGUCCAUUCCAAAAUUUAAAAAAAUUAAAAGCAAAUUCUGCACAUAUGUUGCCCAUCCAGGUGGUCCUAUAUCUUCUCUCUCGUUGCUAUCAGGCAUUAGCAAGUUUCUCUCUUUUAUUUUUUGGGUCAAAUUCUCCUUCUAUUGGCUAUAUCUUCUAUUAUCUUGGGUGGGCAACUUGGCAACAACAUAUUCUCAUCUCCUUUUGUUAACAACAAGUGUUAUUCUCAUUCUUUCUAUUGCUAUAUAUCUUUAAUUAUAGUUUUAAUUUAAAAUUGAGUAAUUUAGGAAUUAAGGAUGAAUAAUAAUUUUGGAAUUUUGUUGAAAUUAUUUAGGGCUUUGAUUAGUGAUGAAUUAUUGUAUGGAUUUGAUUUGAGAUCUUCUUAAAAUUGAGUAUUUUAGGGUUUAAUUAUGGAUGAAUUAUAAAUUUUGGUUUGGUAUUGUUGAGAUGCUAUUAUGAAAAUUUGUUUGAUUAAAAUUCUUUCUACAUAUUAUUCAUAGGCUAUCCUUUAAGAGUUCCAAGCCUCGCAUAGUUAAAUUUUAGAUUUAAAUAGUGUUGUUUUGUAUUACAUUGCAUUUACUUUUGGUUUUAGUUUUAGCUUUUGUAUUUGUUGAACUUUUAUUUAUGGAUAGAGAUGCAUUUGAGGGUAUGGCUCCUAAGUAGGUGUAUAUUUGUGUGUUUAUUAAUGAAAUGCACUCGUAUCAUCAAGUUUAGUAUGUAAAUUUUGCCCAACUAGCUUUUGAAUUCUGAACUGCCCACAUGCCCAACAAGCGACAUAUAGUGACCCAAAUGAUGAAUACAGUUGAAAUAGUCUGGAAGGAUGCACCCUCAAAGGCAACAUAAUGGAAGCCAAAAUAGAUCACCAUACAAUUAAAUGCUUACUAAUGGGCGGUGCCAACGUUGCUUUGACAAUAUUCCAAGAUAAUGGUUAGGUUUCAUGACAAGUUAACCAAAAUGUUGGUUGAAAUGCACCACAUUUCAUUCAUAGUUGCAUGGAAUGGAAGCAAUUGGAAGCCACGCGUCACUUGUUUAUUUAACGGGGCCUUGUAUUGUGCUUCACCCACAAAGUUUAUAUUGGUCGCAUUUUAGUUCAUCUUCCACAUGCAUUUUUCAUCUCUCUCUCCCAUUUUCAAGUAUUAUUUACGUUUUUCACCAAUGGAUGAUACAGUCUUAUGCACUUGACGUCGAUUGCAAUUAAAAAAAGAGAGAAGGGGUUUGGGUUUUUGUUCUUUGUUCAUCCGAGGGGGGCAUAAGCAAAGUGCCACUGCUAUUUAGGCCUACAAAUCCUAUUAAAGAAUAAUUUUAAUCGCUGUCAACGAUAAUUUCAUCUCGUGAUAUUUAGUCUCUACUUUGUUGGAUAAAAUAUAUCGAGCUCAUGAACAAAAGAGCUUCCAUCCAAAAGAGAGAUAAGUACCCAAAUGGAAUCUCACCAUUUUCACUAUAGCAAUAUAAGUUUCAGGUGAAAAGAAGUAAUAACGUGCCCGAAAUAGACAUAAAAACACAAAAAGAGUGCAUCGGUUGAAUUCUGGUUGGGUAAUAACGAGACAACCAGUAUAAGCCUGGAUCCAAUGUAAUGAUACAAAGCUUUGUUCCUUUACACUUUUACAACAUGCUGUCACUGUUGACUGAACUUUCACUUCAAUGAGGUUGGCAUGGAAAUUGAGUGGAAAAAGUAAGCUUGGAACUUGAAACUUUUGCAAUCUUGGUGGCUUGCACCUUAGCGAUCAUGAGAAGCUAAUGAUCUUUUGCUUUUCAAGUAAAAUUACAAAGUAAUAAUCAUAUUUGAUUCACGAUACACAUAUCAGAAGCAUGAAAGCACAGUAGAAGCUACUAUUUAUCAUUUCUAUCUUAAAGCUUAAGCUAAGUAUUUUAUCUUUCUUAUGAAAAACACCUUUGAAAAAAGAAAAAACCCAACCACAAAUUUGAAAUUUCUCUUCUCCUUUUAUAGAUGAAAUAAUAAUGACAAUUCUAAGGAGAUGCUUCUGGAAAUUUCCACAAGCGCAACUCUGGAAAAUUUCAUGUGGUGGUACUUAUAAUUCUUGUCAGUUUAGCAUACACUAGCAGUGGAGGAAAUCAUUUUGUGGUAGAGAAAGACCAAGUAAAUGCCAUGCCAUGUCAAAUUUCAAAAUUGGUCGCAAGUCAUAUGCUGCCAACCAAACAUGUUUAUUUAUUUCAAAACCAGUCACUUUCGUUGGCGGUACGUGUAAAGUAUUGUUGGUGCCAAGUCAAUAAUGGACUUUGUUGAAUCAGCCUCUCUCUUGUUAAACUCGGAAGUUUUGGUCGUUUGCUUUGCCAGCCAUUCCCAACAAUAACUUUCAUAAAUUAUAAAAAGUCAACGACCUACUGGAGUUUUUUUUUUUUGGGUCAACACCAACUGAAGUUGAAAAUUACCUGGUUUUUAAUUGCUCUUAUGGUCCCCACUCUUCAUAUGUGAUAAACUUAAAUAUAAAAAAAAUAUUACUGAAAAAAAAAAAUAUUAUUAUCCAUUUUUAAUAUUUGCGUUUAGAUACAAAUACUUGUAAGAAUAUAAAACAAGAAUGUGGCUGUAGUUUAGUGGUAAGAAUUCCACGUUGUGGCCGUGGAGACCUGGGCUCGAAUCCCAGCAGCCACACUUUCAAUCUUUUUUAUCUUUUUUAUUUUAUUUUAUUUUUAUGUUCAAAGAAAUUCGACCCUCCCUUAUUCUAGGCUUUUAUCAUUAAUUUCUUUGUUUUAAAAAAAUAAAAAAUAAAAAAUUUAUGAGGAGGUAUAUUCAAACUUGAUUACAAGAGGCCGGACUCACUGUUCUAGCCGAUGGCCUACUCCUUUCUUGUUUUUUGCGUGGAAUUUCUCUGUUUUUAAAAAAAAAAUGAAUGAGGUAGUUGGAUUAAUCCCCUUGUUACGAAAUGCUUCAUUUAUUUAUUUCAUUUAUUUAAAAACAUCAGUCUUAUGAUUAACAUCUAAAUUGUUCUCACCUAUAUUUGAACCCUCUACUGUAUUAAGAAUGGAAUCAGAAGCUUCUAUUUAACUUCAAAAAUACUUACAAGCAAAACAAGAAAAUAUAAUUCAAAUAUAUUAAUGACUCGUUCUAGAUGCCUAAAAAUUUCUUGUGUGGGACCAAGCUUGGUUCUAGACACACAUGAUUACCAUGGAUGACUGACACACCAAAUGAGCAAAAGACCCAGCUGCUUCCAUUAAAAUUGACUUGGCCAGAAGAAGCUAAGAAACAUGAAAGCUGGAACUUUGCUUUGGUCUCAAGUUAACUAACUCAAGCAAAUCCAACUUUCUUGAGCAUAAACAGGCUUUCAUAUCCAAGUCUACUCAAUCCUCAUCUUUCUGGUAAUCUUACCCUAAGACCGUAAAACUUUCUCCGAAAGACCAAAACAAAACGGCAGUAACACUAUUCAUGACCCAACAUAUGAAGACAUAAGAACAGCUUCAGUAUAAAAAAAAUACGUUCAGGGCCACAUCUGUCUCUGUUAAGUGUCAAACAUGGGAUUUUUUAAUAGGAGAGUGAGUGAGCGACAUAACGUACCUGUUAAGCAACUGACUGCAGGCCUGAGCUCGAACAAGAACCAGUCAAAACUCAAAAAAGACAAAUCAUAUUGCAUCACUGGCUAAAAAUUAUUUUUCCAUUAGCUUAAAAUAGCAGAUACAGUUACUCGGUAAAACAAAACCUAUCGUCUUUCGGCCAAUUAAAUGUUUGAUACUUGUAGUCUUCAUUACAACUCAACAUAAAAAAUCUUCGUCAACCCACUCGUCUUCACAUCAUCAGUGAACAUCUUCUAGUAGUACAAUGCUGAAUCUUGAUCUUUUAUAUAUACAACCAAUAUUGCAAAACUUGACUUACUCUGUGUUGAUGUCUAAAAACGUGACUUUCUAUCGUUGAUUUCUCAAGUGACUCAACAAAUAUGUGAUGAGUUUCACAAAUACUCAUCAGCCCACAUGGUAUAUAUUUACAAAACUACCUGUUUGAUUUCUUUGAGAACUUUGGGUUUUUGCACAUUCGGAUACUCGAAGGAGUAACCUCCACCAGUUCAUCCUCUUGAAUAUACUCAAUGCAGUCAUCCAGACUGUAGUCCAAUGGGGUAUCAAGAAUCACUGGAACAAAAAAAAAAGAAAAAAAAGAAAGAAAAGGAGAUUCUAGAUUAUUAAUUGCCAUAAAUAAACUGAGGAUUGUUGCUGCAAAUGUACAAACUCAAAAUAUUGAUUUACUUAUAAAAGAGAAGAAAACAUGUGAACCCAACCAUUUUGUAAGCAAUCAAUUACUAAGUAGAUUAUUGAAGUCGGAGAAUGGAGAGACCUUCAGAAACUACUAGUCUAAGAAAAAGGCUACUGCAUGGAGAGACCUUCCAGAAACUAAUAAAAAGCCUACACUGGUUCUGGCAAAUAUUAUGAUACCACCCCCAUUAAACUUAAGAAAUAUCCUAUGUCCUUGUAAAUAUAGGGAUAAUUCUGUUCUGAGAAAAGGAGCAGACAUUAGAAACACGAAGAGCAAAAGUGAAAUAUUAUGAAAAUUCAAUCCAUGGCUUGCUCCACAGAGAAUACAAUUCAUUAUUGCGUCUAUCUUAAAGUACUGUUAACAAUGGAUAAAAUAGCUUACAAAUACUAAAGUAACAAUUUGUUUAGACAAAAUUGAAAUGUUCGAACACAUUUUAGUCUUUGUUAUUAACUUCUCUUCUCUUUCUUUGUGAGAUGAAGUCGGUGCUAUUAACUUAAAACAGCUAAACCUCACCCAAUAUACAGUCACGGUCAGCACAUCAUAACUUAAGAAAUGUAAAGUUAACAAUAUCAGAAACGGUAUUAACUCUUUUACCCGAGACAUGAGAUAAGUAGAACAGGUACUAUAGUUGCUUCUCACCUGUUACAUCUUUGUUGGAACGGAUGUUUGUUGCAGCCUUCUUCUUACACACAUUAAGGGAUAAGUCCCCAGGCCGCUGAUGGAUGCCAACUAUCUGACCUUUAUAAACUUCCACGCCAGGACCAAUAAACAACUGCCCCCUCUCCUGUGAACUAGAAAUGGCAUAAGAAGUACUCGUUCCACCCUCAAAGGCAACCUGAAAAUAUUGCAAUUCAAUUUAGUCAUCCUGACACAAGGGAAGGGAAACACACAUGCAAACGUGUGCAGAGCACAUAUAUGAUCUUUACUUCUCUUUUGGAUGAUUUGUUCUCAACACUAGAUGUGCAAAAAGGGUGCAUGUGAUAUAACAACUGUUGUGGUCACUACCAUACCAGACAUUGACAAAGGCUUUCCACCACCAGGACUAAUAAAGUCAAACCUUAAAAUAUAACCACAAUCUCAGAAAUUACCAGUGAGCCCAGAUCCCGGGUACUCAUAUCACCAGCCCAAGGUCCAUAGCUAUCAAAUAUUGUGUUGAGAAUCGCAGUGCCACGAGAAGCUGUUAAAAUUGCAUUUCGCAGACCAAGAAGGCCACGAGUUGGAAUUUUAUAUUUGAGGAAGGUUGUGCCUUCCGACCUAGCACAUACAAAAAGUCCAGAUAAUCAGACAUCUGUUGCAUUCACCACGCAGCAAAUUCAACCAAUAACUGCCAACAAAAGUAGAGUAAAAGUACAGAUGUAAAAGUGGAGUAUAUAAUAACACUGUGACACCCCACAGUACCCGUGCGCUUGGGGGGAAUUGAACAGAUGACAACAAAAUAUUAGUCCAUUAAUUUUCUUUUGGUUACAUAGCUUACUAAUUUCAAAACCAAUUACUUUAUAAGAGCGAUCUACAUUGAUACUGUUGCUGCACCAGUUUAGGAAAAGAGUGAAAAUGAUAUCCCUGAGUAGCUGACAAGAAAUGGCGUAAAAAAUGUACUAUACAAAUAUCUACUGGUGAAAUAAUCUCUCACGAGGUCUUCAUUAUGGGCUGGGUAUUCUUUUUUUUUUUUUUUUUUUUUUUUUUUGCCAUGAUUAUGGGCUGUUCAGUUGCAUUAAUGUUGCACCUGCAUGUGCGGAUGCAUAAGAUUGGUAACCAAUCUUAUUUUUGGGCAUUUACUGUAUAUCACAUCUGUAGAUCUAUCCUUUACAUAAUGCAAACUUCUGUUGAACCUGUAACCAAUAUGCUGCUACACAGUUUCAUUGGUAGAGUUAUAAAGACAGUUAUGUAAUAAUCAAGCAUAGUUUUUUGCCUUUGGUUCUAAUUUUAUGCAUUACUUUGAAUUUAUUCAAAAGAUGAUUAGUCAAAAAUGAAAAUAGAAGCAGAAAAAUUCUACAUACCCAACCCCUUGCAUAUCAAACAUCUGCCCCCGUCUUUUGCCAAGAAGCUCAACGACAGCGCCCAUGUGUUCUUCUGGAACCUCCACAGUGGCAAUCUGCAAGCAAUCCACAUGAUACAAAUGACUGAUAUCAGAAGAGUGGUAGCAUGAUUUGUAACUUAUCAGGAACAUUUUUGACCAAAAAGAAACGUGAAUCAUUUGGAAAUAUCUGUGCUAUAUUUGUAAAAAGCAAGGCAUCACAAUUCUUAAGAAAUAAAUACUGCAUUUAUUAUUAUUUUAAAGUAAUAUCACCAUGUGCCUUAUUUCUAUUCAAAUUGUUUCGAAACGAAGCAUAAAUAUUGGUCUUCAACUAUAACCGUAGCUAUUGACCUUUCACCCUUUACCUAAACAUCAACCAUUAAAAAAACAUUUAAACAGAAAUCACCUCAUAUGGUUCCAACAACUUGUCAUUCACCCUUUUGUUAAUGACUUUGGGAGGUCCCACCAUGAAUUCAUACCCUUCUCUUCGCCUACAUUGAAUAACCAUUUAAAAUUGUGUAUGCAGAAGAAUAGGAUUAUGUAAUAACAACAAAAUAACUGUACUUACAUGUUCUCUAUCAAUAUGGUAAUAUGUAAAGUACCCCGUCCACUAACAAUGAAGGUAUCUGCUGUUUCACCAUCUUCAACCUUCAUAGCCAAGUUACGCUCAAGCUCACGAGAAAGACGAUCUCGUAAGUUCCUACUCGUAACAUACUUCCCCUGAAAUAUAGGAAACCAAUUUCCAAUCAAAAUGCCAAACAAGACAACAAACCCUCGAUCACUUAAUAUGGUACCACCACUAAUUGACACAGACAUGUUAAAAAGAGAUAUUGAUUAGGGGGCACCUUAUGCUGCCAGAUAAUUUGGCAUGCUAUGUUGCAAGACUGUCAAUAUGGACCAUGAUUAAAUGGACCCGGAUUCCCAUUCUGACAUCAUAAUAUGCCAAAUAUCUGGCAGGAGAAUUACCCUAUGUAUGUUAUAUGGAAAAUUGCUCAUCCAUUGCAUUUUUAAAGUCCAGACGCUAAGCUCGAAUCCCCUUAUAUCUUCUGCUCCAUUACUGACAGGUUUAAUAUUUUCAGGUGUAGAAUCUCCUCAUUAGGGAUCAGGUUUUGUAUUUUAACUCUCAGUUUUUUGAUGCACAAUUUAACAACAAAAUAAAAAUGCAUUCAAACAAUCGUAUUAUGGCUUUCUAACGCCAACACAUUUGAAGUGCAAGAACAUCUAGGCAUCCAUAUAUGUAAGAACAUACCUCGCGUCCAACAAAUGGUGAAGUGUUUAUAGAGAAAGCCAUUUUCACAGUUGGUUCCUCCACCUUAAUUGCAGGUAAUGGUGUCCCAUUGGUCUUAUCAGCAAUUGUCUCGCCAAUCUAAAUAAAUUAAAAAUAUUAAAAUCAGCCAUGAAAUAUCUCUGAGAUUUUAUAAAAAUCAUAUGCCAUAUAUCAAUGCAAAACUAUUAAGUUGUCACCUGAAUAUCAUUAAUUCCACAAACAGCACAUAUAUCACCAGCCUCCACACUUUCUGCAGGAACCCUACUGAACUUCUCGUACACAAAGAGCUCACUAACUCUUGCAAAUCGACAUGAAUCUUCUGAGGUGCAUACCUAUAAAAAUCGAACCAUAACCAGAAAUUAAGAAACAUGUUUCUUUUUCUGUAUAGUAGCCAAUGAAUGCGAUCACAAAGCAUUAACAUAAACUACAGUAGACCAAAAGGAAAUACAUAGGUAUGGAUAAGAUUCCAAAAUUCUAUCCGAGUAUCAUUGGUUUUAUGGGAAUUAGUUAUAGAUCCUUGCAUUGCAUUAAUAUGUUAGCAACCAGAGAUCAUGUAAUGAAAAGAAAAAGGCUAGAAUGUAGCAUAGAACAUAUUCAAGAUUUGGCUCAAAAUCACCUUCACAUCCAUCCCCUUCUUCAGAAUCCCAGCAUGCAAGCGUCCAAUAGCUAUUCGCCCUUUGUGUUCAUCAUACUCGAUAUUUGUAGCCUGAAAUAUUAAAUACAGAAUAAGAUAUAUGAUGCUCAUGCAAAGUAAAGUUAAAAGUAAAUGAGGAGCUAAGGUUUAUAGUAACAAUUUAAAGCCGUACAAUAUCAUGCAACAUUUAAUUAUAAUGUAUAACAAAACAAGAACGAUUAAUAUAAAAGGGUCUUGUUCUUCAUCUUCCACUAAUCAAUUUCAAUUAGUCAAGAUAUUAAAGAGUCUGAGCCUCCUUUGACUCUUCUCUCAUACUGAAAUGGUGUGUACUGCAUCCAGGUCUUUAUAUGCAGACCCCUGUAGUUUCAUUAAUUGAUCAGCCUUUCUUGAUGCAAUAGUUCGUUGUAAAGGUCAAGAUCAGUGAAUGAGCAUUAUAAAAUAAAAAGAGAAAGAAUGAUGACAUUAAAGAAAAACCACUAACAAGCAUUUGCAGUGAACCAUCUUUGUCGAUAGCAGGUCCAGGUAUGCAUCUCAUUAUGCUCUCAAAAAGGGGCCCAAGAUCAUCUGCCAAAUUAUCCGCUGACAACCCUGCCUUUCCUUUAAUCCCACUAGCAUAUAUUGCUUGGAAAUCACACUGCAUGUAAAAUGAAUGUCGGAAUGAGGUUAGACUUUUACAUGCAUUUAACAUUGAAGCAGCAGUGCAAUCCAAAAGCGUCAUAGACAAGACAAUUAAUAUAAAGAGGCGAUCUCAGGGAUAGAUCACUUUGUAGCUUUCCUAAUGUGAUCGACAUUUCAAACACGUUUUAGAAGGAAAUUUCUUGCCAUUAUAUCCCAUAGCAACCACAAACUAAUUCCAUGUAGUCCAAGAUGCCUUUUCACUGACCCAGAUAUAUCGAUUCAAAGGCAAUAGGUUUCAAAUACAGGGCCAGGUUUGAGAAACAAACAGAAUUCCAAAUGGCCAAAAUCAACCAGUAAUGUGAAUUCUAUGUACGCCACUCCUUCAACAUUUAGUUACCUGUUCAUCAGUCGCAUUUAAUUCAAUAAAGAGUUCAAAAGUGGAAUUGAUGACAAAAUCUGGACGAGCUGAAGGCCUAUCAAUCUUAUUGACAACAACAACAACAGCAUGGCCAAAUUCUAGAGCCUUCUUCAAAACAAAUCUUGUCUGCGGCAUUGGGCCCUCAACAGAAUCUACCUAUAAAGAGAGAAAGAGCAAGCAAAUGAUGACAAGCAAGCACCAUAGGAAAGGAUUAGAUGCCAAAGCAACAGAAGGUGCAAAAGGGUACCACUAGAAGAAUCCCUUCCACCAUAUUGAGGAUCCGUUCGACUUCGCCUCCAAAAUCAGAAUGGCCAGGAGUAUCAAUUAUAUUAAUCUUUGAAUCUUUAUACGUAAUAGAUGUAUUUUUGCUUAGUAUAGUAAUUCCCCUUUCACGCUCUAUAUCAUUUGAGUCCAUUAUCCUUUCCUGAACAAAUUGGUUAUCGCGAAACACCUGCAGAAAAGCCCUAUCAAUCUCAUUUGGAAUUUAUAAUUGACCAACUUAAAUCAUAUAGGAAUAAAAAAAAUUCUACCUUUGAUUGCCUCAACAUUGCAUCAACCAAAGUUGUCUUUCCAUGAUCAACAUGCGCCACAAUUGCUAUAUUCCUUAUGUCACUUCUCCUCAUCAACUUUCUCCUCCUUUCUAAUACAAUAACCCAAAAUUCCCAAUUAGACCAACUUUUCUAAACACAGACAUAAACACAUUUCUUCUCUAAGACAAUAACUCAGUUCCUAAUUAGACCAAACUUAAUCCAACCAACACACACACACACACACACACACACACAAAAGAAAGAAGCAAGCAACUUCUAUGUGACUAAAAUGAAACGUAAAGAAUUGCUGCAGUAAACAGAAAAGAACAGAAACAUAGAAAUGAAGGAUUGCAAGAGAAGAAGAAGAAGUGAAAGUACCUGCGGUGGCGGCUUCGGUGGCUUCAGAGACGGAGCAUUUGAUUGGUGGGUGAGUGGAGAAGGGUUUUGGGUUUCGGGUACGGAGUUUGAGUGUGGUGGUUUUGACCGUUGAAGAAGAAGGUAAGCUGAAACCGAAGAGUUGCUUGGAGAGUGGAAGAGUAGAGGAAAGGCUGGUUCGAGGGUUAGAGUUAGGGUUUGGGAGGGUGAAAGAGGAGCUGUGGAAGCUGCAGGUUGCCAUCUCCAUGGCUCUCUCUCACUCCUCACUCUCUGCUCGCUCACAGUUGCUCAGGCUCAGGGAGAGAGAUAAAGAGGAGAUUUGGCAAAUGAGGCUGCUAUUGGAACUUCCAAAGCAAAGAAAUACAAUUGUGGGAGGCCCUGUUUACUCCACGUCAUCGUUGAGAGGGCCCAAGCUAGGUGCGUCCUCUGUCAUUUAAGAGUCCACAUAGGCCCAUUUUAUUUACCGAGGUGGAUUUUAAAGGAUUUCAAAUUAGUUUAAAAAUUCUGAGAUAUUCAACUAGGAUUUAAAGGAGUAUAAAAGUUUGGCAACGACUACUCUCUUCUUCUUGUUAGCACUCUCACUCGUUGUUCCAUUGUUGCUAUAUCUUCUUUAGUUGGGUUUCUUAGUUCGAACAACGGCUUGACUGGUGGAUAUCAAUUGGUGGAUCUUUAAGUCAAGGUGAGUAUAGAAAAUGUCAAUUUGCUUUGAGGAUUGGGUUUUUUUUUUCCCCUGAAAAGAAACCCAUUGUGAUUUGAGGUUUUUUACAUACAAGAAACCGAAUAUUAUUAAUUUGUAUCUUUUUUUUCUUUCAUGUUGGACAUAAUGUUGAUGUUGAAAAUUUUGUGACUUAUUCGAAAAGCAUUAAGUAGAAUUUCUUAAUUGUAAUGAUAUUAUGAGCUCUGACAUUGAGUUCAUCUUCAACUCAUCUUCAUCAGAAUUGUUGUAUUAUAUAUUGACGUUUGUUAUAAUAUUUAAGCAUGCAAUUACGAAAUUGUAAGCGGAUUUUUGCAAUUUAUGUACGUAACUUGGCAUGCAAUUGGCAAGCUUAUGCAUUUUCAGAAUGCAAUUACCGGCUGAUUAUCCUGUUAUUACAAUUAGUGUACGCAAAUGUCAUGAUAUUUGUAGCCUUGCAUUUUGGUAAUGGAAAUGCAAUAGGUACUUCGAUAUGUCAUAUUUUAAUCCAAUUACCAAUUGGUUAUGCCGACUUUUGUAAUUAGUGUACGCAUAUUGCCAUGUUAUUAGCAGCUUUUUCAAUUUUGAGAAUGUAGAUACAAUAUGUGAUUUGUCAAUGUAAUUGACAAACAGGUAGUGUCAUUUGCAUUCUAGUCUUCCAAUUGACAAACAAGUUGUCCCUUUUGCAUUCCAUUCGAGCAAUUGCCAUGUGGUUGUGAGGGUUUUGAAUUUUCUGUGUGCAAUUAUGAAACAUAGAAUAUCUCAAUAAUGGCAAAUCCUUCAUAAUUAAUUGUAUAUUUAUACUUCUACUAAAUGCAAUUGAUGUGUAUCCAUUUAUUUUCAUAUUAAUUAUAACAUGAAAGACAUGUUACCUAUUUUCAGGAAAUUGAGGUAGAAGCAAGAAAAAACAAUGGAAUUCAGGGCCAAAGCUCCGUACCUACCAUUGAAGGUUAUUUUGCGGAGGUUGAGUCACUCGAAAAAACAAAAAAUGUCUCAUCUUUGCAGUAUUUGGAUGACACAACAGAAGAAAUUACCGAGAUUAGUGGAUGCUUGGAGUAUGAUGAGUUAAACUUCUAAAAUAUGCCCAUGAAUGAUUUAGAGGGGAGGGAGUUUGCAAAUUUUGAGGAAGCAAAAAGAUCUUACUCGAACUAUAGUCUUGCAAUUGGUUUUACCAUAAGAAGAAGCCGUUUAAGACGUAGCAAGGGUGGGGUUGUGACAAAUAGACAAUGGUUGUGCUCAAAAGAAGGGAGCAUAUCAAAGAAAUGGACAAAUAGAGAGGAUAUAGUUCGUACACUAAGGAAAAAGACCAGAGAGAAUCAUUACACCGCAUUUGCUGUGCAAUAUUGUCAUAAACGAGAUGUUUAUAUUGUGAAUAAAUUUGUAAAUGAGCACAUUCACCGACUUGCUCACUCACAUAAGGUGCUUUUUCUUCGCUCCCACCGAUGUGUUAAGGAAUCCGACAUUGCAUAAUCUAUUUCUAUGAGAAAAUGUUCUAAUUUAAAACCAGUUGGACGACUAUAUGGUUGACCAAGCAGCCAGAUAAAUGAACGUUGGGUUCACAAGUAAGGAUUUACAUAACAUGUUGGAUUUCGAGCAUCGACAAGUAGUAUUCGAUAGUGAUGCGCAAGCAGUAAUAAGCUACAUGAAUGCGAAGGCAGAAGUGGACCCAGAAUUUUUUUUGCAUGUUUAGUGUAGAUGAGGAGAAUAAAUUAGAAAAUUUAUUCUGAAGAGACUCUCAUUCUUUACACCAUUAUUGUUGCUUUGUGGAUGUGUUGAUAUUUGAUAGUAUGUACAAGACCAACUGAUAUGACAAGCCUUUAGUGGUAUUUGUUUAUGUAAACAACCAAAACACGACUACAGUUUUUGGUUGUUCAUUUCUUGUUGAUGAGACUGUAGCUACUCCAUGUUGACACGUUGUUAACACGUUGUUGACACGUUGUUAAAACGUGGUUCUGCCGUUAAGGUUUUUGUCAGGUCUCUCUGUUAGUUGCCUACGUGGCACUAUAGGUCUCACAUUUUUCAAUUUUUUUAAUUUUAAAUUGAUUAAAAUAUAAAUAAAAUAUUAAAAACAAAAAAAAAAAAAAAAAAUUCUCUCUCUCUCUCUCUCUCUCUCUCUCCCUCUCUCCCUCUCUCUCUCUCUCUCUCUCUCUCUCUCUCUCUCUCUCUCUGUGUGUUCUCUCGAUCAAGCUCCAACACCCAACCUUCAAACCCAUACCACAGCCACUCGAUUCUCUAGAUGGUGAUGCUUGGUUGGAUGGGAAGUGUUUGUACCAUAUCUGACCCCCCCCACUCACGUCAUGAUGCGUGGAAUGUGAACGAAGCUAAAGACCAACUUGGUGAGCCAUGCCGAAACGGUAAAUCAGCACACAUCACCUAUUCAUACACGGUCGUCAAAAUUAGUAAGUGCUAACGACCGACUCACCUACACCAAUCUUCGGCAUCCCAUGCCGAUCGACCAGUCAGCACGUUAGGCCGAUUCUAACAGAUCAUCUCGGAACUCUCGCCAGAACCUGUCAGAUCACGUGUCGACCGUCGAAGACACUCCCACAAGUCCUAUAUCGAAACUAAGUACUAAGAGCAUCCUAAGUGCUCUCUAUAAAUAGAGCCCCUUGGCCUAGCUAAGAGGUAAGACUGUUUACUUGACUUGUGCUUUCACACUGUCAAUAGAAUUGCUCUUGGUCGCUAACUUUGGCAUCAGAGGGUCGUUGGCUGGCGCCACACCGGUGUCUUAAGACUUCGCCUGCCGUUCCUUUCCCCAGGCCGAAUCCAGCAUCAUGCCUUAAGGAAGGACACCACGGACCGAAGGCUUCUCGGGUCGAAACCAUCCACAUCACCUGUAUGUUAGCUUUAUUUCUAUCUGUUUAGAUUUAGCGUGAGCAGGAAGGAUAGUGGUGGUUCGGUUUCACUAUCCUCUGGAGAACGACGGAAGGGUUUUGAGUAUCAUGCUGAUGACUUAACAAUGCAAGAUGGAAGGAUAGGUAUUUCUGUUUCAAAAGUUUCUAAUAUCACAUAUAUCCCAAAGCAAUCUUUUAAGAUUGGUGAAUGUAUCCAGAGAGUUGCAAGUCAAUUGACAGGGUCUCCCAUAGUGAAGUCCAAUAGUGAUAGACCUACUGGGGAUGGAUCUGAUGUUGCUUUCCAAAGUUCUGGUGAUGGCCAUAGAGCCUGCAACCACAUCCCCAUAAACCCAGAAACCUAGACCCGAUUUCUUUCCCUAACCCAGAUUUCUUCUCCCUCUCCCAAUUUCUUCCCCCCCACCCCACCGCCCCAAUUUCUUCCCCCCACACAGAUUUAUUCCCCCAUGUUUGAUUUCUUCUUCCCCCUCAUCCUAGAUUUUAAUAUGAAUAAAAUAUUAAAACAUUAGAAAAAAUUAAAAAUAAACGAAAAUGGAAAUGAACACCAAAACCCACAAACACCCACCUCGUAUCUAAUCCGUCCUCACCACCCAAUUCCUCUCUUCAGUUUGAUUAGCGCAACCCCAACGACCUCUCCUAGCUCGCCUCCGACGCCGUUGUCUACAACCCCUCCAACCUCACCUCCGAGGUCGACUCGCUCCUCUCCAUGUUCAACCACCAGCCCCUUAUCUCGCUCCCCUCUGAUCUCGACUUUUCUGACGCCAUCAUCGGGGAGGGGGAGGAGAGAAAUUAGGAGGAAUUGAGGGGAAACAAUUGGAAGGAGAGAAAGAGAGAGAGAGAGAGAGAGAGAGUUUUUUUUUUUUUUAAAUUUUAAAUUCCUUCGAUUUUUUAAUAUUUUAUUCAUAUUAAAAUUUAAAAAAUAAAAAAAAUGUGGAACCCAUAGUACCAUGUAGGCAACUAACGGAGAAAUCUGACUGAAACCUAACGGUAGAACCACAUUGUAACAAAUUUAAAAGACCAAGGUAUGUGAUUGUUAAAAUUGAAAAGAUAGAGACUAACACGUCUUAAGGGUGUAACCAUAGGGUACUGAUACGAUUUUUACCAUCCAUGCAAAUAAGGUUAAAAUCACAUAAAAUACUUACAAGAAUACAAGCUAUUGUAGUAUAGAUGCUCAUGCAAGGUCGUUCUCCUCAAGGACUAUUUAGCAAUUUAUGUAAAAAUAAUUGCCAAUUAACUACCUAAAAUUAAAAGUUGAGAAAGAUGAUUAUGAAAUUGUUUGAUACUAAAAACAAAUUUUAAACAAAAAUAAUUACAAUUGAAGGAAAGAGUUUUAAAUACCAAUUUAUGAAAGCACCUAGCAAUCCUAUGAUUUUUUACCAAUUACUUAUGAUUUGCACAUGCCACUUUGAAGGUUAGGUUUUCUUAAUUUAAAUUCUACUUGGAACCUCCAACAUAGAAUGUAUAUCCAACAUGCAACCCGUCCGGAUAUUUAGAUCAAAUUUGAACAUGAAAGACUCAUUAUGUUUUGUGAAAAUCCUUUAAAAAACUAUGCAACCCUUAAGACGUGGUGUUCAUCUUAAGUGAAAUUACAAUUAUUAAUCACAAGAAGCCAUCAUCAAUUUCAGGGAGCCUUCCUACCAAAAUUGCAUGUUGGUGUGAGGUGCCAAUUUCAAAGUAUAAUUCAUGAAUUAGUGUCUAAGAAACAAUAAAUAGAAAAGACUCUACUGUGGGAUUAAUCUUAACGUUUAAAAUAAUAUAUGGAUAUUAACUUAAAAACGAAACUUAAAAAAUAAUAAUCUAAAAUUCACUUUCCCACCCCCAAAUUUUAUUUAUUUAUUUAUUUAUUUUUUUGAGAAUGAGAAUUCAUUCAUAAAACUGUAGACGUAUAAAGAGCGACAUGAUACAGUGGCCUCGUUAAAACCUUCCUAGGACAAGAAUUGCGUAGGAGAAAAGAGUACCACACAUGUCAUGGACUAACAGGAGAGUCCAAUUCAGGUAACUUUGGACCAUUACAAUAAAAGAACAAGUCAAAAAUAAAACUUAACACAAAAACCUCCGAUGAGAACCGCAACUAGAGACCAACACAGUAGACCCAGAUGAGAGGACCGUAGAAAUUCCAAAUAGUAAACCCACAUGAGAGGACCGCAGAACAUCCCAAUUGUCAAAAGAAGCCUUCUAUGAGCAAAAUCAUAGUCCUUUGACACCCAUACAAACUGUUAGUCAUAUCAUAGCAGAAACUAGGAGAAAACACAGAGGACGAACAUAGAAACAACAGUAAAAAGACCCCAUGAGAAGCACUCCACUUCAACUCAGACCUUGACAAAGAAAACCUCUUAUGACUAAGCAUAGUUCUUCGGUCGGUGUAGAGUAGAGAAGAGCACCACAUUCCAACAACCACCACCAACGUUGCUGCUGCUGCCGCCAUUAAAACAGAAACAAAACAUUAGCCACCAAGUAUCACAACUCUCCCAAGGAGAGACACAAUCUAGCGUCACUACUGUCGCUGUCGCCAAGACAAAGACAACACUAGUCACCUAGAACACUGCAAAAAUAACCAAACAAAACAAACAAACAAACAGACCUAGAUCCAAACAGAUCUAGACUAUCUGGGAAGGGGAAUGGGAGGAGAAGAUGGGAUAAGAGGAAAGGAAAAUAUGGGAGAAAAAGAAGGGAAGAUGAGGAGAGGAAGGGGAAGAUGGGUGGAGGGGAGGAGGGACAGUGGCCACUUCCCCUCCUUAGCGUCCUCACGGUUGGUUGUCAGCAAGGAGAAAGGGGAUCAAAGUGCGGCUAGGAUUCAGAGUGUGUAAUCAGUGUACUUAAUUACUCCUCCCACCCCCAAACUUAAAUCACACAUUGUCCUCAAUGUGUGGUAAAUAAACAGAAGAAACAAGAGGCGCUAACCGACUCGUACAAGUCCACACUUAUGUCAUUUUUGAGCAACAACUACACUAUAAUGGUAUAGCAGCUGCGGUGUCAUUUGAAAAACAACUAUUCUGGAACAUGCAUUGGAUCCCUUCCACCAACCUUUAGCCAAGAGCCACCCGCAUCUCCUUUUAUUGCUCGCAUCUCUUAUUGUAAAUUAGAAAAACAUCUCGGAACACAAAUAUUAUGAUAUAAUAAUAAUAUUUGUGUUAAAAGCCUAAGCCUCUCUCUGUGUCAGAAAAGCAUUAUUGCUCUCAGUUCAAUAGCCUUGAGCCCAGAGCCCAGCGGCUCUCCUUUGUCCAAUCCCUUUUCACAAACUGAUAGUUGUCCACUCCAUCUCAUUUUGCAAAAGAAUAAGAGCAAUAAUGAUAUUGCUUUUUAAUGCCUCCUUUUGCUUUAUUUGAAAAACUUGAGUAUUGGAUUCCUGAGCACGCAUAGAGCCUAGACCCACUCAUCUAUCCACUCACGUGAGACCCCUACUCCAUUCACGCCUCUACUGCUUCUUCAUAACUCAUACAAUACAUUCUCUUCCACUCUAAUCUCAUUAUUUCAUCCGAUAUGACAAACCUUCCAUCUCUCUACAGUUUAUUCUUCGUCCUAAACACUGCACUCGUUUUGCAACCCACACCCCAGCAACAAACACACCUCCGUGAGUGGUAGGUGCAAAGAUUAAAGACAUGAACAGCUCGGAGAUCUCAGAAUUUAUUUUUGGAUCCUGAUCUGCAGAGAUGUUUAUUCUAUGUCCCUGCAUGUACUCAAAUUGGUGCUCGUUGUGUAAGGUCUGUGAAUCCAGGAGAGAUUUAAGGGAAAGUGCAAUAAACACACAAGCUCAAAGGGCAAAAAUAGCAAAAGGCCAUGAGGACCCCAGAUAUGUGCAGCUCGUAGGUAUAAUUUCAAAUCCCUGCAACUUUUGUUGUUGUAGAUCUAGUAGACUUGAUGCUGGGUGCAUGAUUCUAGUAUAGGAAUAUCUGCCUUUGAUGUUAAUGGAGACUUGCUACUGGGUGCAUGAUUCCAGUGUAGGUUUAUCUGCUUUUGAUGCUUGCUACUGAUUGCUGUCCUACAUUAAAUUAAAUAUAUGUUAGGAGUAGAAAAGAAAUAAAAACAACUAGAUAAAGAAAAUAACAACAAAUAUUGUUUAAUUUUUUUUUCUUUUUUUCUUCUUUCUCAAAAUUGCUGACAGUUUCAGCAACUCUACCAUGGGUGAUUUUGAAGAAAAAAAAAAUGCAGCUCUCGAUCGACUUCCAAUUCUGUCACCCAAAAUGACAUGACAUUGCAUAUCAUGCAGGAUAAAUUGGAUGGUUCCAAUUACUCUUCUUGGUCCUGUAGUGUCAAACUUUAUAUUCUUGGAAGAGGAAAAUAGGGAUAUAUCACUGGCAUAAAAGUGACACAAACAGAAGCUGAUGUUUUGUAUUCUACUUGGAAAGAAGAAAAUGUCAUGGUUCAGUGUUGGCUUCUCAAUUCCAUGACCAGAAAUUGAAGGGCUAUUUUCCUUAGCCUUUCUAUUGCGAAAGAAGUGUGAAUGUUGUUACCCAGACCUAUUCUAUUGGUAAAGACACAUAAAAAUUAUAUGAGCUUCGGUAUAAGGCACUCGCAAAUCGUCAAAAUGGUACGUCUUUAUCUGAUUAUGGUCCCUUACAGUUAAUUUGGCAAGAAAUCGAUGUCUUGCGACCAAGCGAAAUGAAGUGUUCUGCUGAUAUUGCUACAUGCACAAAGGAAAUUUCGGAUGAACAAUUACAUGAGUUCUUGGCUGGACUUGACCAUCAUUUGGAUAGAAUUCGAGGACAAGGUCUAGCUGAAGAUCCUCUCCCAAGUGUGCAAGCCGCAUAUGCAUAAGUGUGCUCUGAAGCUAGUAGGCAAGCAACUAUGUUAGCUGGCUCACAUGUUGACGGGUUAGCUAUGACAACCACUUUACAUCACCCUAUACCUAAAAGUGGUCAUCCUCGGUCAGGACAAAAGGAGCCUGACACACGCUAAUGUACCCAUUGUGGGAAGAAAAAACACAUACGGAAAACUUGUUUCGAAUUGGUUGGAUAUCUAGAUUGGUGGGCGGACAAACAAGAAAAAUUGAAACAAGAAAAGGAAAAAGAGAAGAAAAAAAGUGUUGCAAAUUUGGCUUCACAACUUCUACCUCAUGGUUAUUCACCACAUAUGGAUCAAUCUGCUCUCAAUUUUCCCCCAAUACUACUUCCACUUCCUCACCAUAUCCAGGUAAUAGUCACUAUGGUUUAGCAGUGAGCAUGCCCUUCAAUGCUAGUGAUAAACUCUGGAUCAUUGAUUCAGGAGCUUCCGAUCAUAUGACUAAUAAUACUGCUUGGUUUGUUUCCCUUAGUCAUCCACAUAUAAAAAGUGUUAAAGUUGCUAACGGUCUUUCCACUCCGGUUUUAGGAGCAGGAUCUGUUUCCCUAACUCCAUCUUUGCCUUUGUCCUCUAUUUUACAUGUCCCUACUCUCUCCCACAAUUUGCUUUCUAUUAGUCAAAUUACUAAAAAUCUCAAUUGUUUGGAUAUUUUCUCUCCUACCUUUUGUUUAUUUCAGGAUCUUCAGACAAAGGAGCAGAUUGGUCAUGGUAAGGAAAGUGGAGGAUUGCACUACUUGGACUCAAAACUGCUUGAUCCUCAAAUAAGAAGUGGUUAUCAAGUUAGUACAGAAAAGGCUUACGCUGAAGUUUGGUUGUGGCACAAAAGAUUGGGUCACCCAUCCUUUCAAUAUUUACAACAUCUAUUUAAUUCUUUAUUUGCUAGAGUUCAUGUGUCUAACUUUCAUUGCGAAACCUGUAUUUUUGCAAAAAGUCAUAGUGCUUCAUUUCCUGUAAGCUCCAAUAAAAGUCAUGUUCCAUUCCCUCUUAUUCACUUCGAUGUGUGGGGUCCAUUUCAUGUUCCUACUUACACUGGUGCUAAGUACUUUGUCUCCUUCAUUGAUGAUUGUACUCAUGUCUCUUGGGUUUAUUUGUUGAAAAAUAAAAGUGACGUUUCAUUCAUUUUUCCUAUAUUUCAUCAUAUGAUUCAAACACAGUUUUAUGUACCAAUGCAAGUAGUCCGAUCUGACAAUGGGGGUGAGUAUUUGAAUUCUAAACCUAGAACCCUUUUUUUUUUUUUUAUUUAUAGCAAAAUGGCAUCUUACACCAAACUUCCAAUCCAUAUACUCCUCAACAAAACGGUUUAGCAAAACAUAAAAAUCAUCAUCUUUUGGAAGUGGCUCAUUCUUUAUGCUUUGCUAUGCAUGUUCCAAAACGUUUUUAGGGAGAUGCCAUUUGCACAGUCGUGUACCUUAUAAAUCGUGUAUCAUCUCGGGUUCUCUAGUACCAAACACCUAUUCAGACCCUUUUUUUAAUAUCAUUCUAUUCAUUUAGUUCUUCAUAUUCAACCUAAAGUGUUUGGAUGUGUUAGCUAUGUUCAUGUUCACCAACAUAGUCAUAACAAACUAGAUCCCCGUGCCCUCAAAUGUGUGUUUGUCGGUUAUUCUGUCUCACAAAAGGGGUACAAAUGUUACUAUCCCCCAUCUGGGAAAUUUUUUAUUUCUAUGGAUGUUACAUUCUAUGAAGAAGAGGCUUAUUUUCGGUCACUCCUCGUCUGGGGGAGAUUGAUGGAAAGGAAGAGUAGUUCCUUGAUAUUGGAUAUGUACCAUCACCUAAUAAUGAUAUACAUGAUACAUAUGAAAAGAGUUGCAAGUGUACCAAAAAAGGAAGAGACAUGAGGUAGUAACAAAUCCUCCACUUCCUGACCAUGUUCCAAAUCAACAUGCUGCUUUGCAUGAAAAUCAUUCUGAGGUAAUUCCACAAUCCCGACCAUCUUCCAUACAUAUUGAUAAUGUUGUCAACCAUGAUAUUUUAGCUAGGGAUAAUCUAGAUGACUCAAAUGAGUCUAUAUAUGUCUCUAAUUCUCCUCAUUUUCCAAUUCGUAAAAAUCGUGGGAUACCUCUAUAAAGGUUUGGCUACUCUAAAGUGAAAACUGUUCAAUAUCUAAUAUCUGAUUAUGUGUCUAACUAUUGUGUAUCCAGUUCUUAUAUUGUUUUUACAAACCACAUAUCUUCUGUGUCUACACCUAGUAGCUUACAUGAUGCUCUUGGUGACUCAAAGUGGAAGAUUGCUAUGGUUGAGGAGAUGGAGGCACUAUAGAAAAAUUGUACCUAGGAACUUGUUGACUUGCCUAAAGGCAAGAGACCCGUUGGUUGUAAAUGGAUGUUUACUGUAAAACACAAAGCAUAUGGAUCAGUUGAGAGAUACAAGGCAAGAUUGAUAGCAAAAUGCUACAUUCGAACUUAUGGUGUUGAUUACUCAGAGACUUUUGCGCUAGUAGCUAAAAUCAACACUAUUCGAGUCCUUUUAUCCCUGGUUGCCAACAUAGACUAGCCGCUACAUCAAUUUGAUGUGAAAAGUGCUUUCCAACAUGGUGAUUUAAAAGAUGAGAUGUAUAUGAAUCUUCCACCUGGGGUUGUUACGGAGACUGAUGUUGGUAAGGUGUGCAAGUUGAGAAAAUCUUUAUAUGGACUAAAACAGUCACCUAGGGCUUAGUUUGGGAGAUUCAGUUUGUCUAUGAAAAUAUUUGGGUACAAAUAGAGCAAUUUUGAUCAUACACUGUUUCUGAAACACGAAAAAGGACAAGUGACAACGUUGAUUAUUUAUGUGCAUGAAAUGGUUGUUACAGGUAAUGAUGAAAAAGGAAUCAUAAAACUUCAUAAUUACUUGGCUCAAGAAUUUGAGACGAAAAACCUAGGGGUACUAAAAUACUUUCUUGGAAUUAAGAUGGCAAGAUCUAAGCAUGGCAUCUCUUUAUCUCAAAGAAAGUAUAUCCUAGAUUUGUUAAGUGAGACUGGUAUGCUUGCUUGCAAACCAGCAGCCACUCCAAUGGAACAAAAUCAUAAAUUAGGAGAAAACCUUGAUCAGAUUCCAACACAUAAGGAAAGGUAUCAGAAGUUAGUUGGGAAAUUAAUCUAUUUGUCACAUACAUGACCUGAUAUAGCCUAUGCUGUUAGUGUGGUUAGUUAAUUCAUGCAUGGCCCUAGUGAGAGUCAUAUGGAAGCUGUACUUAGAUACUUGAAGUCAGCACCAUGAAAAUGAUUGAUGUUUACUAAACAUGGUCAUCUAGAUGUUCAAGCCUAUACAUAUGCUGAUUAUGUCGGGUUCAUUGCUGAUAGAAGAUCCAUAUCUGGAUUCUUCACCUUUGUUGGGGGGAAUUUGGUUACAUGGCGUAGCAAGAAACAAAAGGUGGUAUCUAGGUCAAGCGUAUGAAUCUACAUUGUGAUAACAAAGCUGCCACACAGUCCAGUUCAAUACGAUUGUACUAAACACGUUGAAGUGGAUAGACACUUUAUUAAGGAGAAGUUGGAUGAUGGAAUUGUUGACUUUCCAUUUAUUAAAAUUGAAGAUCAAUUGGCCGACAUCUUGACAAAAGUUGUAUCAAAUAGAAGUUUUCAUUCAUGCCUCGACAAGUUGGGCAUUCAAAACAUCUAUGCACGAACUUGAGGGUGAGUGUUAACACAUGGUUAGUCUGCCAUGAUGAAAACAUCAUGAUGGAAACAACAUACUGCCAUAUGUAAAAGGAGAUGCUGCAAGAUGUAAAAAGAGAAGCCAUCAUCAUGAAGACUGCUGUAAUAUUAUUAUUAUUUUUUUUUUUUGUAAACUGAUCCAUUGUACAACUAUUACUUUAAUAGCUAUUUAUGUAACUCCAAAUUGGUGUGAAAAGAAAUCAAAUCGAAGAAAACCAUUCUCUGGUUUCACACUCCAUUCAUAUUUUACUUCUAUAAAGGACAAGAAGCCAGUAUCUAUUGCCACAGACGGGGAUAAGGCAAUGCACUUUGUGAUUGAUGAAGUUUUUCCAGACGCACAUCAUCGUUUAUGUUCAUGGCACAUCAUGAGGAAUGUGAACUCCAAUGUAGAUAACCCAUAAAUUGUAAGGGAGUUAAGCUAUUAUGUGCAUGGUGGUUUGACAGUAGUGGCAUUCGAACAACAUUGGCAACAUAUGAUAGAUACGCAUGAUCUAAAAGGCGAUUAGAUCAAAAUGAUGUACCACAAACGAAAAAGAUGGGUUGAAGCUAAUUGCUCGGGGCAUUUAUUUGGUGAGAAUACCACCACACAAUGUGUUGAGGGUAUGCAUAAGAACUUGAAGAAUGGAAUUGGUAGAGGUAUAAAGUUAGUGAAGUGUAUCUCGCAGAAUGAAAGAUCCCUAUUGAAGUUGAGAAGUGAGAAUGUGAAGGAGGACUUUGAUUCGAAGAAUUCACACCCACUCCUUCUUACGCACCUCCGAUCUCUAGAGGAACAUGCAAUUUCUAUUUUUACCCACGACAUUUACAAGUUGUUAAGAAAUGAGAUAAAUAAGGAACCAAAAUUAAUUCUGGUUCUCCCCGUAAGUAACAAUGACGAGCCUUGAGUAUACAAAUUUUCCAAAUUUGGAAGGCUGGAUGAGAAAUGGAUUGUAGUUACUACCAAAAAGACCAACAUCUUCAAUGUUCAUGAAAUUAUUUGAAUCUGAUGGAAUUCUAUGUUGUCGUAUGUUUGGAGUCAAGAAAUGUGAGUGCUGAGGUGUUUUAGACAACCUGCAAAACAUGAAGAUGUGAAGGAGAGAAAAAUAAGAAGAAAGAGAAAAAUCGGUAGAAGAGAUAAAAUAAGAGAGAAAGAGGUAGAAGAGAGAGAGGUGAAGAUAUAUAAAUAAAUAGGUGGAAAAGAGAGAAAAAUGGGUAUGGUUCACGAAAAAGAAAAAGAAGUUGGGUUAGAGUUGUUAUUAGUUGGAUAUAAAUUGGAACUAAGAUAUUUUGGUAUUAAUUGGGCUAAAAUAUUACUUAUAGUUACUAAUGUGAUUUGAAUAUUAAUUAGGCUUACUAAUAAUUUUAGAUAUAAAUAAAUAAGUAAACUUAACAUAACUAAUCCGAUUAGGUUUAUACCAAUUUUUCAAGACAAUAACUGGGACGGGAACCGAUCCAAAACGGUCUAGUUCAGUUUUUGAGCAUAGGUUGAAUUUUUUUGUCAAUAUGGUUUUUUCCUUCUUUUUUUUUGUUACUCGGUUCGACUCAGUGCACCUGUUCAAAUGUCCACCCCUAAGAGUGACACAUACGUAUUUAUCAUGGUUCCAAAGCAAGUCUAGGACACUUUAGUGAGCAAACCACAAAUUUAAUUUGAGUAAAGAGCCCUAGAUAUGUGCUAAACCUAUCAAACAAAACUCAAAAUAAGGCUCUAAAACAGUAUAACACAAUCUGCAAGGUUGUAUUGCAACAUCACCUAUAAUUGCUUACAAAUUCACCAUCACUAAUUCACAAGUGCAUAAGGGUCUAAAACUUAGGUAAGUCAUUCUAGAGAAGUGGAGUUUUGUUCCAUAAAAUUCCAGAUUCAUUCUACACUCAUUUUAUAGCCUAAUUCAAGUCAUUCAUAUCAAUUAGUAUCUAUCAACAAUUGAAAUCUAACUGACAUAGUAUACUAGUCAGUAUCUCGGAAGAAUCUAGAGAGACUGACACAAUCUGAGAGAGAGAGAGAGAGAGAGAGAGAGAGAGAGAGAGAGAGAGAGAGAGAGAGAGAGAGAGAGAGAGAGAAGACUCAGAAUAUUGUAUCAUUGUAUAAAUUGAUAAUUUCAUAGUAAUUAUCUAUGAAAUAAUGAGUUGCUCCCUAUCCUCUAAUAACCUUCUACAGUACUUAAAAACACUUUACAAAAAUUAACAACAUGGAUGAGAGAUAUCGUAACAUGAAAGCAUUGAGUUGAUGAGUGGAGCAAUUGAUUGAGGAAGGUGAGAGAUGAGAAGGUAAAAGAAUCCCAUGCAUUGCUGGUUGAUGUUGAUCUCAAUUUCAUUCUCCAUUUUUGGACAAAUCACUUUUACCAAGCAAUUUACCAAAAAAGAAAAGGAAAUUAACUUGCGGACACCAACACCACAAGUUCACAACUAGCAAGAUGGCCUUAUCACUGAGUUGGUUUACAUCAAAUAUAUAUAUUUAAGGCAAGACUGUCAACCCUAUAUUGAGUAUAUGAUGUGCUUUCAUUCAAGAAGUGCACAUGCAAUUGUGAAUCUUCGAUUUCAAAUGUAUGGACUCGGAAAAAAGUGAAGAGUUAUGAAUGGAUGAAAUUAGUUGGUACCAAAUAUAUUCAAUUCACCUAAAAUCAUAAGUGAAGUCAAUAAGAAACUAGAGAAACCAUCUUUAGUUGAUGAGUUCUUCCUCCUUUCUUUUAUUUGUUUCUUUAGUCACAGGUUGCAUGUCACAUGUCACAUGUAGUUAAUCUUUAACCUUAAUCACGUCUCAUAUUAAAACAGAAAAGGAAACGGUCUAAUGCGUGAAAAAAAGAAAAGAAAGAACCCAUACAGUAAAAUACAUGUUCUUCAUAAUCAAAAUAUAUAAUAUAUGUAUUAUACAUGUACUUAUACAUUUUUCACGUUUUCUUUAUAAAAGGUUGAAUAGUACAAAUAAAAUUCAAGUUACACACGGAUAUUUUUCGUAUACAGUCCCCUACUUUUACUUUACUAAACCAUGAACACCAGAAAUUUGCUCUCUCUUUUUUUUUUUUUUUUUUUUUUGUAUCCUUUUCUUUUUCUAGGUCUGAAGUCACUUUCCCAUGCAUGUGCCCAUUAGACGUACUUUCCAAAUCCAGCAGGAAUAAAACAAACGAAUUCAAGACAAAGCAAAAAUCCAAACUGAGCUUACGCACACAAGAUCUAAUACAUAAGUUACAGAAGAGCUUCUUCUCCUUAAAAUCUCCAUAACCAAACAGUUGUCGUCACCACAAUUGAAGAACCAGAAAAAAGCUGUUCCUGAGAGCUCCUCAUUUGGAAACUGAAACUAAACACACUGCUUGUUCAAUCUCUAAUCUUCAUCUUCAAAACAUUCCAGCUUAUCAUCCAAAUAAUGGGUAGAAAACCAACUAAGCCUUCACCAAAGAUACCAUCAUUUUUCAAGGUCCUGGUUGGUGAAUUCUCUCAGCGUUUGGUAACAUCCGGUCCUACCUCUCUAUUUCUUUCACUUUAUAUUUAGUAGAUUUUUAUGUAAAUUGUCUGUUUUUGUUGGUUUGCCAAAAAGAGUUUUGUUCUGUAAAAGCAGAGUUUUUUUUUUGGGAUUUAUAUACGAAAUCCUCUAAUUAAAUGAAACUACCUGACUGAUUCAACUGAAAGUUGCUGAUCUUCUAGGUUCCUAACAGGAUUUGUGUUGUUUUUUAAAUUUCUUUCUUCCAUUUCUGUUUCUUUUUCUACGUUCUUGUUGGUUUUAAAAGGACUGCAAUAUUAUGGCUUGCCUUUUUCCUUUCUUCCAUUUCUGUUUCUUUUGUCUCUGCAAUAUCAUGGCUUGCCUUAGUUUUUUCUUUCUUUCUUCCAGAUCUGUUUCCUUUUUCUCUGUUCUUUUUGGUUUUUAAAACGACUGCUGCAUAUCAUGGAUUGCCUUUUUUGUUUCUUCCAUUUCUGUUUCUUUUUUCUCUGUUCUUUUUGCUUUAGAAUGACUGCAAUUUGAUCGAUUGUUUAACUGAUUGUGGUUUGACCCUUUUGUUGAUCUCAUAGCCUAAAACUUUUGUUCAGGAUGUGCUGAUGUCCACAGUUGCUUGGUUUUAAUUAUUUAUGCUAUAUUUAUGCUAGAGUUUUAUUGAAUUUUGUAGAGUAUACCACCUGCAUUUAUGUACCAUGUCAAUGGACGAUUGUCUCCCAAAUGUACUCUUAGAGAUCCUAGUGGAGACUGUUGGACAGUGGGUUUGGAAGUGAGAGGGGAUAGAUUUUUCUUCCAUGAGGGUUGGCAGCGUUUUGUGAAGGACCAUUCUUUGGAAAUUGCAAAUGUUUUGGUUUUUGAUUAUGAUGGCAAGUCCAAGUUUGAUGUCACACUGUAUGAUCCAAUUGGCUCUGAGAAGGAGUUAGAACCAGCCAAGAAGAGAAGGGGAAAUCGAGCUCGAGUAAAGGAGGAGAUCAUUGAGCUUGACACUGAAGAACCUGACAAGGACAGUGAAGAAGAUGCUCGUAUGUCAAACAUAAGGAAGCGUAAGUUGUAUACUAUUUUACUUCUUUAAAGCUUGGGGAUUUUUAUAUGUGCUAGUUUUCUUUAUAGGCUCUUUUUAGAUCAUGCUCUGUUUGGAAUUGUGUAGGCAAGUCUUUCAAGUCUGGAAAGAGGAUUGCAAGAACUGAUGGUGGGAAUGAAACAUCAAAUGCACCUAUUGUGUUCAGAUCGAAGCAUCUAUGCUUCAUUCGAGCUAUGAGGAAGAACCGCUAUCGCAUGGUGAGUACUUUCGUCACCCCAAUCCAUAAUCCAAUUCUGUUACUGAAUGGAAAAAAAUGGUAAAAGAACUCUUCAGAAAACCUUUUGAUGGACUGAAAAAUGUCCAACUCAAGUGGCUGACCAUUUUCUUUCCCUUCAAUAUUGUUCAUAUUUGCAGAAUUUUCCGAAGGAGCUGGCUGUGGCUAAAGGUCUCAUUAGAAAGAAGAGUGUAAGGGUUGAAGACCCACAUGGGAUAUCAUGGGAUGUUAAACUAAGGCUUGAUGAAAAAGAACAUAACGGUGGUCGUUUGCUCAUGACAAAAGGGUGGUCAGAAUGUUGUUAUGCAAACAACAUUUCACUUGGGGACACACUGGUUUUUGAGCUUGUCAACGCCAUGCACGGUGGAAUGAAAAUGCAUAUUUUCCGAGGAAAUAGUUAUGUUGUAUUGGAUGCCUCUUGUGUCAAGUAUCAGGGCUAUGUAGUUGAGAACCUGGCAUUGCAGUGAUGAGUAAACUAUUAGUUGUUGCAGAUUUCAGUUGUAAGACAUGUUACAUGUAAGACUUAAUGGUAAGAUUUGUGAAUGAUCAGCAGAUUUCAGUUGUUGCAGUCCUUGUUUUGCAAGGUUAAUACUAACCCAUGUUUAAUUAUGAUAUUGACUGGAUAAUAAACUAGGUUUUCUCAAAUGGUCUAUGUUGCUACAACUAUUUCUUUUGCCUAACAUUUAUCUAGAUUGUUGCCAAGUUCACAUCCUCUAGCCACACCUGAAAAAGAAGAACAAAGUUGAAAUGUGAGUGAUCUCAACCUGAAAAUACACCUUGAACUGAGUCAACAAUUAAUAGAGAACUUGAAGGAGUAGCACAAAAUGUUAUUGUGUCACAGAGUCUAACUGUUAUGCUGUGAGACUAUUCAUCUGAUGUAUGUAUGACAAGAUAACAUUAUUCGGGAUUCGGGAUAAAAGUAUACAAGUUUGAAGGAUGUUCACUUACCAUUCCAUUGUUGCAGAAGGAAGGGACAGUUUAAAGCCCGCGACUAUAUAAUCGAGAGAUUCGAAUAAAAAUCCUUCCCAUGUAUGCUCAAAACUCUUUGUACAAUUAACAUUGAAGGCCAACAUAAGAACAGAUAGCCAUAGAGAAUUGAGGCUGCAAGUGGAGCUCCCAAAGAAACCAAGAGCUGUCCAAUGUACCAAACCAUAUGUGAUGCCAAUAUGCAGAUUGUGUCUGAAGAAACUCAAGAUGUUUUGCAGGAAUCCAUAUGCAUAUAAUCCAAGGAUCAGAAAUUUCAAAAAGAGAGCUGCACAUUUGCAAAUUUGAACCAGAUGCAUGAUGCGGAUAGGGGUUAUUUUGAAAUUAGUUGAAAGAUUUGUAGCCUUUUUUUAAAAUUAUAAUAAAUAUAGGGUCAAAAUCUAAUGUUCAAAACUUGGCCAAGUCACACCCAGCCUCUUCUCGAGAGACAGAGAAAGACGCAGAGGCCAGAUUUUCCCAUUUGAAAAUAAACGGCGGCACCAACCAACUCAAAGAACCAGAAGAAGAAAGAAAAAAGAAUGUCGAACGGACUUCUUCUUCUCCGCUGAAAGCUGCGCUGCUGCAUCUGCUCCACUCCACCAGGUUUUUUAUUUUAUUUUAAAAUCAUAACUGACGUUACCUUGUUGCUUCUUCACUCUUAAUCUCGAAUGUAAAAUUUUAUAUUUCUAUUAUUUGAUCGUUUGGGCAUAUUUUCAGUCUAUUUGAAUUUAACUUACGGUACUAUUUAAUAAUCUCUGAAUAAUUGGCAUUUUAUUGAUGUGGGCAGUGCAAUUUUGUGCCGAACAAUGCGGGUUCGGUUUAUUCUAUCUCGGAAAUACUGCACUAGUAUUGCAAUUUCUUCCAAUUCUCAAAUUUCUCGGUAUGCUCGGCUUGGCCAAAUUGAGAAAGCCCGAAGGGUGUUUGAUCAAAUGCCUGACAAAACUAUUGUGUCUUGGAACUCAAUAGUUGCAGGUUACUUCCAAAGUAAUCAGCCAGGAGAAGCCCGAAAACUGUUUGAUAGAAUGCUGGAGAGGAAUACGGUUUCUUGGAACGGUUUGAUAUCCGGUUAUGUCAAGAAUGGGAUGAUUAUUGAGGCUAGGAAAGUGUUUGAUUCGAUGCCCGAAAGGAAUGUUGUAUCGUGGACUUCGAUGGUUAGGGGGUAUGUUCAAGAGGGUAUAAUUUCAGAGGCUGAAUCACUCUUUUGGCAGAUGCCUGAAAGGAAUGUUGUUUCAUGGACAGUGAUGUUGGGUGGCCUGAUUCAAGAGGGUCGGAUUGAUGAGGCUCGUAGGCUUUAUGAUAUGAUGCCCGAGAAGGAUGUGGUUACAAGGACUAAUAUGAUUGGUGGGUAUUUUCAAGUUGGCCGUUUGGCAGAAGCACGUGAGAUUUUUGAUGAGAUGCCACGAAGGAAUGUUGUUUCCUGGACUACAAUGGUAUCUGGGUAUGUGCAUAACAACCAGGUGGAUGUUGCUAGAAAGCUUUUUGAAGUGAUGCCAGAGAAAAAUGAGGUUUCAUGGACGGCAAUGCUAAUAGGUUACACUCAGUGUGGACGGAUUGAAGAGGCUUCAGAGCUUUUUCAUGCCAUGCCGGAUAAGUCAGUUGUUGCUUGUAAUGCAAUAAUACUUGGGUAUGGCCAAAAUGGAGAGGUAGCUAAAGCAAGGGAAGUUUUUGAUAAUAUGAGAGAGAGGGAUGAUCGGACAUGGAGUGCGAUGAUUAAAGUUUAUGAACGGAAAGGUUUUGAAUUGGAAGCACUGGACUUGUUUACUUUGAUGCAAAGAGAAAGUGUUAGGCCGAAUUUCCCUUCUUUGAUAAGCGUUCUAUCUGUUUGUGGCAGCUUGGCCAGCCUUGAUUAUGGUAGACAAAUUCAUGCCCAGUUGGUGAGAAACCAAUUUGAUCAUGAUGUAUAUGUUGCCUCGGUUUUGAUGACAAUGUAUGUUAAAUGUGGUAACCUUGUGAAGGCAAACCAGGUGUUUAACAGGUUUGCUGCGAAGGAUAUAGUUAUGUGGAACUCAAUGAUCACUGGUUAUGCCCAACAUGGUUUAGGAGAGAAAGCUUUACAAAUUUUCCAAGAGAUGUGCUCCUUGGGCAUAUCACCGGAUGAGAUAACCUUUAUUGGAGUUCUUUCAGCAUGUAGCUAUAGUGGGAAGGUAGAACAAGGUCUUGAAAUUUUUGAGACAAUGAAAUCAAAGUACCAGGUGGAGCCAAGAACUGAACAUUAUGCUUGUAUGGUUGAUCUGCUUGGUCGAGCAGGAAAGGUAAAGGAGGCAAUGGAUUUAAUUAAGAAAAUGCCAGUUGAGGCAGAUGCCAUUGUUUGGGGUGCCUUAUUAGGUGCAUGCAGACAACACAUGAAAUUGGAUUUGGCAGAAGUUGCAGCGAAGAAACUUACAGAACUUGAGCCCAACAAAGCAGGGCCUUAUGUCUUGCUAUCAAAUAUUUAUGCAUCACAGGGUAGAUGGCAUGAUGUCGCAGAGCUGAGGAAAAACAUGAGAACAAGAAGCGUUAGCAAGUCUCCUGGCUGUAGCUGGAUUGAGGUGGAGAAAAACGUUCAUAUGUUUACUGGGGGAGAGAGCACGGGACACCCGGACCAUGCGAUGAUCAUGAGAAUGUUAGAGAAACUAGGUGUAUUGUUAAGAGAAGCUGGUUACUGCCCUGAUGCCAGCUUUGUAUUGCAUGAUUUGGAGGAAGAAGAAAAGGCACACAGCUUAGGUUAUCACAGUGAGAAACUGGCCAUAGCAUAUGGACUCUUGAAGGUACCCCAAGGGAUGCCCAUUCGGGUGAUGAAGAAUCUUCGCAUUUGUGGUGACUGCCAUUCUGCAAUUAAAUUAAUAUCCAAAGUUAUGGGAAGAGAGGUCAUAUUGAGGGACGCCAACAGAUUUCAUCAUUUUAAGGAUGGCUUGUGUUCUUGCAGAGACUAUUGGUGAUAGCAAACCUUGUGUUGUGGGGAUAGAUCCUAGGACAGACUGGUUUUGAGACAGGAAUCAUGCCUAGCAGAGUUAAUUGGUUAAAUUUGUUUUUAGACUGAAAAACUUGACCAUACUUCAAAAUUGAUGAUACUAUAUUAUGCCAUGAGGAGACCUUGCUAAAAAUUGUGUUGGUAUAUGGUUUUCAAAUCAAUCGAGGAAUUUGAGGUUCAAGUAUGAUCUAUCCUCAAGGAAACACUGUUUAGAUGCUCCUUAUGGCCCAAUUUUAUUGCAUUGUCCUCCAAAUUAUACAAUUGAUAACUUAGUUUAAGGCCUACCAUGAGGGGUCUGGAUUUGAAACGGUUAUGAACUACUUUUCAGUGUAUGGUCAUGUGAGAAAGGCAUGGGAUGAUUGCUUAUAGAGGUGAGGCUCGUGUUCAUCUGCUGUAUUACUAGAAAAUUCUCUUAUGUUUAGGUAUGUUUUCCAACCCGAGUUUAUAAUAUUAUAUUUUGUUACUUUUUCUUGUAUAAGCUGCUAACAUAUUGUGGCACAUUUGCAGUUGACUGUAUAAUUCAUGGCUGGAACAUGACAUGAUACACAAGGAGUUGAGCCGAGGAGGGUGGAAUAUAAAGCUUUUGUUGCAAUGAAGUUCAUUCAAGAAGAGGUCGUCUUUUAACUAAUUUUAAAUUUCCCCCAGUUCCUAACGUACUUUGAUUUGCUUAUUAAUUUUUUGUUAUCAAAACCCCUAGUUUCCUUUAGGCCCAGCUAUCCACCAUCAAAUUAGUGAGUGUGUGUGCAUGCAUGAACUAGUAAAAGAUUUGAAUAGUGUUAUUCACAAUUGUUGUGAGAUUCUUUUGGAUUUUUCUCUCCUCUUAGUGGAAAAUCUGUUAAUGAUUGCUUGCUACAUCAGUUGUUGCCGACAUGAUAUUGUCUUCUAGAGCAUCUGGCACUACAUAAUGUUGCUGACUUUGUUCUUUUUGUACUUUGUUGUUUCUUGCUUUAUAAGAAUUUCUAUUCUUCCUACUGAAUAUAACGAUCAAAUUCGGGAGAGCCCCACUGAAAAUUGGGUAGGUACUCUUCUUUAUUCAAACUUUCAAUUCCUACUUUCAUGACCAGAUUUUCAUCACUUAUCUUCAGGAAUUGCCUCACGAAGAGGGACCUUCAGAAAGGUAUCGAGAUGACUUCUCAUGACUAUCCCUGAACAGGUGCAUAAAUUGUUGUAGAUCAUGUUUAGUUCUUGCUGUUUGUCUUCUACCUCAUCUUUACGAUACAAUUGGGAUGUAGGAACUUGCAGAAGUAGUGUAAAUUUAUUUUUCUACAUUUGAGACAUAGAAUGAUGUAAGAACUUCCCUCCUCCAUUUAUCAUACUGUCGAAGUGUUUAGAUUCAGAGGAAACGAAAAAAAUUGCGGUUUUUUUAAACGCAAUUUGCACUUUUGGAUCGUUCUCCUUUCUUGUCAUACCAAUUUGUCUCUUCAUAUGAUUGACAGACCAAAAAUUGGUUGAGUCCAAAAGCAAAAAGCAAAAAUAAUUAACAAGAAACAAUGUCAAGAAUCAUGGUGGCCAAAGUGUUGCCUGCACGCAUAAUUAGAACAUGAUUGAAGGACAACUUUAUAUCAGUUCAAGGAAUGAGUGAGAACCACUAGAAUUGCAUCUUUAGACAGACAAUGUAAGAGGUAAAAAGUUAGAAAAGCUACGACUGUAACUCGUGGAAAGAAAGAAAGGGAAGCUCACAACAAAGUUUUGCUAGAGGAACGUUUGACGAUGCUGGUUUUAAGAUUUUAGGAGGACAAACUCCUGACUCAAUACUACAAAUAUUGAUAUUGUUCUCAAUUUAACCACAUAUAUAUUCGGCAGGUGUAAGAUUUUAUACAAAAAAUUUCGAUGUUAUUAGUAUUAUGUGUUGUACGUUAUUUUGUCAAGUUUCCAAUGUAGAACUUGAUAUUCUUAGUUAGAAGUGUUUUGAAUGCUUGAAAGUAGAUAAUAAGUUUCAUUAUUUUGUCGCAAAGUGAUAUGGCCAUCCAAGAAAUUAUUUGCAAUGCAUAGCAACUUUGAAAGGGAGAUUUUUUGUUGAAGAUCUUCUUUGUUCGAACUCGAAGAGAGAUUUUUCUUUUGGGCCUUCUUUAACUAAACAACUAAUAACUUAAGUGGUGACAAUACGUCCAAUGUCGUGACAUGUCGGUGAUAUAUCAUUUUGAUAAUUGCUAAAGCAUUGGGCAACACUCAAUGGUCCAAGUUUGUUGUCACAUACUGAACACAAAAUGCUUUAUACUGUUAAAAUCUUUUGUGUAUUUCUUUUUUCAAAUAGUAUAAAUUACUCUAAAUUAAUCUAAUUUACGAGAAGGACUCGAAUUUAAGUACAACGGAAUGAGCUUAUUGCUCCAACCAACUUGCCUAACCCACGUCUGCUUUAUCUUAUGCUUUUAGAUCUGGUGUUGCAUUUUAUUAACAUAAGUUCUUUCAUUUGUUGUGGUUAGGUAAGUAAGAGGCUAGUCAAGCCAACUCAAACUAAUCUGAUUAUGUGUUAUGCAACCAUCUUUUGGUUGGUUCUUAAAUACAAUUUUUUCUUUCAAAUAAUAAUAAACAGUAAACAAAUUACCAUUGCAUUUCAUAGGUGAAAGAUACACCAAAUUAUGCUUAGAAAAUUACAUGUAUUACAACAAUAAACACUAACUCCUGACCAAGAAUAAGAAAACUGUACAAGAUCCAGAAGCUUCUUUCACCACUACAACUAACAGAUCCAUCCCAAAAUUCCAGCACACUUAAAAGCACUCAAAAAUACCCAUCAAUCAUAAGCACUCAAAAUCCCUAAUUUAUAUUUUUCUCUUAAUGCCACUCUUCAUUGCCCAAUUUCAUCAUAUUGAGGUGCUUUCAUUCAAAAGGAAAAGGCCCUUAUAUGAUUGUGGGGCAUUUAUUUUCCCUAAUGAUUUUUUUUUUUUGGGGGGUAUGGCAUAUGGAAAAUGGUAAUUUAAGGCUUAGAAGAAGGACUUUUUUGCAGGUGCUCUUCCAACAGCUCUCAUUAAAUUGGCUAUUUCAAGAACUCUUGCCACUUUUGUUCCCCUUUUAGCCUCAGCUGAUGCCUUCCUCUCCUCUGCUUUUCUAUGAGCUUUGGCUAUAUCAUUCUGCAUCUUUUCUAGGGCCCUUGCUCUUUUCUCCUCCAACUUCCUCUGCACAAAUUAGACAAGCACAAAAAUUGAUGAGAUAAUAGUUUCACCAAAAGAAAGUAUGUCAUAACAUUAUGAUGAUGAAGAUGAUGAUGUUUAUUAUUGUCAUUAUUAAUGUUUGAUAAUCAAAAUUCUGAUUAUUUGUUUGACCAAAUACAUGCUCAAAAAAUAUUGGAUGGCAAAUAGUAUGCAAUCAAUGAAAAAGAAAGUUGCAAACCAUCCUAAUCUCAACUAGUCAGAGAAACCAUCAUGAGCAAAAUUUCCAACAUGGAUAAUUAGGAAAUAAUUAACCCACAUGCAGAACAAUAAUAGCACUUUCAUCAAGAUUAAUUAUGCCCACAUACCUCAACUUUCUUCAUCCAAGAAGAAGCUUUCUGAACCUGCUCACUUUCCCAACCAUUAAUGAUAGCAUCCUCCCUCUUAAACCUGUUAUUAAGCUUGGCAAUCUUGUUGUUUUGCCAAGCUGAUAUCUUCGUCUCCACCUCUUCUUUCUUCACCCUAUGCACAGAAAUCACCUGAUCACCUCCUUGAUGAUCUUGAGUCCCAGCAAUGCUUGAUGAAGACCCAACUGCAUAAUUCCUAGCCCCAGCUUGUCUUGGAGAAGCAAUUGGAUCCGAUGGGUUGUAAUUAUCUGGUACUAUAGCCAAGGGGUUAAGUUCCUCCUCAGGCAUAUUGUCCUCCUCUCCAAUCCUGCCCAAGUUAUUGUUCCCAUGAUUUACAGCACUAUCAUUUUCAUUGGUACUAUUAUUAGUCCCAAUAGCUGAUCCUGCAACCACUAGAGCACUGAACUCUCUACUUAUGCUACUGAAAUUCUCACUUGGAGCACCUUCUGAGCUAGCCAUGGACAAGGAUGAUGAUCUAUGGCUACUAGUCUCCCAAGCUUCCCUUCUUCGGCCGCGAUUAGCCAGCUGCGGCGGUGCGUGAGGUGGUGUCAAGGCGUGGAUGUCCCGGAUGAUUUGCUCAUCUUCAACAUGAUCAUCAUGAUCUUGUAUUCCUUGGCUUGUGCCAGCCCCUUGAUCAUUCAUAGCAGAGUGUUUGUCAAGUGUAUUAGAAAAUGAAAUGGGAUUGUGACCAAGAGAGUAAGGGCUUUAAGUUAAGACUUGUAUAAGGGUCUUGACUGUCGACCAUUGUUCAAAGAGAAAUUUAAGCCACACACAUGGAAAUAGAAGUAGGAUUAAAAAAGAGGCUUGAAGUGAAAGCCCAUAAUGUAAAUAGGCCAAGGGAUGUUAAUUAUCCAAAUGGGGUAAUAAAAAAAAGGGGCUUUGAGUUAGGGUAUCUUUUCAGGAUAUGUUAAAAUUUUAUUUAUCUAAAGACCCUUCAGUUUGUCUUAUUCUUUUGUUGCCACACCUUGUAUAGAUUCUUUUAAUUCACACCCUUACUUCCCUACCUUCAUUGAUUCCCAUCAAAUGUAUGCUUGGGGUGUGAUAUCUUUAUUAGUUUUGAAUUAAUUAUAACAUUCUCAUACAACUUUCAAAAAGUUAAUCCACCAUGCAUAAUGGAAUAGUCACUCAAAUUACUAUUAAUUUACCCUACCUCUAGCAUCCAGAGUCAAAAAGAAAAUUACUAGAUAAGGGGAUUUGAAGGGUGUGGGGGCCAGUCUAUAUACACCCCUAUGCUAAGAGAUAAGACCCUACUCCCGCCUUAAUAAGUAUGUAGUUUAUUCCAAAAUGGUUGAUAAUCAACUGUUGAAAAUCAUCUCCUUUUUUGGGUUGAGAAAUGAAAGGAAAUUGGAUUGGCACAUGCAUAUUAGCAUGAAAUUGUGUUGGCAUUUCCUAGAACUUAGUACAGGUUUGGAAGUGUAGGAUUAAAGUAAAAUUGAUAUCUCUGAUUUUCAAAAACUAUAAGAUUGAAACAGCUUAGUAAUCCCUGAAUACCAGUAUUGUGACUUAACACGUAUGAGGCACAUGAUCUGAAGGGUAAGACAUGUCAUUUUUCAUGCAUUCAUGAAAGGAAUGUUUUUGUGUAGUAUGAUAUGAUUUUAUUUUCUUGAUUUUUAAUCAAUUAGAAUCCCUUUAAGAGUGCAUCUCAUUUAAGCAAUUUUUGCCCAAAUCAAUUUGAUUAUCUUGCUUUCAUGUUUUAACAUUCCCUUAAUUUUCUAACACGUUUUGGUUGCUUAGAAAUCAUUUUUUCAAUUAUAUCAUAAUAUCAAGGAGUCAAGAUACUAUUAAUAGUUUACCUAAACAUAGAAAGAUACCUUUGAUAUUGUGAUUGGUCAAAAUCUUCUUUCUUGAGCAAUCUCCUUUCAUGAGUGCUUGGUUUACACAUGAUUUGCAUUUAGAAUAGGACAUAUUCUAUUGUGGAUUUUGUUUAGCCUUGAAGAAUGGAGAUUUGGUACGUAAAUUUCUUCCUAUGAAGAAAAUCUCUAUAAAAACAAGGUUUUGUGUUUUCCUUUAGAUAGAUUUUUCAACAAUAGUUUUGUCUGCUUACAUGUUUAAGAACGCUAGGUUUUUUAUUUGAGAUAAAUCAUCAAGUGUUCCAUGUUUACUUGGUGAUUUAUCACAUACUUCAUCAUUCAUAUUGCAUUCAUUUGCAUAAUUCGGUGACUCAUACAGUUUAGGGCACCAAAACCGUGGUAGCGAUUUUUCUCCAAUGAGCUUGAAUCGAUUGUGACCAGUAUCGGGUUCAACAUAAGGAGAGUUGAGAGGUCAUCUCGCGACAAAAGUUGAAUUAUGAAGAAGUCGGUAAACAUUAUCUAGAAUGUGUCUAUGAUAAGUGUGUGAGUGCUUCUUGUAAUUAUCAUUAUGUAGUGGAUUUUUUUUGGACUGAGGAGUCCCGUGGAUUUUUUCCAAAGGUAGGGUUUUACCAAGUAAAAUAACUCUCUAUGUGUUCCUUUAUUUUAUUCUUUGCAUGUUUCACGAUUGAUAAGCCAUAUCAAUCCUGCAAUGAAGUUCAUUUUUAUUUAUUGAUUGUAAUUUUCAUUUGGCCUAGUCACCCCUUCUAUAGACAUUAUUAGUCAUCCUACAAGUAAUUUCAAUUGGCAUAUGAGCAGGUUGCUUAACACACUCAGCAAGAUCCAACAUACCUUAAGAUGGAUCGUGUCGCGGGCUCAGUUAUACAUCCACCAUAUUGUGGCUUAAUACGUAUGGGGCACAUGAUCUGAAGGGUAAGACAUGUCAUUUUUCAUGCACUCAUGAAAGGAAUGUUUUUGUGGAAUUUGAUAUGAUUUUAUUUUCUUGAUUUUUAAUCAAUUAGAAUCCCUUUAGGAGUGCAUCUCAUUUAGAUAAUUUUUGCCCAAAUCAAUUUGAUUCUCUUGCUUUCAUGUUUUAACAUUCCCUUGAUUUUCUAACAUGUUUUGGUUGCUUAGAAAUCAUUUUUUCAAUUAUAUCAUAAUAUCAAGGAGUCAAUAUGCUAUUAAUAGUUUACAUAAACAUAGAAGGAUUCCUUUGAUAUUGUGAUUGGACAAAAUCUUCUUUCUUGAGCAUCUCCUUUCAUGAGUGCUUGGUUUACACGCAACUUGUAUUUAGAAUAGGAAAUAUUCUAGUGUGAUUUUUGUCUAGCCUUGAAGAAUGGAGAUUCGGUACAUAAGUUUCUUCAUGUGAAGAAAACCUCUAUAAAAACAAGGUUUUGUGUUUUCCUUUAGAUAUCUUUUUCAACAAUAGUUUUGUGUGCUUAAACGUUUAAGAAAGCUGUGUUUUUUAUUUGAGAUAAAUCAUCAAGUGUUCCAUGUUUACUUGGUGAUUUAUCAUACACUUUAUCAUUCAUAUUGCAUUUAUUUGCAUAGUUCGAUGAGUUAUACUAUUGAGGGCACCAAACCGUGGUGGCGGUUUUUCUCCGAUGAGCUUGAAUCGAUCGUGACCAGUAUUGAGUGAGUUCAACAUAAGGAGAGUCGGAAGGUCAUCCCGCAACAAAAGUUGAGUUACGAAGAAAUCGGUAAACAUUAUCUAGAAUGUGUCUAGGAUAAGCGUAUGAGUACUUCUUGUAAUCAUCAUUCUAUAGUGGAUUUGUUUUGGACUGAGGAGUCCUGUUGAUUUUCCUCAAAGGUGAGGUUUUACCAAGUAAAUAACUCUCUGUGUCUUCCUUUAUUUUAUGCUUUGCACAUUUCAGGAUUGAUAAACCAUAUCAAUUCUGCAACGAAGUUUAUUUUUAUUUAUUGAUUAUAAUUUUAAAUUGGCCUAUUCACCCCCCUUUAUGCAUUAUUAGUCAUCCUACAGGUAAUUGCAAUUGGCAUAGCAGAUUGUUGAACACACUUAACAAGAUCAAACAUACCUUAGGAUGGAUCGUAUCGCGGGCUCAGUUGUACAUCCACCAUAUUUCGAUGGCAACAACUAUGGUGCUUGGAAGGCUAAAAUGAAUUCAUUCCUCUAGUCUAUAGAUGAACAUGUAUGGUAUACAAUGGUUCAUGGAUUUUCUGAACCUACAAAGAAAAUCAGAAAGAUGAGGAAGAAAAAAUAGUCCUCAAAACUAGAGAGGAAUGGACCACUGCAGAAGUCAUACACAGUACUAAUAACCAAAAUGGGUUAAAUAUUUUAUUUAUUGUUGUCUCUUCUGAUCAAUUUGAAUAUAUAUCUGGUUGUGAUACUUCUAAGGAAGCUUGGAACAUUUUGCAUGUUACUCAUGAAGGAACAAAUACUAUAAAGGGCGCCAAGCUUCAAAUGCACACCUUACAGUUUGAGACACUCAUAAUGGAUGUGAAUGAAACUUUUUCUGAAGUUUAUGCUAAAAUUUGUGUCAUUGUGAAUGCAUGUUCAAGUUUAGGUUAAAAAAAUACUAUAAGAUAGGGCUGUGAAAAAGAUUUUGAGAUCCUUGCCUCAACGGUUUCAACCAAAGAUCACGGCCAUUGAAGAGAUUCGUGACUUGAACACCUUGAAAGUUCAGGAACUCAUAGGGUCCUUACAAACUUAUGAGAUGAAACAUCUAACUCCUAAAAAUAGCAAGUUUAAAGUGUUGCUUUUAAAGUUGUGAAUGAAGAAGAUGAUGGGCAUUCAAAUGAGGAUUGCAAUGAUGAGGAAUUGGCGAUUCUCACAAGACUAUUCAUGAACUUUCUCAAGAAUCAAGACUCAAGGAAUCGAGAUUCAAAGAAUAGUUCAGAUAUAAAUUCAAAAAAUAAUUUUAUUGACUCUAUUGAUGGUGUGUCUAAAUCUCACAGGUCAAAUGAACGAAAGAACUGAAAAGAAAAUGUCAAAUGCUCCGAAUAUGAAGGCUAUGGUCACAUAUUUUCGGAAUGUGCCAACACCUUAAAGAAACAAAAGGAUGAUAAGAAUAAGGCACUAAAUACUACAUUGAGUGAUAGUGAUUUUGACUUUGAAAAUGAUGAGAAGGCCAUUAUACUUAUUACGACUAUAAGCUUGGAUGAACCAACGAAGAAGGAUGAUGAUUGUGAAGAAAUGCAUAUUGAGUUUAUCAUGAAGAAAUAUGAUGAUUUGUUGGUUGCCUCACAAAAUCUCAAUAAAUAAAUAAAAAUGGUGAGCUUGUCAAAUCUAUUGCUGCAUUAUAGUUGAAAAAUAGCAGGAUUGCAAACGAGGUUCAAUCCCCUGACGUAGAUGCCGAAAAGGUAAAUGAAGGUAUGAACGAAAAAUUGAUGUUUUUGCAGAAAAAGUUGACUUAUCAUAAUAAAUUAAUUGCAUUUCUAAUUUUUGACAACAAAGCCCUUGAACUUAAACUUAAAAAUGCAAAGGAAAUGAUUGUUUCUUUAACCAUUGGUAUAGAAAAAAAAACUGACAAGAUGAUUAGCAUGGGAAGAAGAGAUGGUGACAAAUGAGGUUUGUGAUUUGCACCAAGCAAUAAGCCUUUCACGGUUUCUGCAACGAAGUUUGUCAAAUCCUUUCUACUAGUUGAACAUGCUAAACCUGUAUCCACUCAUGAAUUCAAGAAAUUCAUUCAAAUUUGUCAUUUUUUUUUACACUCAUGGCCACAUAAGAAAAAAGAUGCAAUAAACUUUUGUAAAUUCAAAUUCACAUGUCAUAGGAGAAAGUUAAGUAUUGAACAUAAGAUUACAAAUCUUAUAAAAGAGGUAAAACACUUAUCCAAACUAUCUUCUUUUUGUUCUUUACCGAAAACCAGUUUAGUUUGGAGGAAAAUCAUAAUUGUAUGUUUGCCUCCACUAAUGUUGUGCAUGAACCUGCUGCUUUAGAAAAUAUGAAUGUUAAAUAUCUGGUCACAAAACCUUUAGAUAAUCUUCCAUUUGACACUCUUAGAAAAAUUUUAGGUAUGUGCUCCUUUGAAUAAUUGCUUGUGUUCUAAUGCAUGCCAAAAGGUUCUCAUUGUUUGUGUUUUUCUGGUCAAAUAUCCUUUCGUUUAUAUUCUAAGUAUUUUGUCCAGCAUAUGCAGGGAUUGCAAAGAGAUAUUCAAUCUUACUAACGUCUUGGAGUGUUUGCUGAUUAGAUUGAAUUUUUGGCGUUGGAUCACCUUGGGUAGAUCAAUAUUGGGUUUAUGUGAAUGGUUUUCGACUGUCUUUAUUUUUUUAUAAAGUCAAUAAAAUUCUCUUUAUAUGAAAACUCAUAUCUCACUCAUGGCACACACACUCUAAUGGUUCUUAAUAAUCUUGAAUGAAUCUUCACCUUGUCAUUGUCUGGAUGCUAGGUUUGCAGUGUACUUCUUACUAUUGGGCUCAUUACAAAUUCAUAAUCUCUCUUUAAUUAAAAGUAAACUAAAAUAAGUAUGUGAUCCUAGCCAAGUAACCAAGCCUCUUGUCUAACCGAUGUUGAGGUUCGUGUCAAAAAUCUUUGAUUUUUUGUAGCCUACAUGACUUGGGUUAGUAUAUCCGAGGGGUGCUUUUACACCUAUUGUCUUAAAGUCAACUGACUUGAGCACUGAUUAAAUACAUGUUAUGUGGGUCUUAUAGAAAGCUUAAUAAAGUUAGCAUUUAUAAAUAAAUAAAUAUAUGAAAGUGGUGAGCUCUGUAUGCAUUAUAUGUAUGUGUGUUUAUCCUACAUUCUUGGUCGGAUUUUUUCUUUGUUAUUAAGCAAGCUUAGUCAUAUAACACGAGAUUGGGCUUUAAUAUUUGCUCAUUCGAUGGACUUUAUUUCUCACAAAUACUUUUGAUUCCCCAUUUUACAAUCCUUGUGUUUGAUUAGAUCUUUGUGAUUCGAUGUGCCUUGGAUCUUGAAAGGCUUUGCUUCAAAUGCUUCUAGACAUAUAUUAGUAUUGGUUCUCCUUUUCUAUCCUCAAGCAUCAUGUUGGCAUCUACUCAUGAACAUUACCCUUGGCAUAUAUGAAGGGGGAGUCUUGGUAUGGCAUUGAAAUAAUCACUGGUCAAUUCCUGUAUUUCCCACUGUGUUUUUUUUUUUCCUAUUUCAUGUUCAUUGGUGUUUACUUUUGGCUCCUUUCACUUUAUUGUUUUGUUUUCUCAAUCUUCUCUAAGUGCAGAUAUUUCCUCUAAUUUUGCUAGUGUUUUAUUUUUUUAUUUUGACGUUAAUUUUUGUUUGGCUUUCAAUUAUUAAAAAAUAAAUAAAUAAAUAAAAAUCACACUUUUUCCCACAUGAUGUCGUUUUAUGUUUAUUGUUUGAUGGUGCAGCUAGAGUUCACAUCAUCUUGCACCUCAAACUUACUUGUAGCAUUAUCGCCUUCCUCUACUCCAUAAUUGACGACAAGGAAGCCACAAAAACUGAUUCUCUGAAUUGCAGUGUCAUUUCAAUCUUGUCAUUUGCAGUCUUGGAGGAAAGGAAAUUCAAAAAGACAAUUGUUCUUAUAUAUUUGGAAACGUGAAUGACAAAAUGUCAAGAUGAAAAGGAUACAAAGAGGUAAGAAUCUUGUGUUAUGUGUUUCCAUGAUUGAACCUAAAAUGUAUAUGUUAUUCUUGUAAAUGAUGACUGGACCUUGGUUAUGCAAGAAGAGACAUUUGCACCCGUUGCAUAUUUGGAAUCAGUGAGGCUACUGCUUGUUGUUGGUUGUCAUACCAAAUGGACGUCAAAAGUGCCUUAAUGGAUUUUUCAAGAAGCAACACAUGUUUAGCAAUCUACAGAUUCAUAGAUCCUCUCGUAUCCGUCUCUCCCUUAGUCACGACAAGACACAAUCCCUCAAGAGCAUCAUGGGUUAAUUUCUUUGGCUUUUGGUGAUACUCAUUCUCUUAUGUUUUUGCCCUAUCCAUGCAUGUUACCAUUAUCUCUUUCUCUUUGUUCUUGACAUAUUUCCAUACUUGACAUAUUUCUUGCCUUUGGAUUUCCUGACAAAAAGGGGGAGAUAUUGUGAUGUAGAACUAAGGGAGAGUAGUGUUAUAUUUUUGGGGAGAGAUUAUGAUGUAGAAUUAAGAGGGAAUGGUGUUUUAAUUUUGCUUUGAAAUAACAUUUAUUCUCCCACUUACUUCACUAGUUUUAUUGUUUCAUGUUGUGCAGGGAUUAAGAGCUUUGAGUUUAGAUAGAAUUUCAUUUGUUAAAUCCCAUGUAAUUUCUUUUGAUUGUAAUAGGUGCUUUGUCUAGGAAAUGCCAAAGGGGGAGAUUGUUAGUAUGAAAUUAUGUUGACAUUUCCUAGAACUUAGUAUAGGUUUGGAAGUUUCAUUUAGUUGUAGGGUUGAAGCAAAAUUGAUGUCUCUGAUUUCUAGAAUUACAGGAUUGAAACAGCUCAGCAAUCCCCGUAUACCAGUAUUAUGACUUAACACGUAUGAGGCACAUAAUCUGAAGGGUAAGACAUGUUAUUUUUCAUGCACUCAUGAAAGGAACGUAUUUGUGGAGUCUAAUAUGAUUUUAUUUUCUUGAUUUUUAAUCAAUUAGAAUCCCUGUGGGAGUGCAUCUCAUGUAGGCAAUUUUUACCCAAUCAAUUUGAUUAUUUUGCCUUCAUGUUUUAACAUCCCCUUGAUUUUCUAACAUGUUUUGGUUGCUUAGAAAUCAUUUUUUCAAUUAUAUCAUAAUAUUAAGGAGUCAAGAUGAUAUUAAUAGUUUAUCUAAACAUAGAAGGAUUCCUUUGAUAUUGUGAUUGGUCAAAAUCUUCUUUCUUGAGCAUCUCCUUUCUUGAGUGCUUGGUUUAUACAUGACUUGCAUUUAGAAUAGGAAAAUAUUCUAUUGUGAUUUUUGUCUAGCCUGGAAGAAUGGAGAUUUGGUUUAAACCUCAAUAAAAAUAAGGUUUUGUGUUUUCUUUUACAUAGCUUUUUCAACCGUAGUUUUGUGUGCUUAAACGUUUAAGAAAGAUGCUUUUUUUUAUUUGAGAUAAAUCAUUAAGUGUUCCAUGUUUACUUGGUGAUUUAUCAAACACCUUAUCAUUCAUAUUGCAUUCAUUUGCAUAGUUCAGUGACUAAUAUGGUUGAGAGCACCAAGACUGCGGUGGUUGUUUUUCUCCAGUGAGCUUGAAUCAAUCGUGACUAAUAUCGGGUUCAACACAAGGAGAGUUGGAAGGUCAUCCCAUGACAAAAGUUGAGUUACGAAGAAGUCGGUAAACAUUAUUUAGAAUGUGUCUAGGAUAAGUGUGUGAGUACUUCUUGUAAUCAUUAUUCUAUAGUGGAUUUGUUUUGAACGGAGGAAUCCCGUUGAUUUUCCCCAAAGAUGGGGUUUUGCCACAUAAAAUAACUCUCUGUGUGUUCCUUUAUUUUAUGCUCUACACAUUUUAAGAUUGAUAAGCCAUAUCAAUCAUACACAGAAGCUUAUUUUUAUUUAUUGAUUUUAAUUUUAAAUUGACCUAUUAACUCCUUCUAUGCAUUAUUAGUGAUCCUACAGGUAAUUUCAAUGCAUCCCAGAGAUAUUGUAGACUACGUUGUUACAUUCCCUAUUUUUGUUUUCAUAAUUUCUAUAAAUCGAUUAUAAGGUAUAACCAUAAUAGUUGGUUUCUAUCACUUUAAUCAAGUUUAAUCAUUGUCGGAAGUUCUAAUUUUACUAGUUGAACAAUUAUUGAAUGAACAUAUAAAAUCAUGAAAAUUUACAAUAUUUUGAUCCACUAUCGUUUGCAGUAUUUCAGAUAAUAUAGAAAUUGCAAAUGCUUUCAAUUAAAGAUUCAAAAGGUAUUUGGCCUCUAGGGAACAUAGAAUUUCUAGGGCCCCCAAGAAAAACAUAGAAUUCCUUGGGCAGGUAGUUGAAAUAAGUACCAUACAAGGGUACUACAGCAAAAGAACUGUUUAUCCAAAUCUUUCUGUAAUUUAUUUAGGAACUCCUUAUUUAGUGUCGGCCGACAGAUUAUUAGGGGUACAUUAAAAAGAAAACAAAAGAAAAGAAAAGGAAGGAUUUUCGGAGGGCCCACCAAAUAUUAGGUUAGUGGACAUUGACGAUUCAAACGCCGAUCACGCGUCACACAGUAACUAUCAAGCUACUGUUUAUGGAGUACACGUGGUAGAAACCCAAUGGACUAUGAGCCCAUCGUAUGUGCUACGUAAGCUCGCUCUCCAUGCAAGCCAUGACAUCAUACCAGCCGAUUAGGGACAAGUGUACGGUGGUGGAUAGUUAUUCAUUUUAGGUCUUCAAAAUGCCCACGUCUCACGUGAUAGAUUAGUUAAGCCCCACACUUAAUAAAACCAUUAUUUAUUUUUUUGGUGACAUGUAGAAUAAUGCUUCGAUUUGAUUUAGAAAUGGGCCAGUGACUUCACUCUCUCCAAACUUAAUUUUUUUGGGUGGGGUUUUGGCAACCAAUUAGGGUUCAACAUUUGGGAAUUUGCUAAUUUUGGAGCUAUUUAAUGAUGUAAUAGAAGUGUAAAGGGGGAAGUGGAAUUAGACAAGUGUCCACCAUUAACAUUAAAAUAAUAUCAAAGUUUUGUGUUGAGUUGUUUGCAUCUUGAUUGGAAAUUUGGAACUGAAAAUAACCCACUCAUCUGUCUAUUGUGAAAUCAAGAUAAUAUAUAUUUGUAAAGCCGAAAGACUUGGAACUUGCCAUAGUUUUAGAUUACAAAUAUAAGUUUAAUUAAUUACACCCACUGAUGUGGAAAUAUAUUAUUUGGUUUUUUUUUCACCUGAUAGUUUAAACUACAGAAGAUAGAGGAUUUUCACACGUAUAAAUAACCAAAAUGUUAUGGGAGUUCGAAUUUGAGAGCUCUAAUAUGCAAAUUAAGACAAUUUUCCAUUAGGCUAGACCCAUUAGCAUUACUUGUUCUUUUUUAUAGAGCUUGCUAUAUGGAUCUUAUUUCUUCACAUUAAGUAAGAAACUAACAUAUGAUGUUUCACAUUAGAGUAGAUUAAAGUGGUUUAAAAUAUCACUUUUAUAAAAAAAAAACACACACACACACACAUUAUGUUGCACAUCAAUUGGUAGCCAAUAAUUGGGAUAAUAGUUUAUGAUUCUAGCACUAGCUAGUUUUGGUCAUCUUUAUGAUUUUCAACGAGUAAUGUGCUUGCACUGACCAAAAGAACAUGAAAUGUGAUGCAAGAGUUUUGAAUGAAGCAAUGUCAGAAUUUGAAAAUUAUGUUAUUCCUUCGGUUCUAUAUAUUUUGUUUGAAAAUUUUCCUCUUCCAACAAUUUUUUUUAAAAAAAAAAAUUAAAAAUGUGACUGUAUUCAGUUAUACGUAAAUUAUUAUAUUUUCUUAUCAAUAAUAAGAAGAGAAGACUCGAGUUUGAAAUCUCUGAAAAAGAGAAAUACUACUAAAUUAACAGUUCAUGGGUAUAUCAGUAAUUAUAUUUAGUUGUUACGUCAGUAAUUAUGUUUAGUUGUUAAAAAGACAUGUAAAAAUAGAUAGAUACGAUAGGAGAGAGAGAGCCUCUAGCUACAAGCUAUUUGUUGGAGAAAGUCACACCCAUGGGUGCAGGUAAUAACUUUAGAAUGGUAGAAUUAGGAUUGGAUCAAAUUAUAUAGAAAUUGUGUAAUUGUUGGUCAAUUUCCAUGUAUCAUUAUCAAUCAGCAUUGUUUUGUUUGUCUUCAUCAUGCAAAGCAGCAUCAAUUGGACAAAACAAAAUCUUUACAUUAUCAAAAUUGCAAAUGGAUGAUGUCGGCAACAGGCACCUACAUUAUUGAACGCCAGUGCGUUUAGUCCAAGCCCAAGAAACUUUUUUUCUAUCGUAGGGUUUCUUAUGAACCCAGUUAACCCAAAAUGUACUACUCCAAAAACCAGAACCCAAAUAUCAUACGUUAUUAUCUUUUAUAGGGUUAAGACGCUGUCAAUAGAGUAUAACUCAGUUAGUUAAGCUCUUUCACCUUUAUCUAUAUGAGCGGAAGUUAAAACCCCUAAACAACAAAUGAAUACUUAUGUAAACCCCACUCCCCAAUCGCUUAUACUUAAAAAAAAUUGGACGGCAAUUGUUUUACAGGUUAAUAAAUUCAAUACAUGAAAAUAUAUGACACAUAAGAAUACGUUAAAAAUAUGGUGAAAUAACAAACAAACAAACAUUAUACGGGUAUUAGGGAGAAAAAAAAAUGUCAAUAAAAAGAACAUAUAUAUAUAUAUAAUGUAUCGAAAUUAAAUACAACAACAUAAGAAAAAUAUCCCUUUAGUUAUAAUAUCAAAUUAAAUCUCACCUCUGAAUCCUAUUUGGUGUAAAUGACUAGCUGCCAAAACACAAUCUCAUCAUAUGUUAAGAAAACUGAGCUAUAUAUCAAAUGAAUUAUUGUCAUCUUCCUCAGCAUGAUCGUGAGGGAUCUGAGAAGAAGUACUUGGAUCAGCCAAUGCCGUGUCAUUUGCCGGCUCCAAAUCUGUGCUAAAUGGAGAAGAAAAGGUGUUCAUAGGCAGCCCAUGACUUGUAUAUGCAGAGUCUAAAGUUCGAUGAUUGUUGAAGCUGGUGAUGGGCCAUGGAUAAUUGCUCCAAGCUCCAUUUUGGAAAGACUCAUUAUAAUACGGGGGCUCACCAAAUUCUGUGUUCACUGUUGUGGAAGACAUACCAGCAGCAGUGUAAUGAUGAUUUAUUGAUGAAGAGGAUGAAUUGGAAUUGGCAAUAAGAGGAGAUGGAUAUUCUUGAUGAUCAUGCUGAUGAGCUGAUUGAACUGAAUCUGCAAUCCCUUUAUUUUUAUUUUUCUUGACUCUUUUGUUCUUAUAAAUCUUACACAAAACACAAUCGUUCAACUACAGAAGAAACAUAUACAAGUUAAUAAUUAGAUAGGCAUAUGAGAUAUACUGAUAUGAAUUAGGAUACAUAUAUAUACACACAUAUACAAAGACAAUAGCGGAUUUAGGAAUUUUUCAAGGAAGAGGCAAUAUUAAGAAGGCUAAAAGGUCAACAAAAAAAAAAUAUAAAACAACCAAAUAGCCUUACAAUUUAAACAAUACUAAUGUUAUUCAUAAUUAAAAUAAAUAUGAGUUUUACGUCUAAGUCUAAUUGACUAUGGUCUAUUUUGUAUAUCAAUUAAUAUGCACAAAAUUUAGGUUACACAAUUAUUUACCAAAAUUCAUAUCAAAUAUGAACAAAAUGCAUGUCAAUUACUAGUCUACCAAAAUUCAUAAGAAAUCAUCUAUUAAUCUAACUAAAAUCAAUACCAAUUAAUCUAACGCAAAGUACAUGUGAUUUGGAGGUCACAAGAUAAAAGUACAUGUGAUUACGAGUUCGGUGUAAUUUUUGGUAAAUUUUUCGAAACACAUAAGAAUUUUUAAUGAAUGUUUAAAGUCUAGUUAAAAUUUGACACUGGCGCCUUGAUAGAGGACCAUAUUAAAAAGGAAUUAAAGUUGAGAAGCACGGAUUCUAACUUCUCACACUCCAGUCGUCUUCUUCUUCGACUUAGUAUGCAACUUAUGAAAAAAUUUCAAAAUCUUCUCAAAUUUAUAACUUUGGUUGUGGAGGUCCAAUUGACAAACCGUUUUCUCAUGACCGUGAGAUUGAGCCCAACAAUCUAAGGUAGAUAUUUAGGGUCUCACACAAUAGCAACAAAAUAGCCUCUUUGAGGCUUUUAAUCAAACACUUAGUGGGCACAAGCAGAUGUGCAAAUUCCAGCAUCUCCAAUGCAUUUUCCGGCGAGGAGAGUUGCAGUUGCACCUCCUUGCGCCUCUGUGGAUCCGUAACUGUACACAGAACUUCCAUUGAGGGAUCCCUCAAAUAAACUUAUUUAAGGGUCCCCUACGAUUUUUUUUUCAAUGAUCCAAACCAUCUAUUUUUUAAGUCUACAUUUAUAGAGCAUCCUUGUAAAAAACUAGACAAAUCAGAAACCGUUUUAAGAUCUAAUUGUGUUCUACAAAAUCAAUGAACACGGUGCCUCAAGAAAGUACUAAAAUUUCAAUAAUUCAAUUGAGUGGUCAAAUAAUAUCGGAUUUAAGUGAUUUUUUUUGUAAAGAUGAUCUUUGAAUGAAUAUCUACAAAAUAGACUGUUUAGAUUAGUGAAAUACAAUACGGAGUGGACUCUACAUAAUUUUCAUGAACCUAGCUAGUGUAUGCUACUAAUAAAAAGUCAUAACACACCAAAGAAUUUCUCCCAUAAAAACACACACGUAUAUCCCAUACCUUCAUGUCACCGUUGGCUUUAUGGCCAUUUGAAGGAGCAAUAUUUCCACUGAGAACGUAUUCAUGCAUUUUCCAUUCUGUCUUAACUCCUUCCCCGUGUUUCCCUGCAUAAAAAUCUAGAAUCCUCUUCUGCCCAAUUACCUCAUUGUUAACUUUGAUCUUGUCAUCGGUUCCAGUUGCCUUCCAAUAUCCAUGGUUGUCUGCUGCUCGAUUUGGCCGAGAUCCAUUUGGGUACUUUCGUUCCCUUGAACUGAAAAAGUACCACUCGUUUUCUCUGAGUAAGUUGUGCAUCCCUAAAGCAAAACAGGAAGAAAGAGCAAAAGUUACUUAACAAUUAGUAUAAACCGUUUAGUAUAUUGAAAUAUUAAUCUCCUUCUCUAAACCAAAAAUUCAGAAUCCAUUAGGGCAAAUCGAUAUCAGUACUCAAACGUGAUUUGUCUCUGCCCUAGAAAUAAAACCCUAGUUGCUCUCUUCCAGACUUACGAAGAGUCGUUCUUACUUUUUAGUGUUGGUACAUGAAGUGUGGUUUAUAUUAAUUGCACGCAGUGCUCCAAAUUCUUAAUCCAUUCAGUCUUGAAUUUGUGAGUUAAAAACAAAAUAACUACUAAGAGUACUAACAACUUUUUUUCUUUUUAUGAAAGGGAGAACUGGAGAUACGAACUUAUAAUCUCUUUCAAUACGAACUUCUCCAAACUUCGAUAUCAUACGUCAUGCAAAAACUUCUACUAAAGUGGUGCAAACAAUUAAAGAGCUUUCAAGAAAAUUAGCAAAAGAUUACAUACCCCUUCUUUCAAGAGUAAAUCCUUUUCUAUAAACCUUUUGAAUAAUAACUUAAAGUAGGAUGCACGAAACUUGACGACUUGUAAGAACCCUAAUUUCUUUUCUGCUGUUCUUGAAAAGUUUUCUAACUAAAUAUGCUACUCCUAAAGUUCUAAACGAUGCAUGUGUAGCUUAGAAGAAGCAUAUCAAUAUCACGAAAAACUAGUUAAGGUAACCAGUAAAAAAGAAGAAAUAAUUAAUGGAUAUAGAAGAGGAUCAUAACACUAACCAGUAAGCUCUUCAGGAUGGUAUUUGUAAACAUCAACUUCACGAAACCUGUUGAUGGGCAGUAGCUCAUUCUUGAUCUUCUUCUUUAAGUACUCUUCAACCAAUUCUUCGUUGGUUGGGACGAAUCGAUAACCACUUGGAAGAUCAUUAAUAUAUUUAUCGGUUAACCAUGCUUCAUCAAAAAUUUCAUGAGAAACCUGAAUAUUGCUUUCCUCCAUUGAAACUCACAAGUAUAGAGUUCUUAAUUUUUUUAUUUUUUAUGGAGCCUAUAAUGUAGGAAUAUAGUUGAAAGGGGGAGGGGGUGGGUGGGGUGUUGGGUGUUUUCAUUAGGUGUUUGUGUGGGAUUUGGUUUCUUUACUUUCUUUGUACUGGGUCCGUACUCUGUAAUUUUUAUUUAUUUUGUAUUUAUUUAAUCCGUACUCCGUAUUUUAUCUUAUAUGUGAUAAUAACUAUAAUAAUUUUCUAACGACAAGUAAUAUUGAACAGAGAAUUUGUAUUACACAUGAAUUUCUUUGGUUCAUGGAUUACACACAUUUAAACAAUAAUUAAUUUGCCAACGGAAGUAGGGGCGAGUUAGAAUUGAAAAUUGGGGGGGUCAAAGUAGAAAAUAAAAAUAUAUAAAACACCUAAGUAUUCAAUAAUUACAUGUUUAAAGUUAAAUAUUUCUAAUUUAGUCAUGUCUAAUCUAUUUUAGAAGGAAUUUUAACUUAAAUUAUAAGUUGUUUGUUACUAAUUAUGUAUGUUAUAUCUAUAUAUAUAAAGCAAAAGGCAGAGAAUGGUGAAACAUUCAAAAUACCAGAAAAUGCCCUUUGUUAAUUCAAACAUUAAGAAUUGAAAUUAUUAAUUAAAUGAGGAUAAUAUAGUAAAUUCAUAUUUUUUAAUAUUAAAAAAAUUAAAAUUAAAAACAAAAUAAGAUAAUAGGUCCUACUUUGAUGGAACAUAACUACCCUGUUAUCUUUUAUUAAUUCUAAAAAUAAAAUAAAAAAGAAAAAGAAAACCAAUUGGCACAUGCGUGAGCAUGUGUCAAGGGGCUAGUAUAAUAUAAUAGAGGAGAUAUCAAAAUAUAUGGCUACUGAAUGGGAGUCUAGCCCAGUGAAAAAGCCAUGGCAUUAUAGAGUUUUUUUUUUUUUUGGGUGUGGGAAAUUCUCAUCUCCCCUCUAGUUUAGAUCAUUGCUUGUAUUAAAAAAAAAUAAUAAUAAUAAUCAAUUUAAUCGUUAAAAAAAUAAAAAUAAAAAAUAGAUAAAAUUCAGAUAUAUUAUCAGGUGUAUUGUCUAGGAUUGGAGCUUGCAUUGCGCUUGGUUAAUGGGGCUCAUAAUUUCAAAAUAAGCAUACAGCCUUGCGAAUUUGAGUUUAUCGGUUUAACACACCUUGCAUUUAUUACUUGAUUAUUUUAUUAAUCAAUUUCUACAAUAUUCUCGAUUUAUUGACCGCCCAAUAUAUUCAAUGUUUACAGAAAAUUUUAAAUAGAAAUUAAUUAAAAGCAGCCAAUAAUGAAAAGAAAACCAUGCAUGCAUGGCAUAUCCUCUCUCUUCUCCACCCUCCAACGACCGAGAAGAUUGGAAGGGCCUUUUUUUUCUUUUUGGGUAAGUGGGAAAAUAUAGCAACUGGAGACAUUCCUAAAUGUAUAUGAGUAUAUGAACCAAGCGAAAACCUUGCCUGCAUUGCAUGGCAUAUAUUUCACCUUUAGUUUUUGUUUUUAAUGAUUAUUGAAAAGAGAAAUUAAUAAAUAAAAGUAGAAUUUACAUGGUAAUAUUCAUUAAUUGAUAUGGCGUGAUUAUAUUAAUUGCCACAUAAGGUAGUCAGUUAGUGGUGGAGACACCUGAGGACCAUAAUGAGCCUAGCCCCCUCUCAUAUUUUUUAUUUUCUCAUAUUUUUACUUAUAUAUGUUGCUAUAUGUUUGCUUUUUCUAGUAAAAAUUAUUAAGAUUUUUUGUCUUUCCCUUCCUCUUUUGAUUAACUUACGCUUCGUGAAUAGCACUUGAGCUUAAUAGGACACCUUAAUAUUGGGAUUUAUGAACAUUUUUUGUAUUUCUUCUCUCUGUUGAAGUAUAAAUUAUUAAAUUUUGAGUCUUUAAUAGUAUAGAUGAUGAGAUUAAUAUUCAACCAUUUUAACAUAUAAAAUUCAGGACAAUUAUGAUUGUAAUAAAUGAACAAAUUAUUAAUCAAUAUGAAAUAAUAUUAUUAACUUAUUAACCUAUUUAGCACUUGAGCGCUACUAUUUGAAUUACUUUUUAAUUUUUUUUGUGAAGGGCCCCCUUUAAUGUGAAAUUAUGACUCCGCCACUGUGGUCAACUAAUGUGGUCAAUCUUGUGUGUCUGAAUAGCAUUACUAGUGGGAAAAUAUAGGUAAUAUAAGACAUUCCCAAACCUAUAUGAGUCUAUGAACAAAACCCAACAACAAGCCAAUAUGAGAGUCUGGAAAAAUACAUAGGUAAUGAAAAAGUGUUCUUGGUUAGCACAAGAUCGCACCGACAAUAAGUUGUGGAACUUAUUUAUUCACAGUAAGUACGAAAUUGUCAAAUUAAUUGGUAACAAAAAUUUUGUGUGACAAGUUUGGUGAGUAUUAUGUUGAUUUGGCAAUGGUAAGGAGAGCUCCGCAACUUCACAACAACGAAACAAUUUACUUGAAAUGAUCACCAAAAACAAAAAACAAAAAACCAACUCUAGCCAAAAAGAAAGAAUCCGCCCAACCAAAUUCUAACCUAGACUAAUUUACAAUUUGGUGUACUGCUAGGGUUUUGCCUAAACAACUGCUGUUGAUGAUGAUACCAAUGCUCUAGUCUUUUGUCGAAAUCACCAUCCUUGUUUCUAGCCGCAAGUAGUUGCUCAUAUAGCCUGACAUGCACAGGUAACUGCAUAGAACUUGAAUCAACCAGUGGCAUUUGAUCCGCAUACGUGGAAGUCUCCAUGUGUGGCAAAAAUCCAGGUUGAGAAGAAAACGACUCCCUUGGCUGAACAUGGCUCUCAAUAUUGGCAGACUGCGUGUCGUAUUGGGUGAGGUUUUGAUCGUUUUGAUCGUAUUGGGUGAGAUUUUGAUCGUUUUGAGCGUAUUGGGUGAGGUUUUGAUCGUUUUGAUCGUAUUGGGUGAGGUUUUGAUCGUUUUGAUUGUAUUGGGUGAGGUUUUGAUAGUUGUUGUGGACUGGUCCCGGAGGAUUGCCAGACGUUUGAUUUUGGAAAGGGUACUGCUGGUGAGGAUAAUAUGUAGGGUUUCCAACGUAGGUGUUCAAUAUUGUUGGGGUUGGCCUGCCACGAGGUCGUUUGUUUGCAGUGGAGGAAGAAGAAGCACCGCUAGAUUGACUAACAAGAUAUUGAUCAUGCUGAUGAACGGGCUGGAUUUGUUGGUCUGGAAAAGCUUGAGAUGCUACAACAUUUGUAGAUGGCUCUGCUCUUUGAUCAGAUUGUGUAGUGCUCGAGUCAUUGUUCCCGCCUUUGUUAUUCUUGUAAAUCUUGCACAAAACACAAUUAUCCAGCUGCAAAGAAAACGUACAAGAGUAAAGUUAAUUAGAAUCAAGUUAUAUGCAAAAAUAACUCAUUAAAAUUAUAAAAUAAAAUAAAAGUUUAUGCACACACGUUUACAUUUCCUUACGUACCUGCGUAACACGAGUAUUGCUUAUUUCAUUAGGAGGAGCAUCGAGCGUGUAUUCAUGCAUUUUCCAUUCUGUCCUCUUGCCAUCUUGAUGGUUCCCUUGAUAAAAAUCUAGAGUCCUUUUGGACCCAAUUACUUUACCAUUACUAUCUUCGAUGUCCUGAGCUUUUCCGGUUGCCUUCCAAAAUCCAUCGACUGCUGAUCGAUCUGGCCGUUGUCCUUUCGGAUACUUUCGUUUCCUAGAAGUGAAAAAAUACCACUCACUUUCUCUAAUUAAAGUGAUGCGCCCUAGAAAGAAAAAGAAAAGUUAAAGUUGUCUCACUGCAAAAGAAAAAGAAUAUAAAAUUUUUUAACCUAAAGUGAGCAUAUAGAUGAAGACACAAGAAACUAACCAGUGAGGUCUCUAGGAUGAUACAAGGAGAUGUCAAGGUCAAGAAACCUGUUUUUGGGGAUUUCCUUGUUCAAGACCUUCCCCUCUAAGUAGCUUGAAACCAACUCGGCAUCAGUUGGGGCAAAUCGAUAGCCACAUGGAAGAGAAUUAAAAUAUGCAUCGUUGGUUGGAUCGUUGAUGAACAAAUCUACUUGUUCCGGAAUCGGAUCGUUGAUGAACCGAUUGUUUUCUCCCAUGGCGAUUACGCGAAUGCGAAGCUCCUAAUUUAAGAUUAGGAAGCCUAUUAUAGGAAGAUACUUGAAAAUUGCAGGUGUAAAAAGCCUUGAGCAUGGAGAAUUGGUGUUUCGGUCCAUGUUUAUAUAGGAUUUGGUUUCCUUCUAAACUGUUUUUUUUUUCUUUUUUUUUCUAAAAUAACACAAGUGUAGCAAGUUAUAUGGAACGAGGUUUUAGGAGUUUUAAUUAGAUUAUGUUUGCUUAAUUUGGAGUUAAGAGAAAUGAUAAUCCUAUAGUGUCAUAAACUUAUAUUUGAAUUUAUUCGACCAAAAAAAAUGUAUUUUCCACGUAAUCCAUCUUAACCAAAACAAUUUUUUUUUAUUAAUAUAAGAAAAAUAGAAAGAUGGAGCAAGGUUGCAACUUUCUAGGAUUACCAAAUGUAGAUUUUAUAUAUGACUCCAUGGAACUUGGAAGUUUUGUUUGAUAUAUAAUUGCUCCUAUUGAAUUUCAUAAACUAGGGUUGUGAUAAGAAUCUGUAUUUUCGACAAAAAAGAAAAAGAAAAAGAUAAGAAUAUGUAUUUUGGGUGACUUGAGUCAGAUUUUGGGUCACUUAAUUUAGGACAAUUUAAGUGAGUUUUUUACUAUAUUUGAAACUUUUUAAAAAACUAACAUUUAUGAAUUUAUGGGCUAAAUUUGAGCAAAAUUCAGGAGAAAGGCUCAAGAACUUUAUUUUUAAAAAAAUAAAAAAAUAAUAAAAAGACAUGGCUUAAACGUCGUCAUUGUGGUCAGGCCUUUUUUAAAACAAAGAAGCAUCACGAGCCUAGUGCUACUGAAGACUUGUGUAGAUUGGUUAGGGCAUUCUAUGGAGCACCUGGUUUGCCCCUAUGCGGCUCUCAAGGAUUACAUGUUAUUGUAUCUAUUUCUUAACAAAGUAUUGCUAAAAUUCAUUAGGUAUUUUAGUCAGAUUCAUAUUUCUAUAUUCAACUUUGUGUUUAUACCUGAAAUUUUCCACCUAGGCCCUACAAGAACUGAUGAUGUGGCAUUGGCACUCAAGCCACAUUUGUGGCCCAAGUGACAAAUUUCAAGCCCAAGAGCAAGAUAAAGAUGGUUGAGCUGUGAAGCCCACGACCAUGGUAAAAUGGCCUCAACCCAAAGACAUCAUGGGUCGUGAGUUGAGUCCAUGACAGCCUAAACCCAGAAGUUGGACUUCAAAGCCCAAAAUUGUAACCCAAUAUUCUCGGCCCAUGGUAGAUUUUUCCCUGCUAUAAAUCUUUCUUAUUCUUCUUUUCUAAGUCACUUCUUCCGGUUCCAAACUCGGUUCUUCUAAUUUCGAGACCUCUUUUACACUUGUUGAAUAAUCAUCCUCAUUUUCUUUUGAUUCUCAUACUUCAAAUCUUCAAAAAUCUAAAUUUUAUUCGAGGAAUGGGGCUUUGCAAUGGAAAUCAAUCAAGAGGUAAUUUACACCAUUUUAUAACUAAUCAAAAGGAAAUAACUUUUUUCGUGUUUGUAGAUUUGUGACUCUAGAAAAGGGCCUAAUUGUUUACUUUCGCCCCGGGUUCUCAAAAACUUAAGGCGAACCCUUGCCACCAUGGAUUUAUUAAGGGAACUCAUUAAGCUGAAAGUGGUGUUGAAGAGAAUUGUAAUAUGACUCAUAAUUUAUUGAAUAACAUUCGUGUUCUGGGUAAUACUUGGUUAAGGUAGAAAACAUAUUCUAUCAAAUUCACUUCUACGACCUAAUUUUAUGGGAUUCACCCACAGCCAUUUUCAAUGUGAUUGAUUUCUUUUUGGGUUUUAUCAUUGUGAUUUCAGAUGAUUUUGGGUGCCAAUAGUUUCUGGAAUUUUGGUGGCUCAAUGACUCUGGAAUUAUCAAAGUAAUUAAGAUUACAAAAAAAUCACCAUUAGGAUUGGUCAUCAAUUGAAAAUCGUACCAACACACCAAGACAACGGUGUGACGGAGAAAACUUCAAGCAGGACUCCACCGUUGGGAUGAUGAUAGAAGAAGACUGCUGAACUUUUAGGAUGAUGGUUAAAAUGAAGUAAUUCAAAAUAAAUAAAAAAAACAAAAUCACAUAUUAUUUCUUGUCCAACAAGCAAGCUUACUAGAAGCACCACUAUGAUUAAUACUCCAGAGAAAUUCUGGCCAAGCCCACAGUCUAGAUAAAGAUUGCCUUGGGCUUUUAUUAAAUAAAGUCCAAGACCAACUAUUGACCCACUUAAGUCCAGCCUUGUUCCAUAGUUGGGCUUAAGAGCAACUCCACCUAUUUGUCCUUUGUCAUGGCAAGGGGGUGUUAGGGUAGCCGUUAUUCACGUGAAUAGUGGUUGCCUUUGCAAAAAGCCAUUUCCUUUUCCACCCGUUGUCAUGGCAAAGGGCAAUUACUAUUCAUUUUUUUGUUUUUUUCACAAAUUUUGUUUACCUUAAUAAUUAAUUUGGAUAAUAUUUUCGGAUAAUAUUUUCAGGUUCCUACGUGUUAAGACUAUUUAUAAUCGGAUAAAAUAUCCGGAUAAAAUUUUUGGGUUCAAAUUUCGGAUGAAUUUCAAAAUUCAAAAUUCAAAUUUUCAGAUAAGAUUUUCAUCUAUCAAAUCAAGCCACGUGGCAUUUCUAUCUGGCCAAAAUUUUCUAUAAAACCAGAGGCUCAGCUCAUACCUCUCACACCACAUCUUUCUAUAUUUUCAUUUCUCAAAGUUUAGAAUUCAUACUUCAUUCUCAAUAGAAGAUUUGAGGAGAUGCUUGGAAAGGCAAGAGCGAGAAACAAAUCAGACAAGUCAUAGAUGAGCUGAAAGGCAAAGGUUGCAGAGAGAAGAGGAUGAACAAGUUGUCAUAGCAGUGGCUUUUCUUGAUGAAGAGAACUAAGGUCACUGUUGUGGUUCACAAGUCAGUUGUGGCCCGAAUGUGGACAAACAUAGGCAUUCUCGGGGUAAGAAUCUUUUGAAAGAUUAUUUUAUCAAAACCUCUUUGUACUCUGAUGUUGAUUUUCGAAGGCAAUAUAGAAUGCAACCUCAUUUGUUCAAUUAAGUCAUGCAUGAUAUUUGCAAUUAUGAUGCAUACUUUGUUCAAAAGUGUGAUGCUGUUGGGGUUUUGAGACUUCUUCCGGAGCAAAAGUUUACAACUGUUAUACGAAUGUUGGCGUAUGGUUCAUCUGCUGAUCAGAUGGAUGAAAUUACCCGGAUGGGAAAAUCCACUAUGUUAGAGGCCUUGGUAAGAUUUUGUGAUGUAGUCGAAACUCUGUACACUCGGGAGUACCUGCACAGGCCUACUCCUAGGGACCUCCAACGACUUUUACAAAAAGCCGAAGCUCCAGGAUUCUUAAGCAUGAUUGGUCGCAUCGACUGUAUGCACUGGCAAUGGAAAAAUUUUCCAACUGCCUGGCAAGGAGAUUACGGAAAUAGAAAAGGCUAAAAAAGUAUCAUCCUUGAAGUCGUUGCUAGCUUCGAUACAUGGGUUUGGCAUGCUUUCUUCGGAGUUGCCGGAUCCCAAAAUGACCUCAACGUGCUGGGUUAAUCUCCGAUCUUCAACAAUGUUUUGAGAGGCUAAGGCCCCAAUAUCACCUAUCAAGUCAACAAUACAGUCUACCAGACGGGGUAUUAUCUAGUUGAUGGCAUCUACCCGAGGUGGACCACAUUUGUCAAAUCCAUUCCGAAUCCCCAAUCCCAUAAGCAAAAAUUAUUUGCUUCCUAUUAAGAAGGAUACAUGAAAGAUGUUGAAAGGUGUUUUGGCAUCUUUCAAGCUCGAUGGUUGAUUAUUCGAGGUGCGGCCCGUAUGUUUAAUGAGGAGGUCCUCAAAAGCAUUAUGAUGACUUGCAUCAUUCUCUAUAACAUGAUUGUGGAGGAUAAGUAUGAUUACGAUGCUGCAGAGGUCCACGAAUAGGAUCCCAUGAACACGGCCUUGACACAAAUUUAUGAAAGGCCCAUGGGGCCAAGUGGAGAACCAUUUGAGCCGGAUCCGUUGGUUAGGGAUGGUUAUUUCAUGAGUCGUAUGGUAGAUCGAUAUACAGAUAUGCAAUCUUCGUAUAUUCAUGAAAGGCGCCAACUUGACUUGAUGGAGCAUCUAUGGGCGAUGAAAGGCAAUGACGGUGAUUGAUGGAACAUAGAUGCUUUGGUUAGGUUUUAUUUAGUUAUGGUUUGGUUGUGGUUUGUUAUUAUUAUUAUGCUUUGGUUGUAGUUUUUUAUUAUUUUUUAUUAUGCUUUGGAGGUGGUUUUCCUUUUAAUUAUGCUUUGGUUGUGGUUUUUCCUUUUAAUUAUGUUUUGUUUGAUGUAUGGAAUAUGUUGAAUAAAAAGGUAUUUAAUUGAAUGCUUUGUUUAUUAAAUAAAGAAAGCCAAUACAAGUCAUUAAGAAUUACUACUACUAAAAUAAAAUACAUGAAUUACAACAACUUUAAUACAAAACAUGAAAAAUACAAAUAAAUAUAAGGUAUGCCAACUAAUUUAAUGGUUUUGAUCAUUUAACCAAUCCGUAUUGCUAGGCUCAUCGUCACGGAAAAGUCUUCUUCUCAUAACAUCCCUUCGUUCUAGCUUCCAAAAUUGUUUUGUUUCAGGGGACAUAUGGCCUGUAUCCAUAGCCAUGGUUUCCCGAUCCUUCUUGUCAAUGAUUUCUUUGAGCAAAAACUCCCUUUCUUGAAGAUUUUCUGCUCAAAUUGCCAUCUCAUUUUCUUGGUGUUUCCGCUCCAUUUCAAUUCUUAUGGCACUAUGUCUAAAAAUUUUGAUGUAUUACUACUAAAAUUACUCCAUUUCUUCGCCUUCGCAGCCUUUCGGCCAAUGGGCCUCGGCUCCUUUUCGACAGGCGAGUCUUGACUCAUAGUGGAAUCGAGAGGUGAAUCCGAUGUUGUUGAAUCACGAAGUGGCAUCUUGUUUAACAUAACGGCGAGACCCGUGGGAAUAAUUAUGAAGCGUUUGUAAUUUUUCACCACCUCACAACAUUCAUGAUGGUUGAACGUUUUUUUUGCCUUGCCCAAUUGCAUUAAACCACAUCUGUGCUUGAAUCGUCUAUUAAACAAAAAAAUAAUGAAAAUGCAAGAAAUAUUUAAAAUAUAUUGGAUAUGCAAGUAACAUUAAAAAAAAAUUAAUGGAAAUGCAAUUAACCUUACACAUAUAUUGGAAAUGCAACAAAUAUGAAUAAAAUAUUAUUUAUGCAAGAAAUAUUAAGAAACAAUUGGAAAUGCAAGAAAUAUUAACAAAAUAUUGAAAAUGCAAGAACUAUUAACAAAAUAUUGAAAAUGCAAGAAAUAUUAACAAAUAUUGAAAAUGCAAGAAACAUUAAAUAUAUAUAUAUUAGGACAUUAAACUUAAUAAAACGAAAAUUAAAAAUAUUUACCUUGCUACUAAGAUUUUCCCCGCUUCUAUGGUUGUCCCUCGCUUUUGCUAAGGCAUCUCUCUAUUUUGCCAACUCUUUAUUGAGAAUUUUCCACCUACUCGACAACGCCAUUUCCGUUCGAGUAGACCCCGGAUUUUUUUCACAAAAUUCGGCAUGAAUUUUUUUCCACAUAUGACAAAAUUUCAUCUCAUUGCCUGACAUGGGACAAUGACUAAUUUAGACCCAAGACUCUGACAAAAAAAACAUCUUCCAUGGUGCUCCACGCCCCUCCGAUUUCGAUAGAAGAAGCCAUAAAGAUAAGAAAUAAAAAUACAAUUUGAAAGAGAGGAAAAUGUUGAGUAAAGAGUGAAUAAUAGUAGAAGUAGAAGAAAAUGUAUGAGGAUUGGUGUUGAAAGUGAAGGGUAUUGAUAGGUAUUUAUAGCAAAAAAAAUUCAGAAUUUUUUGAUUUUUUUAAUAAAAUUUUUUGAUUUUUGUUCAUAAUUUUAUUGUCAAAAAAAUGCCAGUCGUUGGAUUAGAGGAGGAGAAGCAGAUCGGAGCGCCCAAGCCUUGACACAUGUCUUCUAGCCGUUGGAGAUUGCGUAGGGCUGACGUCAACGCACGCCAGGUCAAAUUUUUUUAACUGUUGGAGCGUGCAUUGCACGCGCCACAGUAAAAAAAAUUUGAAACUGCGCGCUAACGUCGCACAUGACGUCAUCCCUUCUCGGGCUCGAGCUCUGGCGAAACUGGCCUUCGUGCCAGCCCUUCUUCGUGGAUCCCACUCCUAGCCCGGGCAAGAUUGGCCCGCUGGAACUGGGUUUUUCACGUAGCCCCCCCAGCCUCGGGCUUGGGCUGCUCGGUGGAAUGGCUCUAAUCAUGGAACAAAAUACUUCAUUUCCAAAACUAAUUAUCAUAGAAAAGUGCUAAUGGACCAUGGAAAUCUGGGAUUUGCAAAUGGUGCUUUUGGAAAAUUGAGGGUGAUAUAAGUAAUGUUAUUUUCUUUGUUAUAAGAAUAUGGGGUUCAGAGUAGGCUCAGAAUUGAAUAAGUAAAACACGGCCGGAUCAUUUGGUGAAUAAAUUAGUGUGUAAAGUUCAUGAAAUUUUUUUAGCGCAGUGGUAAUGAUCUGGUGUUAUAAUUUUUUGGACUUGUAAGUUACAUGGCAUUUGACUUUGGUGUUACUGUCACAUAGGAUAAUCUUUCUAAGUUAUUUGGUCUAUGCAAUAAAAACUUAUGUACGGCUAACGGUAAAAUUACGUGGCAUGCUUGAAUGAAUGUUAUAAAAUUCACACAAAUUAUAAAGUAGUUACCGAAUAUAAUGUUUUGUAUUGGAGUUAAGAAUUUUAGAAUUUCAGUAAGUGUGUUAAUUGGGUGAAUUACCACAUCCAAGAAUUUCUUCUAAGCAAUCAAUCGUGCAAAUCUUGUCAAAUGAUUUUAGGUACAUCUGGUUUCGGCCGACAAUUUGGGAAAAAUUUCCAAUACUGGAAUGAAAUAAUAAGUUAAUAACAGUGAGAAAAAAGUCCUAAAGUUGAAAACCCUCAGUGGCUUUAUCUAGAUCAUUUGGAGAAAGGUCUAUGUGCUUUUCAUGUCAAGUUGGCCACUGGGGUCAUGCCAAGUUGGCCAUUGGGUGCUAUUUCCCCCAAAAAGAUUUUUGAAAGCGAUCCAACUUGAAUGGGGAAUAGGGAAGAGAUGAGGGCUAGACCCCUAUAAAAGAGCAAUUAAAUUUAAUCAGAAAAAAACAAAAGAAAAAAUAAAACUAUUCUUGUCAUGAUCAAUGCCUUUUCUCUUUAUAAAAUUUUCAGAAGUGGGUAUUGCAAUCCUAUGUGGGUGAUUAUUGCAUAUAUAAAGCACCAAAUAAAUAGGCG
RNAcentral lists this long non-coding RNA (90135 nucleotides) under Prunus persica (peach). RNAcentral's name for it is "long non-coding RNA (PPER_LNC007273)". The stretch from base 32386 to 32457 matches the Rfam family "tRNA". The record is from RNAcentral. Lineage: Eukaryota; Viridiplantae; Streptophyta; Magnoliopsida; Rosales; Rosaceae.